GCCGCCCGAGGCUCCCUCCCCGGGCCCGGCGCCGUCCGCUGCCCGCCCGCGCAACGCUCCGCUCCGCCCGGCGCAGGUACGCCAAGCUGCCGCGCCUCGCGGGCGCCGCCAUCGCCGUCGAGGGCGCAGCAGCGCCCGCUUGGGCUGCUCUCUCUGCGGGGCCGCGGACGCGGGUGGGGGGGGGAGGGAAGGGGUGGGGUGGGGGUUCCCAAAGCUGUGCGCGCCCCCUCCCACUUCCCCCUUUCUCCGUCUGCGUGGGGAUUUUGGGGAGGGGGAAAGCUUGGGCGCUCCACCCCCCGGAAGGAGGAUCCGGGAGGGGGAGUAAAAGGAGUUGGGGGGAGGGAGGAAACAUGGGGCACCGCCCCCAAGGAGGAUUUGGGAGGGGGGUUAAGAGAGAGGGGGGAGGAGUUGGGGCAGACACCCCCCUAGAAGGAAGAUCUAGGAGGAGUUAGCGGAGUUGUUUUGGGGAGGGACUUUGGGCACCCCAAGGAGUGUCUGGGGACGGAAGGGAGUUGUUUUGGGGAAGAUAUGGGGCAGCCAGGGGGAUUUGGGAGGGGGUGUGGUGUUAAGGGAAUGCAGGAGGGGACCUGGGACAGCCCCCCCCAUAAGGAGGACGUGGGAGGGGGAAUUAAGGGAGUGGGGAGAGAUUUAGGGCAGUCCCUCCUCAAAGGAGGACGAAGGAAGGUGAGUUAAGGGACGAAAUAUGGGCACCGGGAUUUAAGGUGCUGAGGGGUUGUCUGCCCUUUUGGGAUCCGGGGAGGGGGCGCCCAAAGAGUCAUGGGGGGCUGUGGCGGCUGCUGGCCCCCUUUGCAAGAGAAUGUGGCCCCCUGGCUCAAGGAAGUGACCUAGCUUUGUGGCUGAGCACUUACCUUUUUCAACUUUCAACUUUCCCAAAUGAAGGAUGCUGAAAAGUUGUAUCGCGACAUAUAUUGUUGCAACGUGAGUUAUAAAAGUUGCCAUGUCAGUUAUUUUUGUUUGUUUGUUUGUUUGUUAUUGCUAUUAUUUAGCAUCACCCGGCAUUUUCAGAAGGCAAAAUUAAAAUUCUCUGGUUUCCCCCCCAAAAGCAGCUGAUGUGCUUCUUCAUCAGAUGUAAUAUUGCCAAGCUAACUGUUGCCCAGUUGCAAAAAUAACAGCAGAUUUGAGUUCAUCCCACACAAAAAUGUAUUUUAAAGAAAUUGGCAAAAGUUAAGUUUAUUCCCCUAAACGUGAUACGCCUUGAGUGAAGAAGGCCCAGGUUGGACUGGGAAAGACCCCUAGAUUGCAACCCUUAUUUAUUCCUAGAAUCAUAGAACUCUAUGAUUCUAUGAGUUGGAAGGGACCCCAGGGGGUCAUCCAUUCUGACCCCCCUGCACUGCCGGAAUCUCAGCUCAAGCAUCCAUGACAGAAGGCCACCCAACCUCUGCAUAAAAAUGUCCAAGGAAAGAGAGUCCACCAUGUCCCAAGGGAGACUGUUCCACUGCCCAACAGUUCUUUCUGUCAGAAAGUUCUUCUGAAAGUUUAGUCAGAAUCUCCUUUAUUGUAACUUGAAGCCAUGGGUUCGAGUCCUAGCCUUCCAGAGCAGGAAAAUACAAGCAUGCUCCCUCUUCCAUGCGACAGCACUUGAGAUAUUUGAUUUGUAUACCGCCCUUUCGUCCAAAGAUGCCAUCAUCCUCAUAAAAAUUGUAGAAUUGCAGUACCCCCUGCAGUGCAGGAAUAUUCCUCUGUGGGGGAUUGAACCCACAACCUUGACAUGAUCAGCCCCACAACGGAGCUAACUUCCUUGCACAUAAUAAUAACAAUAACAACAACAACAUAAAAAUAAAUAAAUAAAUAAUUUAUUUAUAUCCCGCCCUCCCCAUCCAGAGCCGGGCUCAGAGCGGCUAAGCACAGUAAAAAUAGCACCAUUUACAUAAAAUCACAGUCAAUUAAUUUAAACACAUUCUAAAAUCAAUUCAGAAUCAAAUUAAUGGCAACCAUUGGGCUGGAGUUCUAUGAGGAAUACAGAAGGAGAGAGGGGGUCAGACUUUGCCUUGGCCAAAGGCCUGGUGGAACAGCUCCGUCUUGCAGGCCCUGCGGAAAGAUGUCAAGUCCCGCAGGGCCCUACUCAGACAAUAAUAGUAAUAGAUAGCAUAAUAAAAAUAAUAAUCAUAAUAACAGUCCCCUCAGCCAUAACUUUAAAAGGACAUAGAUCAUUUAUUGGCCAAAGUCCUGGAGAAAGAGGAUUUUUUUUCCCGCUUGGUGCCUAAAGACAUGUAAUGAUGGCAACCAGGCGAGCCUCUGGGGAGAGCAUUCCACAGUCAGGGAGCCACCACAGAGAAGGCCCUUUCUUAUGUGGCCACUGUCCGAACCUCUUGAGAUGCGGGGGGCAUAGUGAAGGGUCACUGAUGACAAGCGCAGGGUCCGGGUUGGUUCAUAUGGGGAGAGGCGGUCCUUGAGAUAAAGUGGUCCUGAGUCACGUAAGGCUUUAUAGGCCAGCACUGGAAACUAACCAAGUAGCCGGAAAACAUUAUUAUCAUGGCCGUGAAGGUUAUUGUGAUUAUUGGGUCAUGCAUUCAGAAUAGAUGAUGCUGAAUUUGAUAGGCCCUCGGAGGUCUGGCUCAGCCAAAGGGCCGUAGCAAAGCGGCAGGACAUCUGCUUGGCUUGCAGAAGGUUUGUUCCCUGCUGGCAUCUCCAGGUUGGACUGAGAGAAAGGCUCUGCCUGAAAUAAUAAUAAUUAUUAUUAUUAUUAAUAUUAUUAUUAUUAUUAUUAUUAUUAUUAUUAUUUAUACCCUGCCCAUCUGGCUGGGUUUCCCCAGCCACUCUGGGCGGCUUCCAACAGAAUACAGUGGUACCUUGGGUUACAUACGCUUCAGGUUACAGACCCUUCAGGUUACAGACGCUUCAGGUUACAGACUCCGCUAACCCAGAAAUAGUGCUUCAGGUUAAGAACUUUGCUUCAGGUUGAGAACAGAAAUCGUGCUCUGGCGGCACGGCAGCAGCAGGAGGCCCCAUUAGCUAAAGUGGUGCUUCAGGUUAAGAACAGUUUCAGGUUAAGUACGGGCCUCCGGAACGAAUUUAGUACUUAACCCUAGGUACCAUUGUAGUAAUAAUAAUAAUAAUAAUAAUAAUAAUAAUAAUUAAUAAUUAAUAAUAAUAUGUUUAUACCCCGCCCAUCUGGCUGGGUUUCCCCAGCCACUCUGGGCGGCUUCCAACAGAAUAUUAAAAUACAAUAGCCUAUUAAACAUUAAAAGCUUCAGAUGUCUUCUAAAAGUCUGGUGGUUGUUUUUCUCUUUGACAUCUGGCGGGAGGGCGUUCCACAGGGUGGGUGCCACCACCGAGAAGGCCCUCUGCCUGUUUCCCUGUAACUUGGCUUCUCGCGAUGAGGGAACUGCCAGAAGGCCCUCAGAGCUGGACCUCAGUGUCCGGGCAGAACGAUGGGGAUGGAGACACUUCUUCAGGUAUACUGGACCGAGGCCGUUUAGGACAGCCGCUGUCCAUCGGUGUAGACAAUACUGAGUUGGGUGAAUUAAUGGUUUGAGGCAGCUUCGUAGGCUAUCCUCACCUGCGCAGAGUCAGGAGCAGAGACUGCCUUUCUCUUGGUUGCUGGGAGCGAAUUGCAAAAAGGCUUGUGUUCAUAAAAAGGCCUUCCUUUGCCUUCUCCUCUUCCCAGGCCUCGGCGGGUCGUGUUGGAGAAACGGGCCUGUGAUAGCUCAGUUGGUAGAGCACAAGACUUUUAACCUCAAGGGUUGUGGGUUUGAGCCCCAUGUUGGGUAAAAGACUUCUGCGCUGCACGGGGUUGGACUAGAUGACCCCUGUGGUCCCUUCCAACUCUUCAUUUCUACGAUUUCUGUGAACACGUGGCUGAGCAUUUCCUUUUCUUCAUUUAGUAAAUCGUAUGUGCCACUGAAUUGACGAAAGCCUCCAAGCGGUUCCUUUGCUUAUUCUGAUUUAUUGCGUCUCUAUCCCACCGUCUUGUCCAAGGAGCUCAAGGCAAACAUACGUAUUUCCCCCACAAACAACAACCCUGUGAGGUAGGAUGGCUGAGAGAAGGCCGUGACCGGUCUCCCACCUAGUGUACUUCUUGGCUGAGUGGGGAUUUGAACCCAGGUCUCAGCCUGACAACUGCAGCACACUGCCAUCCGGUUUACACAGGAGGAUACAAAAUGUUUGUUAAACACUCCAACCCCAAACGUUGUCAAAAAAGAGGAGGUGUAAAAAUAAAUAAAUAUUGAAAUAUAAACCUGAUCAGCAGCUUAGGAAAAAAAAUAUGCAUGUACUGUAACAGAAUGGCAUGCUAAAGUUAUGUGUCUGGGUUAGCUUGCCUAAAUUAAAUACAUAAAUACAUAAAUUAUUUUGUCAGGCGCUGGAAAAAAAUCUGCGCACGUGUGUAGCAAUCUUUCAGCUGGGAACCUUUCACUCUUUGCUGCAAGAGCAGGACUCCUCACAGAACUCUAGCCCAAUGGUUGCCAUCAAUUUGAUUUGAACUGAUUUUAUAAUGAAUUGAUUUUAGAAUGCUGUAUUAUUUUACUGUUGUUAGCCGCUCUGAGCCCGGCUUCGGCGGGAUAUAAAUUAUUAUUAUUAUUAUUAUUAAUAAUAAUAUUAUUAUUAUUAUUUUAGAGUUGGAAAGGGAUCCCCAGGUGUCAUCUAGCCCGACCCGCUUGCAAGGUAGCCACAACUUAAGCUCAUAUCUGGGUAAAGGGUGUGUUUUUGUGUGUGUGUGUGUGUGUGUGUGAUAGUGCCCCUAUCUGAGUUUAAGGGGGGAUUUUUUUUCUGCAUAGACUUGUGACCUCAAGGGCUCAAGAGACCUGCUUUUUGGGGUUUGUGGUGCGCUACCCAAGACUGCAUAGCCACAAAGGGAGGAGUUUGCAAGGAGCUUGGUUGGGGCAUCAGUUGUGGUGACCACAGAUGUAGAGUUUGAAAGGUGCAGAAAUCCUCGUCAGGCCUGGCUUAUGGAUGACACCAGGUGUGCCGAGCGCAGGUGGGCGAUGCUUUUUGUAGGGUGGUGUGUGUGUGCAAACGAAAGGUUGUGGGCUCUCCAUCUAUUUGUGGCUGGAGAAGGACAACGGUUUGGUUUUUUCCGUUGCCUGUGGCGAUCUCUCUCAUCUCGACUGUGCCUCUGUCUUUCCUGGCCGACCAGUUUGGUGGCUUCUAACUUUGCAAAAAACCUCCGAAGUCUGUUUAGCGGAGAUGAGGGAGGGAUGAGUGUGUGAACCGCAUCUAGCGAUGCUUCAUGUCAAGCCACUUAUUCCCCCGAAAUCUCUCUGCAGUCCUUGCAGCCGCUGGUGCGUGUAUUGAUAUGCCACAUCCGAAACACCCGGAUGAGCCUCUGUUCAACCUGUUGAACGGUUCAGCUUGCCCCACUUGGAAACUGGGACUGGUAACUUUGCCAGCUGGAAAUUGUGUCUGUCGAAGUGGCUGAGUCAGCAAGAGGCUAUCUAUGUGCAAAUUGAUGCCAGAGAUGUGCAAACGUGACAAAAAUGUGCAGGUCUAUGACACAUCGAUGUGAAAGUGUGUGUGUGGGGGGGAGAGAAAUCUCUGUUUUGAAAUGCUGAUCUCCUGAUUGUUGUGGCGGGCCGAUGCCCUAGUUCAUUUGGCUUGCAAAAUAAUCUUAUGGCACAACAUCUCUCCGUGUCAAUAAUCUAAAAAGAGUGUGCUUGUUUUGUGUGCCUGUUAACUAUAUGGGGUGUGUGUGUCAAGCAUUUCUGCUGAGCGAAUGAUACAGGGGCAGGUGUGCUUAGACAGGCAGAGGCUGCGCAUGGCUAGGUCAUGCCAUGCCAAUAUGUGCAGCAGAUAUGAGCAGGGAAUGGCCGUAGCUCAGUGCUGGAGGAACAUCUGCCUGGCAGGUAGGACGUUGCAGGUUGAAGCCCCAAUGGCAUGUACAGAUACAGCUGGGAGAGACUUCUGCUUGAAAUCCUGGGGCGCUGCUGCCACUCAGUGUGGACAAUCCUACGGUCAACUUGAGCACAGCACCCUGAUCUCACAGUGGCCAACCCAUUGCCUCUUGUUUUCUCCUACUUUGGAGGGUAGGACUCGAACCCAUGGCUUCCAGUUGCAAGAAAGGAGAUUCAGUGAGAGCUGUUCGACUGUGGAACGGUCUCCCUCGGGAGGUGGUGGACUCUCCUUCCCUCCUUUCCUUAAGCAGAGUUUGGAUGGCCAUCUGUCAUUGAUUUUUUUUUUAGCUGAGAAUCCUGCAUUGCAGGGGUUUGGACUGGAUGGCCUUUGGGGUCCCUUCCAACUCCUAAGAUUCUUCUGCAGGCAGGACCCAAGUACGAUAGUGCACACCCAAUGAGUGUUUCGUUGUUGUCAUCAAAUUUAUUGCUCUCCUUUCACCAGGAGGUCCCAAGGCAGGUUGCAGCAAUGAUUAAGAAUUGUUGUUGUUGAGUUGUUUAGUCGUGUCCACCUCUUCGUGCCCCCAUGGACCAGAGCACGCCAGGCACUCCUGUCUUCCACUGCCUCCUGCAGCUUGGUCAGACUCAUGCUGGUAGCUUCGAGAUCACUGUCCCACCAUCUCGUCUUCUGUCGUCCCCUUCUGCUUGUGCCCUCCAUCUUUCCCAGCAUCAGGGUCUUUUCCAGGGAGUCUUCUCUUCUCAUGAGGUGGCCAAAGUAUUGGAGCCUCAGCUUCAGGAUCUGUCCUUCCAGUGAGCACUCAGGGCUGAUUUCCUUCAGAAUGGAGACGUUUGAUCUUCUUGCAGUCCAUGGGACUCUCAAGAGUCUCCUCCAGCACCAGAAUUCAAAAGCAUCCAUUCUUCGGCGAUCAGCCUUCUUUAUGGUCCAGCUCUCACUUCCAUACAUCACUACUGGGAAAACCAUGGCUUUAACUAUACGGACCUUUGUUGGCAAGGUGAUGUUGGAAGUGAGUGAUGUCUCUGCUUUGUAAGAUGCUGUCUAGGUUUGUCAUUGCUUAAGCAUUAAGAUUAAGAAUCAGGCACAGUUAAAACACAGCGCCGUCGCAGGGCUUGAAAACACACACUGAAAGCCCGGGGAAAGGGGCACCUGCAGCAUUUCCUGAAAUCUCUGUUUUCCCUGAAGGAUGGAAGUAAAAGGAAUUGUUAUGGGGUAGAACCUCCUGCUGCCUUGCAGAAUAACAAUGGGAGCAUAGAUCCUCAGUCCACCCAAGGAGCUUACAGUUUCAAGGAGAGAGAAGGAAGGAUGCCAUUAAUACACACUUCCAGCAUGAGAAACGAUUGAACUGCGAACCAGCAGUGCACGUAUUAAGAAUGUUUGCUGUGGUUGCACCAUGCCUUAUGAUAAUGGCAGCGGUGAUAACAAAACAGAGAGCUGUCAAUGCUCUUUUGUUUGUAUACAAUUUGUGCCAGCCGCAGUGGCUGCAUCCUGCCUCCACUAUUGGAGUCCAUAUUCCUUUGAAUGCCAGAUCCUGGGAACCACAGCAGGGCCUGAUCCUGCUACAGGGCUCUUCCUAUGUCCUUACGCUUUGGGGAUGCAUACUUAGCUCAUAGUCUCCUUGAAUCGAUCACCAAAGCAUACACCCAUCCCAUUUGCACAUAGCACUAAGCUGAACCAUGGAUUUGGGUCUGAACCUGAGCACCUGGUUUGCUUCCCCCAGACAAACCAUAAGUGGUAAACCGAGGACAAACCUUGGAUACAAACUCAUGGCUCCUCUGGAGUGAGACAAACCAUAACCCCGGGUUCAGGCACAGCUCUGGUUGGUCUGACAGUUGUGCAACCAGGUGAGGGGUUAAGUGGCUGUGAUUUUUCCUGUGAUUACCUAUAAUAAAAUCAUUUAUGGCGAUCUUCGCAGCCAUUUCAGCACAUGGAUGAAGACACCUCGUGUUCACACAUGCCUUUAUGUUUCACAGUCUACAGGUUUUUCCCCCCAAUUUUUUUAUUUAUUUAAAAUUUUGAAAAUAGUUUUAGAGUCAUAGAACUGUAGAGUUGGAAGGGAGCUAAAGUGUUACCUGGUCCAACCCCUUUGCAGUGCAAGAAAGCACAGGUAAUUACAUCUGCAUACUCGCACAUUCAUGGUUAGUCAUGGUUUGACUUAGCCUUAGGGUUAUUGCAUAGAACACAUUAUUAUUAUUACUUCUUUAUUUCUACACCUCUUUAUAUUUUAAAGAAAAAAUCUCAAAGCGGUUUACAACCUACAUUAAAGUAUCAAAUAAAACAACCCCAGAUAAAACAUCACUGAAGAAAGUCAAAGUUAAAAUGCACAUUUAAAACAGCAUAAUUAGCAAGAGAAUAUUUUAUUAUCAUAAGCAUAGAACGUAUCUGCUGCUGACUGCCUAUCCGGUGGUGGUUCAUGGUGGUGGUGGAAAGUCAGGCUCGAUGACCUGGGUCUGCAGUAAGAGGAAGCCAAGAUGUUCUCUGGCUUUUUCAACAGCGGCAGCUUUCGUAGCUGGAGUCAGUCCGGGCUUCACCCUCCCAGGCCAGGUGGAAAAUCAAGGCAGGGAGCAGAUCUUCCAGGACUCCCAGCCAAAAGAGCUUGCCAUCUGUACCAGAGGAAUGGACUGAAUUGUGUUUGGUGGGGAAAGCCUCCUUGAUCUCUCUCGGUGGCCCCAGGGCUCAUUCCUAUUUUCCUUGGGGAGAGGUGGCGCAUGUUUUGCAUGAUACAGCGCAAAACACCAAAAGGAGGAACAGUCCUUUCAGGUGGUUUCCCAUCGCCUGCUCUGCUUCUCCAGAAGGGAGUGGCAGAUUUUUCCCAGCUAGAUGAGCCUUCUCCUGAUUUUAUUUUUGAUUUGUGCUCUGUUUGAGCUGCCAAACCAUGUUCCCCCGCUCCUUUGCGGCUCAGUUGGCAUCUCAGCUCUCUCUCGGGGGCUUUUCCCAGUGAGUGGAAGGUGCUGAUACGUGGCAAACUCAGCCAACCGUCACUACAUUUCCAACAUGAGAUUGUCUCUGGCUGUGGAAGACGAGUCGGAUGAAUCUUUGGAGAAGCUCCUCCCAAAUAUAGUUUGCUGGGAUUUCGGGAUUAGUAUCCCCCUGGUAAGACUUUUUGUUUUGUUUGGCCUCUAACUCUUCCCGUCACCUUUGCUAGCUGCAAGUAUUCUACCAUUAGUGUUUGCCAGUCUGAUAUAUUAGGUCUUCAGAUACCUGAAGAAGUAUCUGAAGAAGGUGCUACUGGAAGGAAUAGUUCUGCAAAGCCAUUUCCCCAAAUGUAACACAUUAUUGCAUGCUCUUUUCACUAACACAUACGUUUUGUCCCCUAGCAAGUGCAUUUUCCUGUGCCCUCCUUAGCCAGAGAACAGCACUGCAAGAUAUAAAAGGUAAAGGGACCCCUGACCAUUAGGUCCAGUCGUGGCCGACACUGGGGUUGCGGCACUCAUCUCGCUUUACUAGCUAAGGAAGCCGGCGUACAGCUUCCGGGUCACGUGGCCAGCAGGACUAAGCCUCUUCUGGCGAACCAGAGCAGCAGUUGGCGGUUCGAAUCCCUGCGACGGGGUGAGCUCCCGCUGCUCGGUCCCAGCUCCUGCCAACCUAGCAGUUCGAAAGCACGAAGUGCAAGUAGAUAAAUAGGUACCGCUCCGGCGGGAAGGUAAACGGCGUUUCUGUGCGCUGCUCUGGUUUGCCAGAAAGUGGCUUAGUCAUGCUGGCCACAUGACCCGGAAGCUGUACGCCGGCUCCCUCGGCCAGUAAAGCGAGAUGAGCACCGUAACCCCAGAGUCGGUCACAACUGGACCUAAUGGUCAGGGGUCCCUUUACCUUUACCUAUAUCUUGCAGUAGGGACGCGGGUGGUGCUGUGGGUUAAACCACAGAGCCUAGGACUUGCUGAUCCUUAGCCAGUAAAGCGAGAUGAGUGCCGCAACCCCAGUGUCGGCCACGACUGGACCUAAUGGUCAGGGGUCCCUUUACCUUUUAUAUCUUGCAGUGCUGUUCUCUGGCUAAGGAGGGCACAGGAAAAUGCACUUGCUAGGGGACAAAAUGUAUGUGUUAGUGAAAAGAGCAUGCAAUAAUGCGUUACAUUUGGGGGAAAUGGCUUUGCAGAACUAUUCCUUCCAGUAGCACCUUCUUCAGAUACUUCUUCAGGUAUCUGAAGACCUAAUAUAUCAGACUGGCAAACACUAAUGGUAGAAUACUUGCAGCUAGCAAAGGUGACGGGAAGAGUUAGAGGCCAAACAAAACAAAAAGUCCACAAGGAAUGGAGAAUAUUUAAAGAAUAUUUGAAGAACCAUGGUAUAAAGGGUAAUCUCCUGGCAGACUUAGACUGAGCCUUGUAGUCUAUUGUGUAAUUGACAAUUUACAUAGAAAUACGAUAAAAAAAAUAGAAGAAAUAAGUAACUGUGCGAUAAAAGUGUAUUUAACAGAUAACAUACAAUGAGAAUGUUUGGAAGUGUAUGCACACGAAAGCUCAUGCCAAUAACAAACUUAGUUGGUCUCUAAGGUGCUACUGGAAGGAAUUUUUUUAUUUUGUUUCGACUAUGGCAGACCAACAUGGCUACCUACCUACAUCUUGCAGAAAUAUGUGUUGAAUGGUCUCUUUAAAUGUGAAGGUUCAUUAUUGUUCCACAUAUUUCUUUAAGGGCCAGAGCAAAUAGCGAGACCCAGUUUUACAGCUGUGAAACAGUAUAGCAGGUGCUGCUAAGUUGUGUUAAUUAAGUUGUGUCAGCAAUUGGGUAUAGUAUAUAAAGAGCAGCACCUAGCUUUCUCAGUACCCUGGUGGAUGGGUUGGGUCUUGCUUGCUGAGAUAUUUAGUGUAAAAGGAGUUUUUGUUUUUGUUAUUAAAACCUUGAUAAAGUUAUUUUUGAGUUCCUUGUAAUGCGUGGUCUCCCCAGCAAGCUUUCUGCAGCGCAACUAAACUGCAAAUAGCCAACAGGCAACCCCCUGUUUUAGGGGCUACUGAUAUGUGCACAAUAGCUCACAGCACCGAUCCCGGAAGUAACCUGGAAAUGUCAUAAAAGGUGUUUCUAAAAGGGCAAAGCAGGGGAGGGAUGGGCUGGCACGGGGUGCUUUCAGACUGUUUCAGUUGCAUGCGAUUUCACACAGGCUCGCAAUGACCCGGAAUGCAACCUGCAAGCAAAUCUGGGGUUGCCUGUAUAUUAGGCAUAACUGGGCAUACCACAAAAUAUAUGUAUCAGCAGAAAUCCACAUUCUCAGUGGUACUCACUUUCAAGUAGAUUUUUGCAGGACCAAUGCAAUGAACGUACUUAUGCAUGAGCAAACCCUUCUGAGCUCUGAGACACCAGCUUCUUGGUGCUUAGGAUUGCAGUCUGAAUUAAAGGUACAAACGACACAGGAGAUGAAUAAAAAUGAAGGCUCAGUGGUUUCCCCGAGGCAUCUGGUAUCUGGGCAGGCGGCCGGUCCCUUUCCUAAGGUGCAGGGUAGAGGACCAAAGAUCUGAUUCUCGCUCUGUCGCUUGCGGUUGCUUUUAGACAGAAUGCACUGUCAGAAGACCCUGGCAAAGUCUUAAUGCACAUGGACCUAUCUGAAUUGCCAGCAGGGCACUGAAGGUCUCAAGGAGGAGGACGAGGAAUCUUGCCAACUUUCUUACGGUUUACGAAAGCGCCCUCAGCUCGUCAAUUGGUGCUGGCUCUCUCAAGGCCGCCAGGUGAGUGGCUUGAUCUCUGAAGGUUUUGUGAUUUACGGAUACUGGGUUGUGCUGGGCAAAGGACAGGACAGGUAGCCGUGUUGGCUCAAGAAAAACGCCAGAUCCAUCGUCAGGCAAGGCUUUAAUUAGACCUGCCAAAUGUCACAUAAUAACAUUUCAACACUGUUUUUAACACUUUUCCGAGCUCUUAAGGCUAGAACUCGUGGACUUCCAGAAACGCUGAAUGUUGGAAGGUUUGGGAUCAGGGCCAGAUUUAGGUUUGAUGAGAUCCUAAGCUACUGAAGGUCAUGGGGCCCUUUAUAUGUCCAGCUGUCCUUUGCCAACAACAAAUUGUCCCUGUUUCUUGUGUUGAAUAUAUGCUAUAUGGUAAUUUAUGGACCUCAUAGGUAUCUCAAGCCAUUUGCACAUGUUGCCCUGCAACCAGUCCAUGCAGAAUGUAGGCACCCUAUAUAUUGUUGUUGUUUAGUCGUUUAGUUGUGUUCACCUCUUCGUGACCCCCUGGACCAGAGCACACCAGGCACUCCUGUCUUCCACUGCCUCCCGCAGUUUGGUCAAACUCAUGCUGGGAGCUUUGAGAACACUGUCCCACCAUCUCGUCCUCUGUCGUCCCCUUCUCCUUGUGCCCUCCAUCUUUCCCAACAUCAGGGUCUUCUCCUGGGAGUCUUCUCUUCUCCUGAGGUGGCCAAAGUCUUGGAGCCUCAGCUUCAGGAUCUGUCCUUCCAGUGAGCACCCUACAUAUAGAAAGGAGCAAACCAGUGAUAUUUGAGGGAGCAGGCUAGCAGGCGGGGCCCAUGACUCACAUCAUAGGAGCCAACACAACACAAAACACUGUUUCUGCAUGUAGGUUUUAUUUUAUUUGUUUUUUAUAUUUUGGAAAUGUACAUUCAGUUUUUCCCCCCUUUAGUUUUUUUGGGGGCCCCUAAGAGAGUGGGGCCCUAAGCUAGAGCUUGUUUAGCUUAUACGUAAAUCUGGCACUGCUCAGUACAGAUGAAAGGAGGGACGCCUUCACGCAGCGCCUAACUCCCUCCCACAGGAGUCUGAGAUGGCCACCCACCCAUGGAAUCGUAGAAUUGUACAGUUGGAAGGGAUCCUGAGGGUCAUCUAGCCCAACCCCCCUGCAAUGCAGGAAUAAGAGGAUUGGACAAAUCCAUGGGGCAGGAGAGGGCUAUCAAUGGUUACUACAGUCAGGGCCAUCUUAAGCAUAUUCAGUGCCGUGGUGAAAGAUUCUUCCAGCGCCCCCCCCCGGAAGCUCCAAAACAAGGGAGGGGCAGUAGAAAAUGUCCUCUGCCUUUCCCAACACCCUGAUCCAUGGCAUGGCGAUCCAGCAGGAGAACGUGCUGGCAGACAUGCUCUACGGCAUCAGGGCUCCUGAGAAGGCCGGCUGGGAAGGCUGCACACUGCCUUUUGCUAGGAAGCAGAAGGAGGACAACGACCUCUGCGUGGAUUGCUCUCCUCCUGUAAAGGCUUGGGAAGGAAGCUGCAAGCCCGCCUGCCUGCCAUAUAGAAGAAGAAGAAGAAGAGGAGUUUGGAUUUGAUAUCCCGCCUUUCACUCCCUUUAAGGAGUCUCAAAGCGGCUAACAUUCUCCUUUCCCUUCCUCCCCCACAACAAACACUCUGUGAGGUGAGUGGGGCUGAGAGACUUCAAAGAAGUGUGACUGGCCCAAGGUCACCCAGCAGCUGCAUGUGGAGGAGCGGAGACGCGAACCCGGUUCCCCAGAUUACGAGACUACCGCUCUUAACCACUACACCAUACUGGCUCUCAGUUGGCGGGGCACAGCUGGUGGGCGUUCAGGGAAAGGGGAGGCCUCCGGCAAAGCCGCGCAGCUCCCUCACUCGCUGGGGCGCCCCUGAGAGGCCGGCGCCCUGGCGCAACGAACCAUUAACACCAAUGGCAAAGACGGCUUUGACCACAGUUGCAGGCACUGUGGGAAUAGGAUGCUGGAUGAGAUUCCUGCAUUUCGGGGGUGGACUGGAUGACCUUUGGGGGUCCCUUUCAACUCUGAUUCUAUGACUAGAUGGGCCAUGGGCCUGAUCCAGAGGGCUCUUCUUAUGUUUUCGACGUUGAAACAAGUGGGAAGACAGUAGGAGGAAACAAAUGUGGUUGAUAUUGUAGCCGCAGAGUUUUCAUUCCGUCUCAGGGUAUGUGGGAGGUGGUAGCAGAUGAUGAGAUUAAGUUGCACCAUGGGGGUGCCAGGGAGCCUCUGGGCUGCAACACAGGCUUGCUGGGACAAAGAAAAUGACAGAGGUCGAUCACUUUUGAAACUAUAACACCUAGCUGUCCCUUGGAUCUUAGGCAGAAGGCACAGGUCAUCUGGAAGAUUGAGAACAGAAGCAAAAGUGAAACUAGACAACAUUUAUAGUAACAAAGCUGGAAAUGAAUUUUAGACCGCAUACUAGGGCGACCGCAUACUGGGCAAUAUGGCCAGUCUUCAAUAUGGCGUUAUAUCAGCAGCCAAACAUUGCAAUACAUUAGUCCUUGCAGUUACGUAAACUUCAGGAUACGAAAGUGGCAAACCUGGAAGUAUUUGACUGAGUUUCUCCCCGCGCACAUGCGUAGAAGCGGUCCUCAGGCUGUAGAAACCUCAGGAUCCGACCAAACCUCCAGAACGGAUCCCAUCCGCAACUGGAGGUACUACUGUAUAUUGAUAUACCAUGAUAUCCGAAAUAAGGAAGGAACUAUGCAGAGGUGAACAGGCAAACGUCCUGGCAACUGCUACUAAACCGGAUGAAUGACAGUAUUAUCAAUCAUCACACACUCAGUUUCAUCAGCAGGGAAGCCAGAAUGCAUCCCAACAGGACUUUUGGUUUUGGACUUGGCUAUCAAACGGUGAUAUUUGGAUUCAUCAGGUUCAUGCAGGCAAUGAAGAGCACAUCCUUCCACCAUGGUUAGCUGAUUUCUGAUUUCCACUUUUUAUAUGGUUCAUAUUUUUAGGUAUGGUUAUUCUGAGCCACUUUGAUUUUUUCCUUUUUGAUGAAUUAGCAGUAUAUGAAUAUUUUUCUAUAAAUAAGACUGAUAAAGUGGGAAACUUAAAUGGACAGAUUAGCCCAUCGCUCACUUGUCGUUCAGAUUAUGCCUGCAAAUCUAUGUAUCCUUUCAUAGCCUUGGAUGCUGGGUAGGGAUGGGAGCAGUUUGGUUCAGUUGGCAUUUCAGGGUGAAUCUUUAAAUUCGGUGCUUUCCAAAGCAACAGGCAAUCCAAAACUUGGCUGCCUUUCAAAAUUUGCACAUAUUGGAAUUCUGCCAUGCAAAAUGCAUGUAUUAGGGGAAAACUGAGCUUAGCAAGAGCUAUUUUAGUGCAAAUAACACCUGGAAACGUUUGUGUUUAUGUCAUGAAAUUUAUAUGCUGCUUGAAUGUGGAAAAGCAAGAAAACCCUCAAAGUAGUUGAAACGCAUUACAUUUGGGGAAAUUCCUUGCAAAAAUAUGCACAUUGGUCAAAACUGCGUGCAAGGAUGUGCUCAUUAGGAGAAAUUUGCCCUGAAAUGCUGCUGAAAUUUCCAUGAGGGUUUUCUCUCGCUAAAGAAAUUGCAGAUUGUUGCAGCGGGGUGGAGAACUGAAUUUAAUGUUGGAAACAUGGCAGACUGAGGGAGCCGUGAUGGACGAGCCCUUUCCUUCCUUGUACGGAAUGGCCCUCUGCAUUUUUCUGGGGCCUUAAUACGACUCUGACUCACAGGCUCCAGUGGAUGGCUACCUUGAGCUGGCCUGGCUUGUCCUCGGCUCCUGAAUGCUCCCAGAACUACCUAGGCAGGGCAUGGGAAAAAGCACCACACGAUCCCCGCAGUGCCAACACGCUCCUCUCCAAAUGGUCCACACCCUUCCGAUUGCUGCAGACAGUUUUCCCCCUCCUUACCCGUUUGCUUUCCUGACAGCCGUGUGAAUUUCUUCAAUGCAAAUCCUCUGGCGGGAUGUUCUGUGCUCUGCCUUUUGGCGCUUGUCCCUGUUGGAUUCUCUGUUGAUUUAUGGAUUCCGUUUGUCGGAGAGCAGAAAUCGGAAGGCCGUUCCUCCCCCUCGUGGCGGGAGAAGCAUCCUUGCUGUACCCAGACCUUCCUAGAGAAGUUUUCUGUUCUGAACGCCUCAUCUUUCCUUCUGAAUGUGACUGUUGACCCAACUUGGUGCCUCAACUCUUCAGCUGUGGCUCGCGAUCUACAAGCAAGUAACUAGAACCGUGGGCUCCCAUUGAAGCUGAAUUUUGGAAGAUUCAGGACAGACAGAAUGAAAGGUCUUCUUCACGCAGCAGGAGGCAAUGUUGGCCACCAACCUAGAUGGUUUAAAAAGCUUUUCACAGAGGUGUGGUUCCUUGGACAUGACACUGUAUAGCUUCCUGGCCAACAGCACAGAGUGAAAGCUCAUUAAAUAACCGAGAUCAUCCAAUCCCUCAGCAAACAAUUUAGGAGGAAGGCUUGACAAAUAGGUCAUUGGGAAGCACCUCUCAGAUCUCACGAAAAUGAUUGACCCAUGCCUGGGUUAUAGUGCUUUAGGCCAUUUGAGAAGUCCCACCCAAGGAGGGGGGGAAAUGUGGAUGUAGAAAACCAAGAUGUCAGGGACAGCUUCCCCCCUGAGUUGCUGACUUUCUGCAUGCAAGGAAUUUUUUAUUUGUGGGAUGGAGCAUUGGUUUGAACUAGUUCACACCCUGUUUUAGUGACGACCCAACUGCUUAGAACUCCUUGUUCACACUCAGCGCCCGGCCAGAGGACAGACAACUUGACGGAGAACAGCAGACGAUAAAGAGUUUUCCAAACAUGGGCAUGAGAAAGAAGAAUGUUGCAAGCGUUUCAUAUUAAAGGAAUUGUGGGCGAAAUCUGAAAAAAAGAAGAAAAAGAGGUUUUGAGUGUGUGUCCAUGUGCCCCUCCCUCUCCCCCUCCUAGAGAGCUUCUGACUUUUGCAAAAUAGAAGCAAAACCAGCCCCAAACAGAAGAUAAAGUCAAACUGAAAACCACAGACCCAAAAAACCCCCUUGAGACAACAUGUUUUUGGUGCUGUGAGUGCAUGCCCGAGAAACUGGGUUAGGCGGGUGUGAUAAUUUGGUUGUUUUUGCUCGGGAGGCCUGGAGGAAUACAGCGUGCGGUUAUGUUACUAAUCCUGAUACCAAGAAGGUUGCCUGAUUGUUGAGAUUAAAGAGCAUUUAAGAUGAAUGUCAGAGGCACUUGAGUUGCAAUUCUGCCUUAAUCCCGAGGAGAUUAAGCUCAGCGGCAAAGCGCAAGUUUUGCAGGCAGAAGGGCUCAGCCGCCACCUUUGGCAUUGCUAGCUGAAAGGUCUGUGGAAGCAUAGAAUCACAGAAACGCAGAGUUGGAAGAGACCCCCUGGGAUCAUCUAGUCUAUUCCCCUGCAAUGCAGGAAUCUCAGUUAUAGCAUCCAUGACAGAUGGCCGCCCAACCUCUGCUUGAAAACCUCCAAGGAAGGAGAGUCCACAACCUCCCGAUGGAAUCCAUUCUGAACAGUUCUUACUGUCAGAAAGUUUCCCCUGAAUUUUAGUUGGAAUCUCCUUCUUUGUCCUACCCUCCAGAGCAGUUUGUUCCCUCUUCCAUGUGACAGCCCUUCAGAUAUUUGAAAAUGGUUCUCAUAUCUCCUCUCAGUCCCCUUUUCCCCAGGCUAAACAUACCCAGCUCCUUCAACAGUUCCUCAUCAGGCUUGCUUUCCAGACCCUUGAUCGUCUCGGUCUCCCUCCUCUGCACACCUUCCAGCUUGUCAACUUCCUUCUUAAAUUGUGGUGCCCAGAAUUGGACACAGGACUCCAGAUGUGUUUCCUAGAUGCCAAAGACCAAAGGAGGCAGUGCUGGUGGGCCAGAUCCCCCUAAGAUCUGACUUGCAGUUUCAUAACCUUUUAGAAGGAGGCUGAGACUCAUUGGGAGAGCAGAUGUGAGCACCUUCUCUUAAAGGGACCUCAGGCAGUUAGAUAAGGUGGUGGAAGUAAACUCUGCGUCGGUUGUUCCCAAACAUUUCUGAGCUGCUGUCUGCUGGGUUCCCUAAACUCACCCCCAGUUUCCCCUGUCCUAGAAAAAGCAGUAUUCAAAACAGUGGUUUUUGCACAGCCCCUUAUCCAGCAGCCGAUUCCUAUGUUCUUUAUAAAGACCUCUGAGUCUCCAUUUUGGCUUCCGGGAUCUUUCGAAGCACUUAACUCAACUGUAUUUGUGAACUUCGUAAACCACAACAGCAACACGCCCCCCCCCCCCCCCCGGCUGAGUGCUUUCACUUGGUUUCCACAUGGUGGCUGUAACGUUUAAAUAGGGAAGCUUCAAAUAUCCACAUCUCUGGUGAUUGUGAAGCAAACAAGGCACAUUUGCUUGUUGCAGAUAAAUACUCCAAGGAGCUUUGGGAAAAUAUGUGUGUGUGUGGUUUCCAGCAACUGGUGUUCAGAAAUAUGGCUGCCUCUGUCUGCGGUUUAUACUUUUGCAAAGGAAAAGAGCACAGGGCAGUAAGCCAGAAACUACCUUGGAAGGUUGAAGAGCAACGAUGAAAGCAACUUACUUGCAAACGCUGGCCAGAUGGGGUCACACGGACUUUGGGAAGAUGAGAGAAGCGUGCGAGGCUUCGAGCGACCUUUCACGUUAACCCUCCCUUAGCCGACAGCAUUGCAGGAGUUUAAAAAAUGGGGUUUAAAAGCCAGGAGGGUCCUCGGAGCUCAAGUAGUCAAACUGCCCAGUCAGUGCAGGGGUCUUGCAACUGCAGCCUCCUCCCAGAUAGAUGACUGACCAAUGUCUGUUUAAAUACUUGUAUCGAAGGAGAGCAGGCCACCCAAUGAUGUCAAUCAUGUAUCUUUCCGGGGAGAAGUCUGUUGCGCUUGAAUCCUGCAUGCAGGUUUCCUACAGGCCCUUGGGAGAACAGUCUGCCAUUCUGGCCUGGUCCGGCAGGCUCGUCUUAUCUUCUUCCAUCCUCAAAAUUUUGCUGCAAUCUCUUUCCCCCAAUGUUUCCACCUCCUGGUUUCUCCCCUGUCUUCCAGAGCGAUAGUCACCCUGUUCCUUCUUCCACAUUGCAAGCCUUAUGAUAUUUCAAGAUGGCAGCUCUCAGGUCUCCUCCUGAGAAACAGGAGGAGCUGUUUCCACACACUUCCACGCCUUCCACACUGGACUUGGUUCAUCGAAGCUUCUCCAAUUCGAACCCACGUCCUCUUUUAGCUGUGUGCUCUGAGCAGGCCAGGGGGAAAAGAACAUACCCAAUGGUUUAAAACAGAGGCGGGGGUCUCGCAACGGAGGAAAAUACCCCGGGUCUUCCUGUGUUCUUUGCCUCCCCGGUGCUUACAGGUCUCUGCUGGCUGAGAUCCGCCUGCUGUCUAAUUUCUUCUCUUGCAAGCAGGUGUCGUAAUUACAUGGUUGUAACAGCAGCAGCGGAGGGGGUGGAACCCGGUUACCGGAUCAAAUGUACGCUCGAGGGCUUCCUUCAUCCGGAUCCUUGACAGUCCCCAUUAAAUCUGAAUAUCCACUGGCAGUCUUUGAUAGGUCUGCUUGCAACUUUGCAGCCUCCUUGGGGCAGGGGACCUGGCUAUCUCCCUGCACACCUGGCAGGCAGGUGCUGUCGGUGAUGGUGUUAAAUAGCGCCCCUGUGUGGUAGGCCGGUAGCUCAGCAGAAGGGGUUCAGCUGUUGUCUGUCCACAUGCUCAAUAAUGACAUUUGUGGUGAAGCCUGGAGAUGGGAAUAUAAGUAUCAUGUGACAUGAAUAUAGGUAUCAGUUCCGCUGAUCAAAGCAACCAAGUGGGUGCAUAUGGGACAAGGUGAUCUAGCAUGUAGACUGGCCCCAAGUUACAAUCUUAGAAUACAGUGGUACCUUGGGUUACAGACACUUGAGGUUACAAAUGCUUCAGGUUACAGACUCUGCUAACCCAGAAAUAGUACCUCGGGUUAAGAACUUUGCUUCAGGAUGAGAACAGAAAUCGUGCUCUGUCGGCAGGGCAGCAGUGGGAGGCCCCAAUUAGCUAAAGUAUUGCUUCAGGUUAAGAACAGUUUCAGGUUAAGAACGGACCUCCGGAACGAAUUAAGUUCUUAACCCGAGGUACUACUGUCAUAGAAUUGUACGUCUAGUCCAGCCUCCUGAAAUUGAGGGAGUUUGGUAUGUUUAGCCUGGAAAAGAGAAGACUGAGAGGCGAUAUGAUCGGCAUCUUCAAAUAUCUCAAGGGCUGUCACAUGGAAGAAGGAGCAAGUUUGUUUUCUCCUGCUCCAGAGGGCAUUGCAGGGUGUUGGACUAGAUGACUGGAUGUCCAUGGAGGCGCAGGUCCAGGGCAACUGUCUAUCAGCUCCAUCUGGUACGCAGGCUAAGACCCUCCCUGCCCACUGUCUGUCUGGCCAGAGUGGUGCAUGCUCUAGUUAUCGCCCGCUUGGACUAUUGCAAUGUGCACCACGUGGGGCUACCUUUGAAGGUGACCCAGAAACUGCAACUAAUCCAGAAUGCGGCAGCUAGACUGGUGACUGGCAGCAGCUGCCGAGACCACAUAACACCGGUCCUGAAAGACCUACAAUGGCUCUCAGUACGUUUCUGAGCACAAUUCAAAGUGUUGGUUCUGACCUUGAAAGCCCUAAACGGCCUCGGUCCAGUAUACCUGAAGGAGCGUCUCCACCCCCAUCGUUCAACCCAGACACUGAGGUCCAGCUCCGAGGGUCUUCUGGCGGUUCCCUUACUGCAAGAAGUGAGGUUACAGGGAACCAGGCAGAGGGCCUUCUCGGUAGUGGCGCCUGCCCUGUGGAAUGCCCUCCUGUCAGACGUCAAGGAAAUAAGCAACUAUCUGACUUUUAGAAGACAUCUGAAGGCAGCCCUGUUUAGGGAAGUUUUUAAUGUUUGAUAUUUCAUUCUGUUUAAUAUUCUGUUGGGAGUAGCCCAGAGUGGCUAGGUAUAAAAUUAUUAUUAUUAUUAUGACUCUUAGGGUCCCUUCCAACUCUACAAUUCUAUUCCAUGAAUGCAGGAAUCACAGCUAAAAAAUCCCCGACAGAUGACCGUUCAACCUCUGCUUAAAAACCUCCAAGGAGAGUCCACCACCUCCCAAAGGAGUCUGUUCUGCUGCCGAACUGCUCUUCCCGCCAGAAAGUUCUUCCUAACGUUUAGUCGGAGUCUCCUUCCUUGCUGUUUGGAGCCAUUGGUUUGGGUCCUCCCCUCCGGGGCAGGAGAAAACAAGCUUACUCCCUCUUCCAUAUGACAGCCCUUAAAAUAUUUGAAGAUGGCUAGCGUAUCUCCUCUCAGUCCCCUAUUUCCCAUGUGAAACAUACCCAACUCCUUUGGAAAGAGCAAUACCCGUAUGAAGAAUGUGAUUUUGUGAUGAUGUGAUAUCUAUGCUAGAAUUGGACGGUCCCGUUCUUGCAUGUGGAUGAGGCCUGGAUGAAAGAUGUGGCUAAGCUCUGGAGUUGGGACUUUUCGGGAAGUGAGACGUGUGGCAGACCAACUCCUCCAGGGACAAAUGUACCCCCAGGAGCACCCCACAGCAUUUCUGAUUCCCUUUUUCUUUAAUCAACAGUGUUUCUGACGUCCAGCCUUCGUAGCUGGACCAGGGGGCGGGCACGGGUUUUGUUUUCCCUGCGCAGCCCCUGCUAAUAAGAGAGUCGCGUUUGAUUUGGUUAUUUCAGCUAAUUGCGAGGCACCAGGAGAGGCUGCCUUUCCACAGUAAUUAUCCGGGAUAAAAAGAAGAAAAUUGCACCUAUUACCAAUUUGCUUCCUCACUCCUACUGGGCCUUGAUUUGCAGAGCCCGAGAGACUAAUGCGGUUGCCAGCAGUUUUCAUUAUGAAUCGUGUCAAUUUAAAAGGGACUGUAAAAGCCGCCCUCUCCAUGACUCCAAGCCUGGCAGGAGUAAUUUUGUGCAGUGCUCCAGCGAAGGCUAGGGAUUGGUCUAGGUUUGGGGUGGGGGGCACCGGUUGGUUGGCUGGCUGCCAGCCCCUUCUGCAGGCAGAUUGGAGAGUUGGGGGGAAAGCUAGACUGCUCUCUUCCCCUAGUUUUAAGCCUGAUGCUAGGUAAAGGUAAAGGGCACAUCUGACCAUUAGGUCCAGUUGCAGACGACUCUGGGGUUGCGGCGCUCAUCUCGCUAUAUUGGCCGAGGGAGCCGGCGUACAGCGUCCGGGUCACGUGGCCAGCAUGACUAAGCCGCUUCUGGCGAACCAGAGCAGCGCACGGAAACGUCGUUUACCUUCCCGCCGGAGCGGUACCUUAUUUAUCUACUUGCACUUGGAUGUGCUUUCGAACUGCUAGGUUGGCAGGAGCAGGGACCAAGCAACGGGAGCUCACCCCGUCGCGGGGAUUCGAACCGCCAACCUUCUGAUCGGCAAGUCCCAGGCUCUGUGGUUUAACCCACAGCACCACCCGCGUCCAAGCCUGAUGCUACAGCCUUGCAAAAGCAGCCUCCUCUAACCAGGAGCCCCCAAAAUGUUUCUAAAGACAAAUCAUAAGAGCGGUUUUGGUUUCUCUCAAGUCCCAUUCUCGACAUCAUUGUUCAAAUCCACGUUUCCCCAAAACACACAUCAUUCUACAUAGAUUUGCCUGAUACGUGUAUUUUUGCAAGCUAACCCCUUAAGAAAACCCACCCGUUUCUAGCAACUCAAUCCUACUCAGAGUAGACCCAUUGAAAUGGUUGGGCCAGGUUAGUUACGUCCCUUGAUUUCAAUGGGUCCCAUCUGAGUAUGACCAAUUCUGGAUGCAACCCAAAGCAUUUUUCCUUGUUGUUUUUCUCCAAUACGCAUUUUCUGCAUGUUCCCACAACACACACCUUUUAGUAGACAUGUUGGUGUCUGAGAACUGCGUUUCAGAAUUCGGAGAAGUGCAGGGGUAGCUGUGUUUCAUUUCACAUUAUAGAAUCCUAGAAUGGUAGAGUUGGAAGGGACCCUGAGGGUCAUCUAGUCCAACCCCCUGCAAUGCAGGAAUCUCAGCUCAAGCAUCCCUGACAGUUGGUCACCCAAACUCUACUUAAAAACCUCCAAGGAAGGAGAAUCCACAACCUCCUGAGGGAGACCGUUCCUCUGUCAAACAGCUCUUACUGUCAGAAAGUUCUUGCUAACGUUUAGUCGGAGUCUACUUUCUCGCAACUUGAAGCCAUUGCCUCGAGUCCUACCUUCCAGAGCAGAAGAAAACAAGCUCGCUCCAUCUUCCAUGUGACAGCCCUUCAGAUACUUGCAGAUGGGUCUCAUAUCUCCUCUCGGCCUCCUCUUUCCCAGAUUAAAGAUAGCCAGCUCCUUCAACCGUUGCUUUCCAGACCCUUGAUCACCUUAUUCAUCCUUCUCUACACACCUUCCAGCUUGUCAACAUCUUUCCCUGUUUAGGGAAGCUUUUAAUGUUUAAUAGACUAUUGCAUUUUGACCAAACUGCGGGAGGCAGUGGAAGACAGGAGGGCCUGGCGUGCUCUGGUCCAGGGGGUCACGAAGAGUCGUAAACGACUAAACAACAACAACAAUAAGACUAUUGUUUUUUAAUAUUUUGUUGGAAGCCGCCCAGAGUGGCUGGGAAACCCAGGCAGAUGGGUGGGGUAUAAAUAAUGAAUUCUUCUUCUUCAUCAUCAUCAUCAUCUUCGAUUAUGGUGCUGGACAGAGUAUUCCAGGUGUGGUCUGGCCAAGGCAGAACAGAGUGGUACUAUUACUUUCCUUGAUCUAGACCAGGGGUAGGCAACCUAAGGCCUGGGGGCUGGAUGCGGCCCAAUCACCUUCUAAAUCCGGCCCGCGGACGGUCCGGGAAUCAGCGUGUUUUUACAUGAGUAGAAUGUGUCCUUUUAUUUAAAAUGCAUCUCUGGGUUAUUUGUGGGGCCUGCCUGGUGUUUUUACAUGAGUAGAAUGUGUGCUUUGAUUUAAAAUGCAUCUCUGGAUUAUUUGUGGGACACAGGAACUUGUUCAUUCCCCCCCCCCCAAAAAAAAUAGUCCGGCCCACCACAUGGUCUGAGGGAUGGUGGACUGGCUCAGGGCUGAAAAAGGUUGCUGACCCCUGACACUAGACUUCUGUUGAUUCAUCCAAGAAUAGCAUUUGCUUUUUUUUUGCUGCUGCGCCACACUGUGGGCUCAUGUUUUAGCUAAGAUUCCUGCAUUGCAGGUGGUGGGACUUGGAGUCUCUUCCAACUUUUAUGAUUCUAAGUUUGUGGUCCGUUGCUGCCAGCUGUAUGUGUGAAGGGGGCCUUAGUUAAACUGCAAAAGGGUUGUGCUUCUCAGCAAGAAUCGUGGCUCAGUGGCAAAGCAUGCAGAAUGUCCCAAGUUCAGUUCCCCAACAUUAUUUCCAGGCAGGGACGGGGAGACGACUUCUGCCUGAAUCCUUGGCGAAGCAAGUCUCAGCAAUACUGAGUCGGACGGAUGACGAGGAAGGCAGUUCCUCUGAGGACAGUUGCCUGGGGGAGACGGGUAUGUUUUAGGCUGGAGAGAAGGAGAUUAAAGAGGCCGUGCUGACAGCUUCCAAGUGUUUAAAAGUAUGUCGGGAAGGAGCUAGGGAAUAGUUGUUUUCGCCCAUCAAGCGAGGAUCAGACAAGAGGCAGGGGAUUUGAAAUCGAUGUUGCCGUUACGUGGGGAGAUCAGUGCGAUUUUGCCUGUCCUGUGAGGUUGCUCGCCUGCAAAUGUUAGCAGAAGUAUGCAGAGGUGUCUUUCAAGACCAGUUUAAAUUGCAGACAAUUGAAAUGGGGAUCCCCUUAGGAUAAGUGUUCCAACCUUCUAGAUCAGCUCACCAAGCAGGCAAGCAGGACGUCGUUCCCUUUUCCUAACUUUUCCUAAGAGAAACUUUUUCUAAGAGAAAGCUGGUCCAGUUCUUCUUCUUCUUUUUAAAGAGCAUUAUUAUUUUUAAAAGAACACACCCAUGUACAAAUAGAUCAGAUGCAAUAUAAAGAACAGUGCUGUAACGAAGCAGAAAAAUUACACGGAUAAAUAUUGCCCUAUAAUUCCCCCCCCCCCAAUUAUUUUUAUUGUUUUUCGUUUAAGUACAAGAACAACAUACAGUCAAAGCUCGGGUUACGGACCGCCGAAACCCAGAAGUACCAGAAUGGGUUACUUCUGGGUUUUGGCGGUUGCGCAUGCGCAGAAGCGCUAAAUCGCGCUUUGCACAUGCACAGAAGUGCUGAAUCGCAACCCGUGCGUGUGCAGAUGCGCAGAUGUAUAACCGCAGUAAAUUGUUCAAUGGUUCAAUGGUACCUUCCUGUUAAGUUUCAUAUGCAAGACAUAAUACACACGCAAUAUGUUUAUCAAUCCAAGUAGCCUCUCCGCAGAGAAUCUUGUGUUGAGGGUGGAACAACAAAUAUAUUCUGUCUCUUUUAUAAAGGAAAAGGAAGGAAGCCAGGUCUCACCAAAAGCGUCUAUCCUUGAAAUGCCUUUAAUUACCCUUCUGUGAAUUCCACCCUAUAAUUUAUCAUUUCAAAAUACAAUAGAGUCCACCGUACAACAAAUCUGUUCAGUGCUUGUUCUUCUGUACUAUUUUAUAAUAAUUUGUUUCGCAAAUUUAUGUAGCACAUGGUUGUAAAAAACACACACCUUCAAAGCAGUUAACAAUACAGUUAUCACAAAGGAAAAUUAACAUUAACAAUGUAAAAUUUUGUAAAUUUAAAAUAACCGUAAGCUGAAAACCGAUUCAAAGUUGCAUCAACUUUCUAGACAUUUGGGUAGUGUGGCACUUUGCUCAUUAUCCCAGAUUUUUUGAACCAUUCUGAAACUAAAGGUGCAGCUCAGCACCCCACAACCCCCCCCCCAAAAAAAGGUUCAAAAUACGUGAAAGCCACUUCCAGAUAUAUAGCGGAAUAUAGUGCAAGUUUAGUGCUUGUUUACAUGUAAUUUGCUUCCAGGGACGGGGAGACAGGGACCCUUUUUGCAAAUAAGACGGAACUAUUGAUUGCUUCUAUUUCUAUACUGCUUCUUAUUCAAAUAAAUCCCAAAGCGGCUUACAAACAAAAGAUAAAAAUAACAUAAUGGAACAUCACGAAUACAGCAUAAAUCAUAUAGAAUGCUUAACCAAUCAUCACUAAAACAAUCCCAAAUCCCAAAUGAAGCAAUUCCCAUCUAUGUAACACUAUUGGCAAAACAACUAAAAAAAUAAUAUAAACAGUUACACCAAAAAUCAUAUUAUAGGAUUCACAAAGUACAACAGCAUUCACGUCUAUAAAACGAUAUAAACAACAUUAACAAAAUAGCAACAAAACAUAGUGUUGAAUUUGUACGCAUUUUUUUUUUUUAAAUAAAUGAUUUUUAUUGGUUUUACAUAUAAUCACAUUACGUAACAUCGUAGCCUCUUAUUUUAUCUCUUUGGCUUGACUGAAGCUAACAACUUCCCUCCCUCCUGUCUGAUGGUUUACAAAAUGUAAACUUUACAUCUUUACAUUUCGCUUCAUUUCCUAUCCUGUUAUAUCAUUACCUAAAAUAUUUUAUUACUCAACCUGAAUAGGUCGCCAUUUCAUCUUACGUAUAACCCCGCUAGUGAUGUUAACUGCUUACAGUUGUCUUUCAAAUACAGUGGUAUCUCGGGUUACAUACGCUUCAGGUUACAUAUGCUUCAGGUUACAUAUGCUUCAGGUUACAGACUCCACUAACCCAGAAAUAGUACCUCGGGUUAAGAACUUUGCUUCAGGAUGAGAACAGAAAUCGUGCAGUGCCAGCAGGAGGCCCCAUUCGCUAAAGUGGUGCUUCAGGUUAAGAACAGUUUCAGGUUAAGAACGGACCUCCGGAACGAAUUAAGUACUUAACCUGAGGUACCACUGUAUUCCUGUUGUGUUUUGUGAUUUUCCUGGUGUUGUAAGUGAGCCGGAACUGGUCUGUGACCAUAAUAAUAAAAUUCAUUCAAAGCUCAAAUAUAAUGUGGGAAUUAGCAGGGGAACCUUGUGAAAAUGGAAUGAAACUCAUAGAAUCAUAGAGUUGGAAGAGACCACAAGGGCCAUCGAGUCCAACCCCCUGCCAAGCAGGAAACACCAUCAGAGCACUCCUGACAUAUGGUUGUCAAGCCUCUGCUUAAAGACCUCCAAAGGAGACUCCACCACACUCCUUGGCAGCAAAUUCCACUGUCAAACAGCUCUUACUGUCAGGAAGUUCUUCCUAAUGUUUAGGUGGAAUCUUCUUUCUUGUAGUUUGGAUCCAUUGCUCCGUGUCCGCUUCUCUGGAGCAGCAGAAAACAACCUUUCUCCCUCCUCUAUGUGACAUCCUUUUAUAUAUUUGAACAUGGCUAUCAUAUCACCCCUUAACCUCCUCUUCUCCAGGCUAAACAUGCCCAGCUCCCUGCCGUGGGAAUGCAUGGUUGGUUGGCAGGGGUGGGGAUUGUGGGCUGGUAUUACCCAAGCUGGGCCUCUGCCGGAGCCACCAACCCUUUUACUGGCUUUGGAGGUAUUAUAGCUGCGUCUUUGUCACCUGCUUCACAGGGGAGAGAGAUAAGGAGAGCCUCUCUCUGCUCAGGGUGCAGCAGCAGCCCUUGCUCAACACCUUGCUUACCUUGGCUGGGCGUGGAAGGCGCUAACUGUGGGGUUAAGGGGAAAGGUUGACGCUUAGUCAUUCUGCUCUUGCCAGCAAGGCAUUCGCUUUCCGGGAGAGACUCCCUGAGGCAGACACACUUGGUGCCUCUUUCACACUUCACCACUUGACUCGAUUUCACCCAGUGGUACCACCAAUUCAGCUGAUCUCUCCCACUGCCUCUCUCUAUGGGAUGUCUUGUCGCCACGGACUGGCGGAGGCAUUGAGUCCCAGUACAUCUGACCGUGGCACAUCUGGUGCCCUGGGCAACGGGAGAGCUGGGUCGGGCACCAAAUAAAGAGAAACUGAGCUUUUAAUGUCAUGGGCCCAGUCCUGUGGAACUCUCCGCCACUGGAAAUUCAGCGGGCGCCUUCUGUUCCAAGUUCUAAGCACCUGCUGGGAACUUUUCUAUUCCUCCAGGCCUGUGCAGGCAACAUCCUUUCACAAUGGUUUAUUGAGGCUUGCUCCUUUAAAAUUUGUGGCUUUUAAUAUUUUAAGACGUUUUCAUGGUUUUAUUGUAUGGUUUUAAAAAAUCUUUUUAAUGCUGUAAACCACUUUGACUUUUUAAUGAUUUGUUGCUAAAUAAAUAAAUAAAUUUGGGUCCCCAAAGCCAUUAAUAAGUUUAAUUUGCAGAGGCUAUUCAUAUUCCACAUAGCCAUCAGGGAUCAAUUCAUUAGAUGCACAUUUUAACGGGAACAUAGCUAAUCCUCAUUUCCUGAAAACUGAAACACAGCCAUCCUUUGACAUUUGCACCGCUCUGCAUUUUGCAACGCCUUUAUCCAGCAGCCGUGCACGGGAAAAUGUGCAUAUUUGGAAAAAUAGCGCACAGAACGCAGCACGCAUAAGAAUAACUGACUGCAAAAUUUGUGUGUUAGUCAGAAGUUCCUACUAAAGUGCUUAGUAAUUUUUUUAUAUAUACUUUUAGUAUUUUUCAAAUACCUUUCAUAGUUUUUAUUCCUGUGAUCUGCAUUGGACCACUGCGUGCCAUGUAUGUUGUUGUUUAGUUGUUUAGUGGCGUCCAACUCUUCGUGACCCCCUGGACCAGAGCAUGCCAGGCACUCUUGUCUUCCACUGCCUCCUGCAGUUUGGUCAAACUCAUGCUGGUAGCUUCAAGAACACUGUCCAACCAUCUCAUCCUCCGUCGUCCCCUUCUCCUUGUGCCCUCCAUCUUUCCCAACAUCAGGGUCUUUUCCAGGGAGUCUUCUCUUCUCAUGAGGUGGCCAAAGUCUUGGGGCCUCAGCUUCACGAUCUGUCCUUCCAGUGAGCACUCAGGGCUGAUUUCCUUCAGAAUGGAGAGGUUUGAUCUUCUUGCAGUCCAGGGGACUCUCAAGAGUCUCCUCCAGCACCAGAAUUCAAAAGCAUCAAUUCUUUGGCGAUCAGCCUUCUUUAUGGUGCCAUGUAUAAAUCUGUUUAAAUCGAAUCUCUCCCCUGUUCCUAACUCUGACGUCCCUCCUCUCUUAACUCUGGUCCAAGCUGGAGAAUUGGUGAGAAUAUCUUUCCUACUUCUCUCCAGAGACGACAAGCCUACUCAGGUGGGUUCCUUGCUCUCUCCACCUCUCCUGUGCCUUGAGGGCGAGAUCCCGAUUGCGGAGAGCUCUCAGUCAUUUCUAACAUGGCAGAAGUAAACACCGCUGCCUUUCGUGUUUCCCUUGCACCCGUGUCUUCUUGUUGAUGGAUGGGGCAAAAGGACUUGUGUGCUUGAGAAUGGAGGUCCAGGGGUUUGAUGUUACGCUAUUUCUCUCUACUCCUCUGACCUUUGAGAUGCGGAAUCUGUUUUGAUGAAGGGAGAGGCAUCGCUGAGUGGCAAGGGGAUUGCAGCUUUGAGGGAGCUUACGGGGUUGGCAGCAGUGGGUGGAGCGAUGGCACUGACUCUCUGUACAACCUGCAGUGCAAAAAGGACAAGGUUUUUACAUCUUAAAUUUCACAUUUAAGCAGAUAGAUGGCCUUCUGUCCUGGAUGCUUUAGCUGAGAUGAUGAUGAUGAUGAUGAUAAUAAUAAUAAUAAUAAUAAUAAUAAAUAAUAAUAAUAAUAAUUUAUUAUUUAUACCCCACCUAUCUGGCUAGGUUUCCCCAGCCACUCUAGGUGGCUUUCAACAGAAUAUUAAUAUACAAUAGUCUAUUAAACAUUAAAAGCUUCUCUAAACAGGGCUGCCUUCAGAUGUCUUCUAAAAGUCUGGUACUUAUUGUUCUCUUUGACAUCUGGUGGGAGGGCGUUCCACAGGGCGGGUGCCACCACCGAGAAGGCCCUCUGCCUGGUUCCCUGUAACUUGGCUUCUCGCAGGGAGGGAACUGCCAGAAGGCCCUCGGCGCUGGACCUCAGUGUCCGGACAGAAUGAUGGGGGUGGAGACGCUCCUUCCGACAUUCCUGCAUUGCACGGGGUUGGACUAGAUGAUCCCUGGAGUCCCUUCCAGCUCUACAGUUCUGUGAUUCUAUUAUCUCCACCUGUGCCAUCUGAGCAGUUUUUGUCACCUAUUGUACCCCUGAUCCAGUUCUCACCCACCAGAAACUGUCUUUAAAAAGCAGAAAAGCAAGCUAGCCAUGGCUGAUCCUGGUAGAAUCAUAGAAUCGUAGAAUUGGAAGGGACCCCCAAGAUUCAUCUAGUCCACCCCCUUGCAAUGCAGGAAUAUCAGUUAAAGCAUCCGAGACAGAUGGCCAUCUAACCUCUGCUUAGAAACCUCCAAGGAAGGAGAGUCAACAAUCUCCCAAGGGAGUCUGUUCUACUAUCGAAAGCUCUCCCUGUCAGAAAGUUCUUCCUGAUGUUUAGUCUGCAUCUCCUUUCUUGUAACUUGAAGCUGUGGGUUCGAGUCCUACUCUCCAAAGCAGGAGAGCCCUCUUAAGGUGACCUGGAAUCACGGGAGCUAGAAGGGAUCCUAAGGGCCAUAUAGUCCAACCCUCUGCAACGCUGAUGUGGCAGCCUGUUGCAACCGUGGCACGGCCGACUUGGGACACAAUCAUAGAAUCAUAAAAUUGUAGGGUUGGAAGGGACCCUGAGGGUCAUCUAGUCCAACCCCCUGCAAUGAAGGAAUCUCAGCUAAAGCAUCCAGGACAGAUGGCCAUCCAACCUUUGCUUAAAAACCUCCAAGGAAGGAGAGAUCAGAAGAGAUCAGAAGACAUGUAUUACACAUGUCUGCUUCUGUGUAAUACAGUCAUACCUCGAGUAACAGAUGCUUCAGGUUGCGUUUUUUUGGGUUACAGACUGCCGAAACCCGGAAGUACCGGAAUGGGUUACCUCUGGGUUUUGGCGGCCGUGCAUGCGCAGAAGCACUAAAUCACGCUUUGCGCAUGCGCAGAAAUGCUAAAUUGCAUCCCGCGCAUGCGCAGGCGCGCAGCUGUGGGUUGCGAAUGAUGCGGGUUGUGAAUGUGCAUCCCGCAUGGAUCAUGUUCGCAACCCAAGAGUCCAUUGUAAAAUAAUAAUAAUAAUACUAAUAAUAAUUUAUUAUUUAUUAUUUAUUAGGGACACGGGUGGCACUGUGGGUUAAACCACAGAGCCUAGGACUUGCCAAUCAGAAGGUUGGCGGUUCGAAUGUGAUGGUGUGAGCUCCCGUUGCUCAGUCCCUGCUCCUGCCCACCUAGCAGUUCUAAAGCACGUGAAAGUGCAAGUAGAUAAAUAGGUACCACUCCAGCGGGAAGGUAAAUGGCGUUUCUGUGCGCUGCUCUGCUUCGCCAGAAGCGGCUUAGUCUUGCUGGCCACAUGACCUGGAAGCUGUACGCUGGCUCCCUCGGCCAGUAAAGUGAGAUGAGCGCCGCAACCCCAGAGUCGGCCACGACUGGACCUAAUGGUCAGGGGUCCCUUUACCUUUAUUAUUUAUACCCUGCCCUGGCUGGGUUUCUCCAGCCACUCUGGGCAGCUUCCAACAAAAUAUUAAAAAUACAUUAAAAGUGUAGGACUUGAUACGAUCCUGUUCCGCACCGACCUGUAUCAGACUGCCGUGUGCUUGCAUCCUCCCCACCUCUGGGUCUGUGCCACCUAGGGAUCAGUUGUGCAGACUGACAACGCCCCUGGCACACACGCACAGCCCGACUUUGCUAUCUCUCCCUGUGAAAUCUGAGCGAUAUCCUGUGCAUUGGUGUUGCGUCCUCCCUGCUGAUGCUGCCUGCCCUGCUGCCGCCAGAUCCUCUCUGCCGCUGGCCUAAGCCCCCCCUGAGCCCUGCAGUAGUACAUCGUGAAGCCAGUUUCUGAGCAAAUCCUUGCCAUAUAUGGCCAAAGCCAAGGACUCCUGCUCCUUUGCCUGCAGAACUGAUAAGUGUCUUGUUUUAAGAGAGCAGCCACAGCCUGCCCCCACAAUCUCCAGCUGCGUCACAGCCUUUUUCUUCUGGAUUGCGCAUUCUUUAGAUUUUCGGUCCUCAAAUUGCGGAGAGAGGACUGUUUGCACUGGGAGGGCUGUCUUGUCUUCUGCAACUGGCCCCCAGGGAAAAUAGAUAAAUAAAAUAGAGGGCAUAUAAAGGCUGCAGUCCCAUUGAACUCUCUCACCCCAGGGCCCAAGGAGGGGAAAAUCCGAAGGCUUCCCAAUCCAGGGAGGGGGGAGAAUUACAUUUACAAGGCAAAGCAUUGUAAGCAUAGAGCACUCUAUGUGAGUGUCCUCUUUUCCGUUUGAGCUGGAGAGGGGGUGCAUGGAAGGAUUAUUUAUUAUUAUUAUUAUUAAAUAAUAUAUUGGCCUAUACCCAGAGGUCUCAGGGCGGUUCACAGAACAAAAGCAAAAUAUAAAACCACAAAACAUAUAAUUAAAAUAAAAACAACAACCCAAUAACACACACACACACACACCCAAUCAGUGGGGGCUGAUCCUGUACUUUCUUAUUUCUUUUUUUUUAUGCAGUUACAAACUUGGUAGAUCAGGGGAAUCAUAGAAUCAUAGAAUCAUAGAGUUGGAAGCGACCACAAGGGCCAUCGAGUCCAACCCCCUGCCAAGCAGGAAACACCAUCAGAGCACUCCUGACAUAUGGUGGUCAAGCCUCUGCUUAAAGACCUCCAAAGAAGGAGACUCCACCACACGCCUUGGCAGCAAGUUCCACUGUCGAACAGCUCUUACUGUCAGGAAGUUCUUCCUAAUGUUUAGGUGGAAUCUUCUUUCUUGUAGUUUGGAUCCAUUGCUCCGUGUCCGCUUCUCUGGAGCAGCAGAAAACAACCUUUCUCCCUCCUCUAUGUGACAUCCUUUUAUAUAUUUGAACAUGGCUAUCAUAUCACCCCUUAACCUCCUCUUCUCCAGGCUAAACAUGCCCAGCUCUCUUAGCCGUUCCUCAUAAGGCAUCGUUUCCAGGCCUUUGACCAUUUUGGUUGCCCUCCUCUGGACACGUUCCAGUUUGUCAGUGUCCUUCUUGAACUGUGGUGCCCAGAACUGGACACAGUACUCCAGGUGAGGUCUGACCAGAGCAGAAUACAGUGGCACUAUUACUUCCCUUGAUCUAGAUGCUAUACUCCUAUUGAUGCAGCCCAGAAUUGCAUUGGCUUUUUAGCUGCCGCGUCACACUGUUGGCUCAUGUCAAGUUUGUGGUCAACCAAGACUCCUAGAUCCUUUUCACAUGUACUGCUCUCAAGCCAGGUGUCCCCAUCUUGUAUUUGUGCCUCUCAUUUUUUUUGCCCAAGUGCAAUACUUUACAUUUCUCCCUGUUAAAAUUCAUCUUGUUUGUUUUGGCCCAGUUCUCUAAUCUGUCAAGGUCGUUUUGAAGUGUGAUCCUGUCCUCUGGGGUGUUAGCCACCCCUCCCAGUUUGGUGUCAUCUGCAAAUUUGAUCAGGAUGCCCUUGAGUCCAUCAUCCAAGUCGUUGAUAAAGAUGUUGAAUAAGACCGGGCCCAAGACAGAACCCUGUGGCACCCCACUAGUCACUCUUCUCCAGGAUGAAGAGGAACCAUUGAUGAGCACCCUUUGGGUUCGGUCAGUCAGCCAGUUACAAAUCCACUGAGUGGUAGCAUAGUCAAGACCGCAUUUUACCAGCUUCUUUACAAGAAUAUCAUGGGGCACCUUGUCAAAUGCCUUGCUGAAAUCAAGGUAGGCUACAUCCACUGCGUUCCCUUCAUCUACCAGGCUUGUAAUUCUGUCAAAAACGAGAUCAGGUUAGUCUGACAUGACUUAUUUUUCAGAAAUCCAUGCUGACUAUUGGUGAUCACAGCAUUCCUUUCUAGGUGCUCACAGACUGUUUGCUUAAUGAUCUGCUCCAGAAUCUUCCCUGGUAUUGAUGUCAGACUGACUGGGCGGUAAUUAUUUGGGUCCUCUCUUUUCCCCUUUUUGAAAAUAGGGACAACAUUUGCCCUCCUCCAGUCUGCCGGGACUUCGCCUGUUCUCCAGGAAUUCUCAAAGAUGACUGCCAGUGGUUCUGAGAUCACAUCUGCCAGUUCUUUUAAUACUCUUGGAAUGCUGUGAACAUAGUGUAUCUUGAUUUCAGUAAGGCUUUUGACAAAGUCCCCCAUGAUAUUCUCGCAGGGAAGCUGGUAAAACGCGGGUUGAGCGAGGUAACUGUUAGGUGGAUUUGUAGCUGGUUGACUGACAAGAAAGAAGAUUCCGCCUAAACAUUAGGAAGAACUUCCUGACAGUAAGAGCUGUUUGACAGUGGAAUUUGCUGCCAAGGAGUGUGGUGGAGUCUCCUCCUUUGGAGGUCUUUAAGCAGAGGCUUGACAACCAUAUGUCAGGAGUGCUCUGAUGGUGUUUCCUGCUUGACAGGGGGUUGGACUCGAUGGCCCUUGUGGUCUCUUCCAACUCUAUGAUUCUAUGAUUCUAUUCUAUGAUUCUAUGACCAAACCCAAAGAGGCCUUAUUAAUGGUUUCCCGUCACCCUGGGGAAAAGUGGCGAGUGGGGUGCCCCAGAGUUCUGUCCUGGGCCUGUUGUCUUUAUAAAUGACUUGGAUGAAGGAAUUGAGGGGAUGCUCAUCAAAUUUGCAGGUGACACCAAACUGGGAGGGGUAGCUAAUGCCGCAGAAGACACAAUGUGAAAAGGAUCUUGGGGUCUUGGUGGCCCACAAGUCAACAGUUCCAACCAACCCCAGCCAGCAUGGCUGCUGUACAGGGAUGAUGGACAUUUGAGGGUUUCAGCAACACCUGAGCCGUAUAGGCAGUGCUGUGCCCAUGUGCCCAACCCCAGGUGUGGACCUGGUAAAGUCGCUGCUUUGCUGAAAGCCUUGUCUAUGCCAGAGCUGCUCUGGCCAUCAGCACAUGACAAGGCCAUUGGCUGCCUGUGAAGCCCUGUGCUUUGUGAGAGCUGCUGAUCGGCUGGGGUUGGCCCUUGGUUUCUGCCAGGUGAUGGGCAGACAGGCAGCCCCUGCCACCUCUCCAACGUGGGAGAGAUAAGGAUUCAGUCAGCUGCCCGGAUCCAAUUGCCCACCUGUGUUGUUGCUACAGGAGUGAAUGGAUGCACAUAGUCUGAGGAAAGUCCUUUCCAGCUCUGGAUUUGACAGUUUGCAAAUAAAAGAGCGUGGCAGUUGCCCUGUUGCAUCAGAUAGAUUUGUGGAGUCUUAGAGUCGAAAGGGACCACUGAGGGCCAUCUAGUCCAGCCCCCUGCAAUGCAGGAAUCACUGCUAAAGCAUCCCGGGCAGAUGGCCAUCCAACCUCAACUUAAAUCCCUCCAAGGAAGGAGAGUCCACCACCUUCCGAGGGAGACCAUUCUGCUGUUGAGCAGCUCUCUGAAACUGCUUCCUAAUGUUGAGACGGGAUCUCCUUUCUUGCCAUUCGAAUGCCCUCUGGAGAUCAAGCAGUCCGGCAUCCCGUUCCCCACAGUGGCUAAGCAGAUGCUCUCAGGAAUGGCGACCGUCGUCGAGAGGUGUUCUGCCUCUGAGCGUGAGACUUCCACUUUGCUAAGAGCUGCUGAUAAGACUCUCAGGGCUUGCUGAACCCACUGAGGAAGAGAAACUUGCAGGAGCUGGUGGCCUUUGCAACACCUUUGGUAGUUCGUAGUUCCCUGCAACGUUGGCAAGGCGCUGACCUGGCAGGCCAGCGAGGCCCAGCACCCGGCUUGACGUUAAUCAUUAACCCACAGCGGGGGAAUUCCACCUCUGGAGCGGCCGUCCCCAAGUUGCCCGAAGAAGGGCGAUUUUCCUGACAUCCUUUGAUAGUCGUGAUCUCCAUAUUUGGAAAUGUUUACCCAUGCUCUGAUCUAUUGGAAGGGGAGGGGAGGUGACUCAGGGCCUGGUGGAAGCGAGAUUUGAAUUCCUGCAGGCAGGAGAAGUUUUUCCCCUUCCUUCCUUCUUUCUUUCUGCCUGCCUCUCUCCCUCUUCCUUGUGCUUGUGGUCACUCCGGCAGUUUCGCUCACUCCUGGAGCCGGUUCCAAAUUUGUUCCGCUCUGGGACAAGGCGUCCCCUCGGGCAGGGAGAACAGCCCAGCCUCCAGUAAGUACCUCCUUAUUGGCCUCGUGAGUGGAAUGGCGAACAACCAGGGUGGCAGGCUGAGGGGUCACGACGGAGCUUGCAUCGUGCCAUGUGGGUCCGGUUAGCGAAGAGGCAAAAUGCCCAGUGCCAGACAGCAAGGGAGGGCAAGGGGAGGAGGAGACAGGUAGCUGUGCUUCAGAGUCCUUUCCGGCAGACUGUCAAGGUCCUUGCCAGUGAGGCUCAAGGCUGGCCUUGGCAUAAAUUGGCAGUGCCAGCCAUGGUUUGCAGUCCGUUGUUGCCAUUUGCCUUGAGUCCCAGGAAGGCGUCAAAACAGACUUUAUGGUUCCUGACAUGCUUUGUCUCCAGAAAGAGCUGCCUGCCCAUGUAUGGUCUGUUGAGCCGCAGGACUUCUUCAUUGCCCCAGUUAAUAUUUAUCUCUGAUCCAUCGAAGGAAUGGAGAUCUCAACAGGAACAGUUUCUUCAGCUCGCAACUUGUUUUCUGUUGGUGCCGUAAUCGCCUCUUGUUUUUCUCCAACGUGCCAGCCUGCAUUUUGCAUGCAAAAAUUUAGAAAUCUGACCAGGUAGGGAGUACGUAGGAAGCUACCUUGCACCAAGGGAGACCAUUUAACUUAGUAUUUCCUACACGGACUGGCAGCGAUGGGUUUUGGGCAGGAGGGUCUCGCAAUCCUGCUUGGAGAUGCUGUUGCAGAUUGAACCUGUGGGAUCUUCUGCAUUCGAGGCAGAUGCUUUGACCCUGAGCUACGGCACGUCCCCUGAACCCCCCCCCCUUCCCUUUUUCCUGAAAGGAAAUUGUUUUGUGGACAGUCAGGGAGCCAGCAGGAAAACCCUGGAUCCCCUACUGCUUCCUGGCUCCCAGGGGGAAAUGGAGGCAAGCCCCAGCUUCCCUCCUUUAUCUUACUUUGCAGGGCAGCUGUGACGCUGGCCACAGAUUCAGGGCAUGCGGGAGAAAGUUCCCAUAGCGCAUCGUUCCCCUGUGGAACUCACUGUCACAUGAAUGUGCUGGUCGCAGGAUUCAGUGGUUUUUGGAGAAGGCGGAAUUGUGCAAGAGGGGGAGUGUUUUUUGGGGGGGUUGGGGAAUACCCUGAGGACACCAGGUUGGGAAGGACUGUUCCAAGUGGUCCUCUUGAUCUGAACCAGUGUCCUUAAGAUUUUAGGGUGCAUGCCAAACCUCUGAUCUGGGGUCUUUGUGUGUUGGAAGGGGUGGAGGUCUGAUUCCCUCCAGCCCUGAACAGCUACACUGGAAUCUAUCUGCCCAUGGAGGGGUGGCAUUUCUCUGCCAGUGCCCAGCUCCUGGGUUGAAUUUCUGUGAAAUGGGGCAUUACAGGGGAGGAGCUGAACUGCUUGGGAUCCACUGGGUCGUGAGUUGCCCCUAAUUCUGUCACUUCAGAAGGCCCAAUUUGGGCCCGAUGACUAGGCCAGCUCCGAAUUGGCACCUUGUUUGUAUUAUUGUUAUGACUGAUAGCAUUUAUACCUCGCAUUCUCCUCCCAAAGAGCUCAAGGUGGCGUAUGUGGUCUCCUUGUUCCUCAGCUGAUCCACACAACAACCCUGUGAGGUAGGCUAAGCGGAUAGGCAGUGUGACUGGCCCCCAAGGUCAGCUCAGUCAGCCUCAUGGCCGAGUGGAGAUUUGAACCCUGGUCUCUCCCAGGUCCUAGUCUGGCACUUUAACCAUUACACCAUACUGCCUCAGAACAUAGCCCAGAGUAGACUUUCACUUGCCCCCUGCCUUUUGCCCCAGUUGGAGUGAUUAAUCCCCACCCCACUGCCCAGCCAAAGUCCCGGGUUUAGUUCCUGGCAUCUCCAGGCAGGAGGAUAAAACUUUGCUCUUCCUUUUAGUUCUGUUCUCUUGGUGUGUUUAUUUUCAUAGACUCACAGAAUUGCUGGAAGGGACCACGAGAGUCUGGGGCGCAGGUGGCACUGUGGGUUAAACCACAGAGCCUAGGACUUGCCGAUCGGAAGGUCGGCGGUUCGAAUCCCCGCGACGGGGUGAGCUCCCGUUGCUUGGUCCCUGCUCCUGCCAACCUAGCAGUUCGAAAGCAUGUCAAAAGUGCAAGUAGAUAAAUAGGUACCACUCAGGCGGGAAGGUAAACGGUGUUUCCGUGCGCUGCUCUGGUUCGCCAGAAGCGGCUUAGUCACACUGGCCACAUGACCCGGAAGCUGUACGCCGGCUCCCUCGGCCAGUAAAGCGAGAUGAGCGCCGCAACCCCAGAGUCGGCCACGACUGGACCUAAUGGUCAGGGGUCCCUUUACCUUUACCUUUUACCAUGAGAGUCACUAUGCCAACCCCUUGCAAUGCAGGAAUCUUUUGCCCAAUGUGGGCCUCCCUCAAACCCACGACCCUGAGACAAAGAGUCUCACGCUAUCCCAGAUUUCAGCUGUUUGCGUGGUUUCGUUCUUUGCUUUAGUAAGCCCCUUUCUGGGUCACAUUUGCUGGACUUGGGAGGGCGAGAUGCAAACCGUUCUGAAAAUGGGGGGGGGGGGGACCAAUAAGGAAAUGUUUCUGCCACUUUUAAAUAAACUCUUAUAAGGUCCAAGUGCCCCUGAUACAAAUCCCAGUGUCUGGAAGCCACAGGAAGGGAAAGUUGCUCUCGUGCUGGGAUCCCGCUUGCUGGUUUCCCACGGUGGCAUCUAGUUGAUUCCAACAAGAACAGGACGAUGGACUUGAUGGCUAACUGGCCUUUUUCAGCAGAUUGUCUUUAUGUCCUUAUGCCAGUUCUGGGAGGUGGAGAGGUGUUAUGUACUGAGUUGAAUAGGAUCCAAAAUGCAGCAGUCUGAUUGGUCCUAGAACAAUAGGAUUCAGAAUGCAGCAGCCUGAUUGGUCCUAGAACAAUAGGAUUCAGAAUGCAGCAGCCUGAUUGGUCCUAGAACAAUAGGAUUCAGAAUGCAGCAGCCUGAUUGGUCCUAGAACAAUAGGAUUCAGAAUGCAGCCGUCUGAUUGGUCCUAGAACAAUAGCGUCCAGAAUGCAGCAGUCUGAUUGGUUCUAGAACCGUAGGAUCCAGAAUGCAGCAGUCUGAUUGGUCCACAGGAGCCACCCAAUCCAGCUCCAGGUGGAAGUGAAUCCGCAACCUGAUUGGCCUACAGGAGAAUCGCGGAAUUAGCCAAUCAUGUGGGGUCCAUUGUGUAAAUAAUGUAUAUAAGGCAGACAUUCUGGGGGAACUUCCAUUCCUCCUCACCACUAUGAGCUGAAUAAAGAGCAUAAAAUCCACUCUCGACUCCGAGCAUAUUUCAAGAGGAACGCACACCUUCAUCCCAGAGAUCCCUGUUGGAUCAACAGUGCCAUAAUACAUUGGGUGACCCCAAAGGGAGAGACCCCAAAGGACAUCUCCCCUGGGGGGUUGGCUCCUCAGGGUCUCCAAAGGGUGAAGGCGCCACCCUCCCUUCUUUUGUGUGUUUGUGUGCACGCACACAUUUUCGCUCUCUGGUGUUAUUGUGGAACAAGGGGGUGGGAGGUUUCUGCCGUGGGUGUUGUGGGCAGUGACUCACACCGGAGCCUGGGUGGGUGAGGACUGAGGUUGGAAGUUGUGAAGAGUCUCACAAGCCACAGAGCGAGGUGCACAUUGCGUGAGAGACAGCGGAAGGCUGAGUGGGAUGUCCCAGGUGAUUGAGGGGGCGAGACCUGUCGCUCGGGGUGUUUUCUAGUUUCAGUCAGCUGAAUGGCCUGUUUUUUUAAUCCGGGUCUUCGAUUAAAUUGGAAAUUCUGGGUGUUGCUCUCGUCGUUGUUUUGUUUUAUGCUGGAGUUGUUAAUUUGUUAGUUAUUUCUUGGAUUUGUUUUUAUGGAGUCUGUAAUUUUUACGUCUUGUUAUCUUGUGUGUUACGUGUAUAUUAUACUGUUACUUUAUUUCAUUGUUUGCUCUGGGAUGGAAAUAUUCAGUGGGAAGCAGGCGAUAAGUUUGCACUGGCUGAUAAAUAUGCAUCUUCAAGGGCAAAAAGCCAGUUCAAAGGUGCCCUUUUUUACCUUUAACACCUGUAGAAAUGAGGGAGGGAAUUCAAGAGAUUGCAAAAAAGAGGAUGGAUUUUGCAAUUCAACCAAAAUGUGACACUUUGCAUUUGACUUUAAUCCCCAAAUUUUGAGUUUUAUCUUCAAAACGUUGCAUUUGAAUAGUGAACUUGCAAAAGCACCCAAAUCAGGCCUGCAGCCAGAUAUCCUAUGGUGAAUCAUCUAACCUCAGGGCCUAAUCCCACUGUAGUUAGAUUAAGUUGUGAUUAAGUGCUAUAUAGUGGGGUGGGAAUUUAAUUGGUUUGAUUAGUUUAAUGGUAUUAUUGAUGUAUGGUGGCCCGGAAAUGAGUUGAUUUUCUUCUGCCUAAUUUUCUCCCAUGUUAUUUUUUUUUUUUAAAAAAAGGUUGAAUUUUGUACUUCAUAGCUGACCUUCCUUUGUAAUAUUUUUCAUGGUUGUUUUCUGUGCUUAUUAGGAAUUUUCAUUGUAUUUUUGCAGCUGAUCGUUUAAGGUGCAAUGUUUAUUUUGGUGCUUGAAAGAGGACGCUCUGUUUAGUUGUUCAUUGUGUUUCACAAAACGUAGCCACUCCCUGGCAUUUAAAAAAAACCUAACCAUAAUGAUGGCCAAGUGAUCAUGUGCAAAGUCCCUCACUACAGAAGGGCAACUUCUCAUUGUUGUCGUUGUUUAGUCGUUUAGUCGUGUCCACCUCUUUGUGACCUCCUGGACCAGAGCACGCCAGGCACUCCUGUCUUCCACUGCCUCUUGCAGUUUGGUCAAACUCAUGCUGGUAGCUUCGAGAACACUGUCCCACCAUCUCGUCCUCCGUCGUCCCCUUCUCCUUGUGCCCUCCAUCUUUCCCAACAUCAGGGUCUUUUCCAGGGAGUCUUCUCUUCUCAUGAGGUGGCCAAAGUCUUGGAGCCUCAGCUUCACGAUCUGUCCUUCCAGUGAGCACUCAGGGCUCAUUUCCUUCAGAAUGGAGAGGUUGGAUCUUCUUGCAGUCCAUGGGGCUCUCAAGAGUCUCCUCCAGCACCAUGAUUCAAAAGAUUCAAUUCUUUGGCGAUCAGCCUUCUUGAUGGUCCAGCUCUCACUUCCAUACAUCACUACUGGGAAAACCAUAGCUUUAACUAUACGGACCUUUGUUGGCAAGGUGAUGUCUCUGCUUUUAAAGAUGCUGUCUGGGUUUAUCAUUGCUUUUCUCCCAAGAAGCAGGCGUCUUUUAAUUUCGUGGCUGCUGUCACCAUCUGCAAUGAUCAUGGAGCCCAAGAAAGUAAAAUCUCUCACUUCCUCCAUUUCUUCCCCUUCUAUUUGCCAGGAGGUGAUGGGGACUUCUCAUAUGUGUAUGCUAUUAUAUAUAUAUAUAAAGUUACAAAACAGCCACUUAUAAAACACUCCCCUGCCUCUGUAUUUGCCAUCAAAGAUAUUUUAACCUAUGCUGCAAACUGCGGAGAGUUUUGUUCUAAUAUGCGCAGUAUAUAAACUGUCCGAUGAAAUAAAAUACAUUCAAAAGGUUAUCCCAGCUUAGGAAGUUCCACAAAUUUCUGUAUGGAAAAGCACAGGUGGAAGAGGUGAAUUCACGUGUCGUGAAGGGUUCAUUGGCUACUGGGUGUCCUUUUUCAGGUGAAGCAAUUCUCUCUACGAAGUAGGCAAAGUUGACAAGACUGGAAUUGGAAUGGCUGUUGUUUUUUUAAAAAAAUUCCCUGCAGCUAAAUGAUGGGGUGAGUGUGGAGGAGCCUCUUUUUUGGGGAAGCUUCCCAGGGGUUUUGAUGAAAGUUAGAAAUCAAAAGGGCGGCAUUUGUUUGGGGUCUGAGACAGGCCCAUCUCUAAGGGUGCGUCUCUGAUUUUGAUGUACUGGACAGACACCUUCUUUAGGCAGACUGUACAGCUUUUAAAAAAAUAAUGUUCGAGGAGGAGGAGAAUGCUAGGACUGUGUCGUAAAAGUGAAUUAUGCUGCGUGUCGGAUGCUGUCUAAUGAGGAAUACGGUGCAUAACAUUAAUAAUAAUAAUAAUAAUAAUAAUAAUAAUAAUAAUAAUAUAUUUAUACCCCCGCUCUCCCCAACCAGAGAUGGGCUCAGGGCGGCUAACACCAGUAAAAUUACAAUAAAAACAUAAUGAUGGGGGGGACCCAAUUUAAAAUACAGGUUAAAAUGCAAUUUAAAAUGCAGCCUCAUUUUAAAAGUAGCCCAUAGAUCAAAACCAUAAGGGGAGGGAAGACAUAAGAGUCAGACUGAGUCCAAACCAAAGGCCAGGCGGAACAGCUGUGUCUUGCAGGCCCUGCGGAAAGAUGUCAAGUCCCGCAGGGCCCUAGUCUCUUGUGACAGAGCAUUCCACCAAGUCGGGGCCAGUACUGAAAAGGCCCUGGCCCUAGUUGAGACCAAUCUAACCACCUUGCAACUUGGGACCUCCAAAAUGUUGUCAUUUGUGGACCUCAAGGUCCUCCGCGGGGCAUACCAGGAGAGGCGGUCCCGUAGGUACGAGGGUCCUAGGCUGCACAGGGCUUUAAAGGUCAAAACCAACACCUUAAACCUGACCCUGUACUCCACCGGGAGCCAGUGCAGUUGGUAAAGCACUGGAUGAAUGUGAUCCCGCGGCGAGGACCCCGUAAGGAGCCUCGCCAUGGCAUUCUGCACCCGCUGGAGUUUCUGGGUCAGCUUCAAGGGCAGCCCCGCAUGUGGAUGGUCAGUGGUUUGUUAAUGGCGCUAUGGAUGGCCGAGUGCUGUUGAAAGUAAUCUAUCGGAAUCCUGUGGAUUAUUAGGGAUCUGGUGCUUGGCAAUGAUUUAGGAGAGCUGCGCAUUUCCCGCCCCCCCCCCCAUUUUCUAUAAGAGGCGGAUUCGUGCCACAGUGAGUGAAUCUUCGUAAGUAAGUCUGUUUGCAUCACAUAGUUCAACUGUGGAACUCCCUGCCACAGGAGCCGAUGGUGGCAACCAACCUGAACGGCUCUGAGAGUGGAUUAGACAAAUUCCUGGAGGAGGAGAGGGCUACCGAUGGCUACUGGCCAAAAUGGCUUUGCUCUGCCGCCGCAGCUGGAGGCAGCUGUGCUUCUGAAUUGCUGGAAACCACGGAAGGGGAGAGGGGCUGUUGUGAUGGAAUCCCACAGGCAACUGUGGGAACAGGAUGCUGGACUAGAUGGGCCAUUGGCCUGAUCCAGAAGACACUUUUAACGUUCUAAUGUUCUUAUGUAGAUAAUACAAGACUCUUUGCUGCCUUGGUGUGUUUUCAGGUGAUUUUCUGCCACCCUGAGGACUAAUAACGUAAACGUGCGUGGUGGAAAUGCGAAGAUCUUGAGAUUUCCCUUUUUUUCAGAUCUAGCAUGAGAUGGCCGUACUUUGCAUUGCGUGGUGAUUCAUGCUAAGGCAGAUUGGUAAAUCCCCGCCUCUCCUUCUUUGAGUAGGAGUCCCUUUACCGCUGCUGCCCUUUAGAAACGAAAGCAAAAUUGCAAUUAACCUGUGUAACAGAGUGAUUGCUCGAUUUUUGCCUUGACGGUGGUCCUAUUUAUCUUCCUUUUUUUAAAAAAAUGAUAUUUAUUAAAGUUUCAAAAGAAGGAUACAUAAAUAAGAAAGAGAAAAAUAGAAAAAAGAAAAAUACAAAAUGCAAGAAAAAAAAAAUUAAAAACAAUUCCAUCUUAACAUCACUUCUCUUUCAUUUACUUGUUUCCCGGACCUCCUCAUACCUCCCUUUUUUGUAUUCCAGUUCAAUUUAUUAGUUCAGCAGUUCCUUUCCCUCCUUUUUAAUCCUGAUCUUUAAUCUUAAUAUAUUAUAACAUUAGGUUUUUACGUAUUGAAAAUCCAAUUUUUCCAUAUUCCUUUAUACCACCUAUUUAUCUUCCUUUAGUUGCCUCAUCCCUGCCACGAGCAACUAUUUUGCGGGCAAAGGAAGAUAAACUUUUCUAAUUUUUUUUCUAUAAUUUUUUAUUAGUUUUUUAACAUACCAUUUUCAACAGUAAUUAAACUUUUACAUCUUAUUCGAUUUUUUGACUUCCAUCAGUCCUGUCUGAAAAUUUUCCAAUCUAAUCUUUUAGUAUGCAUUUCUUAUUUCCCCUAUUACAUUUAAAACUCAUAACCAAUAUCUCUGUCUUUUUCUACUUGGUAACACUUCGUAUAUUUCUCCUUACAAAACUUCUUGUAGUCCUACUAGCGUAAUUUGUUGGUUACAAUUGCUCUUCAAAUAGUUCAUAUACUUCUUCUGAUCUUCUGUAAAUCUCUGGUCCCGCAGGUUUCGAAUCCUUCCUGUCAUUUUGUCCAGUUCUGCAUAGUCCAUUAAUUUCGUUUGCCAUUCUUCUUUCGUCGGAAUUUCUUCUUGCUUUGAGGAAGAUAAACUUUCCUAAACGUGGGUUGCCCCCAGCUUUGCUGCAAGAAGCAGACGCCUGAUUUGCCCAUAAACUGGGCAGCAGAGGGCAAGACUGGGAUUCAGAAGUGGGGGUACCAACCACCUUUGACUGGCCUGGAUAGCCAUUAUUUUUGGUUGUGUUCUGCCCGCCCCCCAAGGGGCAGGGAAUUGUCCAGCCUCUCGCUUUGAGCCGCCAGCCCAAAGAAUUAAGAGAAAUAAUUGAUAAUAUUUAUACCCCUCCCUCCUGACUGGCUUGCCUCAGCCAGUCUGGGCGGCUUCCAGCAUGCAUAAAAACAUAAUAAAUCAUUAAAGAUUAAAAAGCUUCCCUAUACAGGGCUGCCUUCAGAUGUCUUUGAAAGGUUGUAUAGUUCCUUAUUGUCUUGAUGGGGGGCGGGGAGGGGUCACAUAAUUCCAUGCCCUCUAACAUUUCUCUGAUGAAAAUAGGGACGUCCUGAGGAAAAGCGGGACAUUAUGGGAUCAGAUCAGAAACCGGGACGACUUCUGUAAAGUCUGCAACUGUCCCUGGAAAAUAGGGGCAGUUGGAGGGUCUGGCAUUGAGUGUUCGUCCCAUCAGUGAUGGGACAAAUCUCUCUCUUUCCCUUUCUCUCUUUCUCUUUCUCUCGUGUUUUUCCAAAACAGAACACACACUCACGGUCCAAAUCCUUGCAAAGACCGCAUGCAGACACCUUCAUGUCGGAUUUACGUGUAAGCCAAACAAGCUCUAGCUUAGGGCCCCACUCUGUUUUGCUGUUGUUGUUUAGUUGUUUAGUCGUGUCCGACUCUUCGUGGGGGCCCCCUCUCUUGGGGGCCCCUAAAAAAAUUUAAAGAAAAAAAAACUGGAUGUACAUUUCCAAAAUAUAAGAUAAAAAACAAAAUAAAACCUACAUACAGCAACCGUGUUUUGUGUUGUGUAGGCUCCUAUGAUGUAAGUCAUGGGUCCCGCCUGCUCGCCUGCUCCCUCAAAUAUCCCUGGUUUGCUCCUUUCUGUAUAUAGGGUGCCUACAUUUUGCAUGGACUGGCUGCAUGGCAACAUGUGCAAAUGGCCUGAGAUACUAUGAGGUCCAUAAAUUACCAUAUAGCAUAUAUUCAACACAAAAAACAGUGACAAUUUGUUGUUGACAAAGGACAGCUGGACAUACAAAGGGCCCCAUGACCUUCAGUAGCUUAGGGCCUCAUCAAACCUAAAUCUGGCCAUGUGAGACCAUCAGACCACAAGUGCUGGUAAGGAACUGGAAGAGGUCCUCUAGCGAAACCUUUUAAUGCACAGUUACUGCAGUUUGGUCCAGCUGUUGAAUCAGAGUGGCGUUUUCCAAGGAGUGCAUUUCAAAUCUGAAGAUCGGGUGCCUCUUUGCCUGGGUGUGUUGAGUUUCUGUGUGGAUGGAGGCCCUGACGCUUUUUAUUUUUGAGCGGGCUUCAUGUGUACCAGAAGAAUAACAAAGCCAAUUCCAUCUUUUACCUGUUGCCUCUCUGGGGUGAAGAGCAUAGCACCCGAGCCUGCAGGAUAGCUCAGUGGGUAGAGCAUGGAUAGACUCUGAACCUCAGGGUCGUGGGUUGGAGCCCCAUGUUGGGCAAAAAGACUCCUGCAUUUCAGGGGGUUGGACUAGAUGACCCUCAGGGUCCUUUCCAACCUGACUGUGCUAUGAUUCUAUUAUCUCUUGUCAGUCUUAACAUCAAGACUUGUGGGUCUUGUGCAUCAAAAAACCAAAUCUCAUCCCAGGCAAUACAAAUGAAAGCUGAAUUUUUCAGGUUGUAUGUGCCUUUCAAACUGAGCAGUUUUAUUUGUCUGCUUUUUGUGUGAGUCAUUAUUUUGCCCAAUUUGUUUCCCACUUGCUUCUAAUGGGGUCCACAAAUUCACUUGCUGUGGCCAGCAAUCCCUCCCUAUCCUGGUCCCUGCAUUUUUUUUAGGGGGGGUAUUUUUUUUUUAAUUCCCUUAAUAUUUUUCCUUUAAAAAUGUCUUUUUUUAAUUAAGAUUUUAUUAAAGCUUUUCCAUAAUAAUCGAAUCUAAACCAAAACAAAAACAGAGAGAAUAAGAGAAAACACCAAAGGAAAACAAAAAUGAAAAGAAGAAAAAAAGAAAAGAGGAAAAAAUAAAAACAAGAGGACUUUUGAUUUUCUGUCUCUGUUACAUAAAAGAAACUAUUCAAAAUAUUCACCCUAGAAUUGCAUCCAACUAAUCUGCUUUCUCCUGGGCCAUGUUUUCCCAAUCUGCCUAAAAAAAUCUUGUACAAAUAUGCAUUUUUGGGGUGGCUCCCCUGCCCCCAAGCCUGUUGACUUGUCUGUAGGUUGAUAACCAUUUUGCCUACAAUACGAAGGGCACUUGCAGCCCGAACAUUGUGAAAAAAGAGGGAAUGGGGAUUAAUGGCAGCGUGAUGAACCUCAAGUGCUGUCGGCCCCCAAGAAGUGUGUGUGUGUACAAUCAGUGUGACGCUUUUCCUGGUUGACGGAUCUUUCCUAUAAAUGCCCGGCGCUGAGUUCUAGUGCCGCGAUAAUCAGUGGUGGCCGCAAUUACCUCCUCCUCCUAAUUGUGGAUGUGAGGACAGCAAAAAUGGCUUUUAUGCUCCUGGAGUUCUGUGGUCUUUAAUCUCCUUCAUAUUAUUGGGCAAAAAGUGCUCCCAGGCUCCCUGUAUUGUCGCAUUAGCUAGACAAUGGCCACUUUUAUCAUUGCUCCUCUCCUGCAAGAUGCACUCACAAAUGCUUCAGGUAGAGGGAAGAGGGAGGCAUAAAUCACUCCAUUUCAGUUUGCCUCUGUUUGUGUUUUUGCCCAGUCUUAAAUUCAGCUCUCCACAUUUCCACAGCAAUCUGCAUCCCUCCCCCGCCUGUUUUUUAAAAAAUAAUCCUCAUGGAAUCUCUUCUGCAAUUUUCUCCUAACAAACACAUUUCGCAUGCAAUUUGGCCCAAUAUAAACAUUUUUUGCAAAACAUUUCCCCCCAAUAGAAUGCACUUAUGUAUGUUCCCACCCCUUUGAAUAUGUGUAUUUUUUUAAAUGCACGCUUACUCACUCCCAAUACAUGUCAAUUUUGUUAGUGGGUUGUGUUGCAAAAUUCGGAGAAUUGUGGUGAUUUCAAAGGGUAGCUGUGAUUCGUUUUGCGUGUUGUGAAUUAGGUGGAGAGGCAAUUGCAUCUUGCUGCCCCCAAUUGCAGAAACCCGGGAAUUGUUGUUGGCAACAUUGAAUUCGCAGCUGGUACUUUCAAAGCAGAACGCUGCAGCGAUGCUUCUGUUGCACCCCCCAACAUGCACCCCCAAACAUGCUUUGGGGGUGCAUGUUUCCUUUAAACAUUUUGGAGGGCAGGUGGUAUAGUGAAAUUCUCCCUCCCCCAUGAAGUUGCCUGGAAUUCUCUUGGGACGUGGAAGGAGUGAGGAAGAUUAGGAGAUCUUGAGAAAUAUGCUUGGCAUUCAGAAGUGCCUGUUCCAGUCAUUCUUAUUUCAAUAAUAAUAAUAAUAAUAAUAAUAGUGUGGUUUAGUGUGGUGUAGUGGUUAAGAGCGGUAGACUCGUAAUCUGGGGAACCGGGUUCGCGUCUCCGCUCCUCCACAUGCAGCUGCUGGGUGACCUUGGGCCAGUCACACUUCUCUGAAGUCUCUCAGCCCCACACACCUCACAGAGUGUUUGUUGUGGGGGAGGAAGGGAAAGGAGAAUGUUAGCCGCUUUGAGACUCCUUAAAGGGCGGGAUAUCAAAUCCAAACUCUUCUAAUAAUAAUAAUAAUAAUAAUAAUAAUAAUAAUAAUAAUAAUAAUUUAUUUAUACCCCGCUCAUCUGGCUGGGUUUCCCCAGCCACUCUGGGCAGCUCCCAACAGAAUAUUAUACAGAAUAAAACAUCAAACAUUAAAAACCUCCCUAAACAGGACUGCCUUCAGAUGUCUUCUAAAAGUCAGGUAGUUGUUUCUUUCCUUGACAUCUGGUGGGAGGGCAUUCCACAGGGUGGGUGCCACCACCGAGAAGGCCCUCUGCCUGGUUCCCUGUAACCUCACUUCUCGCAAUGAGGGAACCGCCAGAAGGCCCUCGGAGCUGGACCUCAGUGUCCGGGCAGAACGAUGGGGGUGGAGACGCUCCUUCAGGUCUACUGUGCCAAGGCCGUUUAGGGCUUUAAAGGUCAGCACCAACACUUUGACUUGUGCUUGGAGCCAAUGCAGGUCUUUCAGGGCCAGAGUUAUAUGUUCUCGGCACCCACUCCCAGUCGCCAGUCUGGCUGCCACAUUUCCAGGUUAAUGUUGGCAUCUGUCUAUCUCGAGAGACAAUGGAGCGUGCCUUCGGGGGUGAAGUCAAACCCCUCCGUUCACAGCCUUGAAAUGACCUCUCUGGGACACAAGCCUGGGCAGUGUGUCUGGAGGUCCUGGGCUGCCCAGAGCACAAAGACCCCCUCUCAGCCUGGCUGAUGUGGUCCAGAGGAAAGUUUGGCACCAGCUGGGCUGCAGGAAGGAGGCAUGCAAGACACCAUCCAACUGUUUUAGGAGCUCUGCGCCGAAUUUGUGUGGGGUUUCGUCCUGAGCUUUCCAGGUGGAUGUGGAUUGUCGGAAGCCACAGACGGUCAGACAGUUUCUCCAGCAGCAGUCUUGACUGGGAGCAGAUCUCUCUCCAGGGGCUCAGGCAGAAACAUGACUUGCACACUGCCUGCUUCCGGAUCCUUUUAAAUGGAGGUCUUGGGGGCUGGAUUGCAAAGCAUAUCUUCUGCUCUCGCUGCAAGGGAUGCAAGUGAGGGGGGAAAUUCUCCAGGAGCCCCUGCCGCCAGUUUAGAGAGCACUGGGCUAGAUGGACUCAAGUUCUGACUCAGAGAAGGAGAGCUGCAUGAAGUUCCUAUGGCAGAGCCUUCUUUGUCGUGGCCCCACAACUCAGGAAUCUCCCCAGGGAAGAUCUGACAGCUCCCUUUCAUAUGGGCUCCGAAACCCUUUGUAUUUGGGAAGGCACUUUUUACGGCGGAUUUAUUCCUGUUUUAGCUAAUCAUCUGGUUUUACCGCUGUGGCAUUUGCUGUGUCUUAUUUGCAAGAAUAUUUCUGCCUCUUUUUCUGGAAUGCACUUUCAUAAGCCUGUUAAAUGCAGGUUAUAUAUAGCCAUGGACUGCAGCUCAGCUUUGGAGCAGCUCUUUUGAAUACAGAAGGCGCCAGGUUUUUUAUUUAUUUCUUCAUUUACUGCAUUCACACCCCACCUUUUCCUCUCAACGAGCUGAAGGCAGCAUCCAUGGUUUUCUUCUUCCUCAUUGAACCCCCCCCACAACAACCCUGUGAGGUUGGUUAGCCUGAAACGCAGUGACUGGCACCCAAACUCACACCCAGUGAGCUUUAUAGCUUAGUGGGGAUUCGAACCCUGGUCUCCCACUCUUCAGACACUGCUUCAAUCCCAGACAUCUCCAGGUACAACUGGAAAAGAUUCCCUGCCUAAAAUCCCAGAGAAACGCUGCCAGGAGCUAAAGGGACCCGUGGUUCAUGGUUCCCUGUGUUCCUAGAGGUAAAGGGACCCUUGACCAUUAGGUCCAGUCGUGGCCGACUCUGGGGUUGCGGCGCUCAUCUCGCUUUAUUGGCCGAGGGAGCCGGUGUACAGCUUCCGGGUCAUGUGGCCAGCAUGACUAAGCCGCUUCUGGCGAACCAGAGCAGCACACGGAAACACUGUUUACCUUCCCGCCAGAGUGGUACCUAUUUAUCUACUUGCACUUUGACCUGCUUUCGAGCUGCUAGGUUGGCAGGAGCAGGGACCGAGCAACGGGAGCUCACCCCAUUGUGGGGAUUCAAACUGCCGACCUUCUGAUUGGCAAGUCCUAGGCUCUGUGGUUUAACCCACAGCGCCACCCGCGUCCUUGUGUUCCUAGAAGUAACUGAAUAAAACAGAUCUCCGAGUGAAGCUCACCCACUUAUACCGAAAGUGGGGAUCUGUGUUUGAACACACACACAAUUUGGAAGCCCACAAACUGUUGCGCAUUAGAGAGGUCUGAGGUUUGUGGCUUAGCAAGGAAGGUUAAGGAUCAGGGGUUAGGUAAACCCCAACCUCCUGGCUGUGAUAUCCGAAGGCCCCCUGUGUUAAACCUCAGGCGAUCGCAAUCUUGCAUGGAGGGAUGAGAUUAGGAGAGGUUGGGGUAGCCAUGCAAAUCCCCCCCCCUCUUGAUUCAGCCUUGCAGCAAAAGAGACACUGUGAGAUCAUACUAGAUAAGAGUUUCAAAAAGCAUGGGGAAAAUGCAGAGAAUUCUUCGCAAAACAGUGCCCUAAAAUACAUACCUGGACAUGUUUCAAUUAGUGUCUGCAGGUGACUUUGUGGAUAUUUAAUUAGAAAAAUCUUAAUAAUUACCGUAUUUUUCGCACCAUAGGGCGCACUGGACCAUAGGGCGCACCUAGUUUUGGGAGGCGGAAAACAAGAAAAAAUUAUUCUGAACCCCAGAAGCCAGAGCAGCAAGAGGGAUCUGGCUUCUGGGAUACCGUGUGGCCGUUCUGGCUUCUGGGGUAACCGCGCCAAGCCUCCUCAGGGCAGCGGGAUGAAGGCUCCCCCUGCCCAAAGAGGCUGCGCAGGGCUAAAGCAGAAGCCAGGACAGACGCGUCGCUGAAGGGGCACUGCGCCUUCUCUCUCUCUGUGCAGCGGCUCUCCUUCACCGGUGAGGCGCUUUGCAGAGAGGGAGAGGUUGCAGCGCCCCUUCAGCGAAGCUGGAGAAGGAACAGAAGGAGACCCUUCUGUUCCUCCUCGGGCUUCACUGGACAGGCACGUCGCUGCGAAGCGGGAGGAGGAACAGGAGUCCCUUCUGUUCCUCCUCCGGCUUCGCAUGACAGGCGCGUCGCUCAAGGGGCGCUACGCCUUCUCUCUCUCUGCGCAGUGCCUCUCCACAGGAGAGGCGCUGCGCAGAGAGGGAGAAGGCGCAGCGCCCUUCAGCGAAGCUGGAGAAGGAACAGAAGGAGACCCUUCUGUUCCUCCUCCGGCUUCCAGGACAGGAGCGUCGCCGCGAAGCCAAGGAGCCUGCAUUCGCUCCGUAGGACGCACACACAUUUCCCCUUCAUUUUUGGAGGGGAAAAAGUGCGUCCUAUAGAGCGAAAAAUACGGGAAACAGCUUAUAAGAAGUAAAUAAGGAGGCCACAUACAGGAUAAAGGAAGUAUUUUAUUUGGUUGUUUGGCUCCUUCGACCUAUAGAGCGAGAUGAGCGCCACAACCCCAGAGCCGUCUGUGACUGGACCUAACGGUCAGGGGUCCCUUUACCUUUACCUUUUUAUGUUAUGCUUAUUGUAUGUUAUGUUCAUGUUUAAUGAGGGUGGGUUUCUGUAUUGGGAGGUGGGAGGUUAUGUUGUAAAUAAAAUUUCUAAUAAAAAAAACAAAAACAAAAGAGACACCGCGAGUUCAAAGCAAAGGGGGCUUUGGGUCAGGUGUGGCUCAGGGCACUCCUGGAAUGCCGAUCUUCCUUAUUUAUUGCUGUGCUGCAAACGACCCCCAUAAAUGUAUAUGGCACUUAGCAAACAGACGAGGGCCAAGAAUUCCAGGCCUGGGAAAUUUACAGCCCGAGAGGAGCCCAGACAGGUAGAAGGAGCAAGAAUAUUGCUGCCGUGUGAUAAGAGCGGUUUGUAGAAAUGCAGGCCUCCUCCUCUGGGGGUCGGCAGGACCCUGUUUGGGCUGCAUUGCUGCAGAGGGCAAGAGAGGGCUCAGCAGAAUGUUGUUGUUGUGGUUUAGUCGUGUCCGACUCUUCGUGACCCCCUGGACCAGAGCACGCCAGGCACUCCUGUCCUCCACUGCCUCCCACAGUUUGGUCAAACUCAUGCUGGUAGCUUCGAGAACACUGUCCCACCAUCUCGUCCUCUGUCGUCCCCUUCUCCUUGUGCCCUCCAUCUUUCCCAACAUCAGGGUCUUUUCCAGGGAGUCUUCUCUUCUCAUGAGGUGGCCAAAGUCUUGGAGCCUCAGCUUCACUAUCUGUCCUUCCAGUGAGCACUCAGGGCUGAUUUCCUUAAGAAUGGAUAGGUUUGUUCUUCUUGCAGUCCAUGGGACUCUCAAGAGUCUCCUCCAGCACCAGAAUUCAAAAGCAUCCAUUCUUCGGCGAUCAGCCUUCUUUACGGUCCAGCUGUCACUUCCAUACAUCACUACCUGGAAAACCAUGGCUUUUACUAUACGGACCUUUGUUGGCAUGUGAUGUCUCUGCUUUUUAAGAUGCUGUCUAGGUUUGCCAUCACUUUUCUCCCAAGAAGCAGGCGUCUCUUAAUUUCAUGGCUGCUGUCACCAUCUGCAGUGAUCAUGGAGCCCAAGAAAGUCAAAUCUCUCACUGCCUCCAUUUCUUCCCCUUCUAUUUGACAACCUCAGAUAUGCAGAUGACCCUGCAGAAUGUUAUUGCACACAAAAAGGCAUGGUUCUGGUCCUCAUGAUCUCAGAGACGGCUGAGCGGCAGCAUUGUCGGUAAGGGUGGAUCAAGAGAGCCGUGGGUUUAAACUGCGGUGCAGGAGAAUUUCAGGGAUAAAGCCCUAAUUGUAGGAAUACAACAGCCCUGCAAGGUUGGUCGUUAAUGUGGCUCACAUAUUAUUUAUGGGAGGGCAGAAACAGAGGUGUAAGAGUACCAGGAGAGUCUACCGGAUCAGGCCAGUGGCCCAUCUAGUCCAGCACCCUGAUCUCACAGUGGCCAACGGGGUGCCCUAAUGGGAAACCCGCUAGCAGGAUUCGAACACAAGACCUCUCUCCCCUCCUCUGGCCUCCAGCAACUGCUAUUUAGAAGCUUUGCGGCACCAAAUACACAUGUGGCACUCCACGCAGAAAGCAAAAAUGUCUACGUACAGUUCAUCAGCCUAGCCCUCCUUCCUGAGACGCUGGUCUUCAAAACAACAACAAACCUCUGGUUACGUGAAACAUAUUCAAUAAACACACAAGACGUAACCGGCUGUACGUUUGAAAAAAUAAUACAUACUAUUCAUUGUUUUGAAUUGUAUAUUUCAACAGAAGUAGCUCAUAAAGCUCAACGGAAAAAGUAGAAGACCCAGUGGAUCAGUUCAUUCUCUAAUCAGUUUAUGCAUAAGGUCCAUAUAUGUGAAAGCGUCUAUUCCACCUGUCUGUUCAUAGAGUCCAAGAAUCCACACGAAAGGUUGUUGCAGUUCCACAGAAUCCUUUCACAGACCCCAAGACAAGGAUUUCUGGAAUAUUAGCCUUGUUUCGCUGUCCUGGGCUUCAUCAGUGGUACAAACUCUAGGUAAUGCAAAUAAAUACAAUAUUGUAAUCUCACACAUUUUUACAGCAAAAAUAAUAUAAAAACCGUCAACAACCGUACAUACCAUAUAUGAUAUGACAGGACAGUGGAUCUUAUAGCAUAGUAGUAGCUGCGGUAAGCAGCGACUUUUACAGAGUGGGCUCCUUCUUAUGUUCUUAAUUUCAUUUAUAUCCGACUCAUCCUCUGAGGGAGCUAUUGGUGAUGCACAUUGUUCCCAUUUAUCUUCCCAGCACCCCUGCGAGGUGGACCUGGCUGGGAUGUGACUGCCCCAGGGUCACAGUGUGACCAAGUAGAGACCUGAACCCUGCUCUCGCUGGUCACAGUCUGAAACCGUGACCACUAUACCACGCUGCCUCUACUUUUUUUUUUAAUAAAGAUUUUUUAUUGAUACAAGAAGAAAAAAAACCCCCACAAAUACCAAAUUACACACAGGAAUAACUAUAGGCACAUAAUUUUCUUAGCAAACAAUAUAACAUAUAUUGGUCUUAACACUAAAGCCCCAACUUCCCGUCUAUUCCAUAUUUCGAGUUCAUAUUACUUAUUGCCAAUACACACUUUUAUCAUAAUUUUAACUUAUUCUUAAUAUAUCUAAUUUCGUAUAUAUACCUUGCAACUAUUACUGAAGUUCCUCGAAUGCUGCAACAGAAUUUAAACUACUAUAUUUAUUUUUCAGAUAUUCUUUGAAAACCUUCCAUUUUGAAACAAAUUCCUGUUUUGAUUUAUUCUUUAUUUUUUCUGAUAGGCCAUCUAAUUCGGCAUAUUGUGUUAGCUUUUGGAUCCAAUCUUGUAUAGAGGGGAUUUCAUUACUCUUCCAUUUUGCCGCGAUGAGAACUCUUGCUGCCGCCGUCGCGUAUAAAAAGAUACCCUUCCUCUUUUUAUACCACGCUGCCUCUAGCAGGCUCCUCCGCACACCCCGUGGCCCUUAUUUCAAUGACGGGGCUCCCCUGCAAGAACCACCGAUGUGGCAAUGAGGGGAGAAGGGUGUGUGUGUGUGAGGGGUGUCCCUGAGACGUUUGCCCUGGCUGCUUGAACUUCCUCGACAGCUAGCCGGUAGGCAGGGAAGCCCUUGCAACGAUCCACAAAGCCAUCAUUAUUUAAAAACCCAGAAGCCCACACGAUCCGCUGCCUUUCCUUUUGCGGGAUUUUCUCAUUUCCUCAACAAAACCACCCGGACUGGUCUGCUUCCCUGCAAAAAGCUCUUUUGGGUUUCCUGGAGAGAACGUCUCCUCGCCUGACGCAACGAGGCAGUUAAUCCAUUGCAUGAGCGAGGCCAUGUGGCCUAGGUGGGGAGGGAGAGCCCGUAGGGAAAUGCAUCAAAAAAAAGAAAAAAAGCAAUAAUAAUCCGGGGAUCCUGCUCCUCAGCUUGUCUCCAUAGUCUGCAGUUUUUCUUUCCUGUCUGCAAUGGAGAUAACAAGGCCUUUGGUUCUUUUGCAGCAAAGGGAUGUGGGCACACAGGAGAGUUUGUCUUUGUCUUUCUCUCUCUCCCUCUUGAUCUCCCUCAAAAUAAAUCCAACUCGAAGGGAUUGCGCUCUCCACACGACUACCUGAGAGGUCUCGCUGACAGCCCCAAGCAGCGUCGAGUGUGCAAAAAAGGCUGUCAGGUUUCUUUGCUUUUUGGGCAGUCUGGGCUGCCACAACAGCUUUAAAAAUAAAAUAAAGUAACUUGGUUGAUAUGACGCUUGGCUUAAAAUUUAUCCUGUGGGGGUGCAGGAAGCGCUAUGUGAAUAGGAACAAAAGUCAGGUGACACAGCAGCGGUUUGUGGUAAAUGGUGACUUCGUUUAAAAAUGAAAACCAUAGUUAGGAUUCUAGUCCUCAUGGUUCUGGAGAGAUAAAGUACUAUAGGAAGGCUGCAGUUGAGGGAUAAGGGGCAGCAAAGGCUUAUUGAGCCAGAUUCAGUUUUAAGGUGGUGUCCAAAGGUCAUUGGGAAAGUUAGCAAUUUAGGGUGAUCUGCAAGGGGGGGGGGGUGAGGGGGUGAGUCACAAAUGUUGGUGCUAGGAUUAGGGAUAGGGUUAGAUUCUGUUUGCACUUAUUGGUACUUUUUGAAACAGAAAACCGAACUGAAACACAACCGUCUUUUGAAAUUUGUACCUCUUCUGAAUUUCGCAACUUGCUUCUCUGGGCAAAACGUGUGUACAGAAAUGUCCAUAUAGUGCAGAACAUGAGAUACAAAACGGCGUUGCGUCUUUGCGAUUGCUUGCAAAACUGGGCCUGGCAGGCAAAACGGCAUACGGAACAGGCACAUUGAGAGAAAGGCACACUGAAACAUUGCAGAUUUUUGUGAGGGUUUCUCCUUUUGAGAGAGAGAAAAUCGCAAGCUUGUGUGGAAAUGUGAUGGGAAGUGAGCUGGUGCCUGGUGAAACGAGGAACGGUGCAAAACCCAACCUGGCAGGUCCUUCCAUCCUUAGGGAGGGUAUCCGUCUUGGAUGAGCAAAGGUUUUUGGAUUGUAGCUCGGGCAUAGGCUGGUCUGCCUUCUGCUAGAAUAUUAUUAUUAUUAUUAUUAUUAAUAAUAAUAAUAAUAAUAAUAAUUUAUUAUUUAUAACCUGCCCUGUGGAAAGAAAUCAGAUCCUGCAGGGCCCUGGACUCAUGAGACAGAGCAUUCCACCAGGCUGGAGCCAGUGUUGAAAAGGCCCUGGUUCUGGUUGAGGCUUAUCUGACUUCCUUAGGGCCCGGGACCUCUAGGGUGUUGCUAUUUAUGGACCUUAAGGUUCUCCGUGGGGCAUACCAGGAGAGGCGGUCCCAUAGGUAUGAGGGUCCUAGGCCAUGAAAGGUCAAAACCAGCACCUUGAAUCUGACCCUGUACUCCACCGGGAGCCAGUGCAGCUGGAAAAGCACUGGGUGAAUAUGCUCCCAUGGCAGGGACUCCGUGAGGAGCCUCGCUGCAGCAUUCUGCACCCGCUGGAGUUUCUGGGGCAGCUUCAAGGGCAGCCCCGCGUAGAGCGAAUUACAGCAGUCAAGCCUGGAGGUGAUGGAUCACUGUGGCCAGGUCGGGGCGGGAAAGGUAAGGGACCAACUGCUUGAUGCAGUGAAGGUGGAAAAAUGUCGCCUUGGCUGUUGCUGUAACUGCGCCUCCAUGGAAAGGGAGGCAUCAAGGAUUACACCCAAACUCUUAACGGAAGGCAAUGGCACUAAUUGGGCCCCCGCAAGAGAAGGGAGUUGGUCCCUCAUCCCCAUGCCAUCCUGACCCUGCCAUAGGACCUCUGUCUUCGAAGGAUUUAGUUUCAAUCGGCUCCCACGAAACCAUCCAGCCACAGCUUCCAAGCAUCUGGUCAGUGUGUUCGGGGCCGAGUCGGUGUGGCCAUCCAUCAGCAGAUAGAGCUGAGUGUCAUCAGCAUAUUGAUGACAGCCCAGCCCAAAGCUCCGGAUAAUCUGAGCAAGGGGGCGCAUAAAGAUGUUAAAAAGCAUUGGGGAGAGGAUUGCGCCCUGCGGCACUCCACACACCAAGGAGUGGCGCGACGACAUCUCCCUCCCUAGCGCCACCCUCUGUCCCCGACCAGAGAUAAAAGAGCACAGCCAUUUAAGGGGGAAACGCAGAAACUCCCAGGUCAAUCUUGACUCCUGCCAUUGGAGGUGUCUUGCCGAAGAAGGCCCUCCACGGUCUCUUGCUGGAGGGGGGGCCCUUGACCCUUGCUGACCCCUGGGGCCGUCCUUGGGCAGCUGAGCCCCCUCCCCUGUCUAAGAGACAGGACAUCUCUCUUCCUCCUGUCAACAAGAUAUAUGCAUCUCCCUCCCUGACCCCUUGAGGGGCUUUGCCAAGGAGGAUGCUUCCAGCGGUGCCGCAGAGUUUGAACUCAGCGGGACCCCCUCGGAAGCCCCUGCGCUGCAGAUUCUUACAACCUGACCUGCGUUGGCUGCAAAUGUUGUACAUCUUAUCUGCGCUCCCUGGCUGUGCGCAGAUCUAUAUAUAACUCUCCGCGGUGGGAGGUAUUUUGGCUGAUACACUCGCAGCUAUGAUCCGCGGCGAGAGAUUUAAAAAUAUCUCGCUGAGAGCGCACGGUGACAGAAGCCGUCGAGAGGGCCGUGCAUGGCAGAGACCGCAGAAAGAGGCUCCUGAAAGGGAGGAAAAAGAGAGAGAGAGGGAGCGCUUGUUGCUAUCACUCUCUGCAUUUGUCUCCUGGACUGUUUGCUACUUUUCUUCCCCUGGCAAAGCUCCUUGUUUUUCUCCUGCCAGAAACGUUUUGUGCUUCCAGGCGGGGGGAGCAGUGUCUCUCUUCCCCUCCCUCCCAAUUCCCACUUCACUGGUUCUGAUCUCGGUGGGCAGCGUUCUAGGCAGUCUCUCUGGAGCCAAGGAAGCCCCGAGCCACAGGAGAGGUCUGGGCUGCUCUCGCAUUUAGCCAACAGCCAGGGUGGCGCAUGGUUUGAGAGGGCACAUCCAGCCUAGAGAAGCUCUCCACCUAGAAGGACGGAUUGGUUUUCUUUACAGAGAGCUGGGAAGUGGGUCGUUCUGCCAAAGACGGAUUGUUUGCAUGCUUCAAAGCGGCACAUUCUAGGGCAUUGGCAUUUGAGGAAACAGAGCUUAAGACUUGCCGAUGAGAAGGUCGGCGGUUUGAAUCCCCGCAGUGGGGUGAGCUCCCGUUGCUCGGUCCCUGCUCCUGCCAACCCAGCAGUUCAAAAGCGCGUCAAAGUGCAAGUAGAUAAAUAGGUACCGCUCCGGCGGGAAAGGAAACGGCGUUUCCGUGCGCUGCUCUGGUUCGCCAGAAGCGGCUUAAUCGUGUUGGCCACAUGACCCGGAAGCUGCAUGCCGGCUCCCUCGGCCAAUAAAGCGAGAUGAGCGCUGCAACCCCAGAGUCGUCUGCGACUGGACCUAACGGUCAGGGGCCCCUUUACCUUUACGCUCAGAUAAAUCUAGGCAGAAGGCAGUUCGGAUGCACUGGGAGCACUGGGCGCAACCCUGGAGAGUGUGCAGAGAGAGACUCAAACUACACGCAAUGUUCAUCACACGUUCUUUCCAUACAGGCACCCCUUUUAGUUUGAAUCCAUGAUGAUUUGUGCUCAUGAUGGUUUCGGGGUGCUCAUACAUGAUCCCACUUUCAGUUCCAUUUGCAGCCAAAAAGUUUUGGGGCUUCAUUUCCAUCCAGUGCAGGCCCCCGUAGCGUAGCUGAAACCCCAUAACAUUCCAUAGCACAAAUGAGGGGUUUUCGGUCCCACUUUUGUGGUGCUAUAGCACAGGGGUGGCAAACUUCCAAGAGACUGCGAUCUACUCAUAAAAACUGGCAGUGACCUACCCCUUUUUGGGGGGUUUGGGUCAAAGUUGUUGAGUUUUUUCAGGGAGGAGGUAAAAUGUUUUUUAGGGGAGCCACAGUUGUUCAGCUUCUUUGGGGGGAAACUGAUGAUCUACCAGUGAUCUACUGCAGACGUCCAGUGAUCUACCGGUAGAUCACGACCUACCUGUUGGACAUGCCUGCUAUAGCAUAAGGCAGCGCCCCCUGCAGGAACAAUAAUGUGUUAACUGUUGGGAAGCAUUGCAGAAAAAAUAAAUAAAGCAGAAUGAUGUGUGGACAGUCCGGUAUAAAUCUGCCACAUAUGUGCUACUAAAUGCAUCCAUGACAGGUGGAGGAAUAUACCUGCAAGAUCAAAACCAGUUGGGGGACCCCCCCCCCAGUCUUUCCUUCCACCCCCAGGGCAACCUCCUGUCUGGGUGAUGGAGGGUGUGAAAGUAGUGGUUAGAAGUUAUGCAACCCCCCCCCCCUGAGAAUUCGGUAGUGUUAUGGCCAGAUCUGAUCGUGAAGGGACAGGUGGGAUGGUUGCACGGAGAGGUAUAAAACCAUUGGCGUAACCUUCCAGUUCUACAAUUCUGUAUGUUUCUUCAGAUUUGGCUCACGUUAGGAUCUUGAAACCGAGCCAAACUCAUUUCCAGGGCUCCCCGUAAGCUGCGAGGGAAAUAAACGGUCCUGCGUCUUGAACCCGAGGCUACACCUGCCAUGAAGUCUGGGCCUUGGGCUUGGAGUCUCGUGGCCUUAGCCCAGAGAGUUGCCAGCGACUGUGUCUCUGCGCUGCCGAUAGCUCUUUUUAAGCAUAGAUACGUUUUUGCAAGAGAACCAGUGUAGUGUAGCGGUCAGAGUAUCGGACGAGGACCUGGGAGAGACUUGGGUUCGAAUCCCCCACUCGGCCAUGAAGUUCACUGGGGUGACCUUGGGCCCCUCCCUGCCUCUCAGCCCAACCUUCCCCUCAGGGUUGUUGUUGUGAUUAAAUGAGGAGGGGGAGAACCAUGUUUGCCUGACCUUGAGCUCCUUGGAAGAAAAGGAGGGAUUUAAAUGCAAUGAAUGAAUGAAUGGGUCUCUAGUAAGGAAAAGGAAAGGGACCACGUAAAACGGGAGGGACCCCAUCCGUGGUCUAGUAGAGAGAUGCUGAGAGUCGCGACAAAGGUGGUGUGUAGGGAAUAAAUGGAACUGGCGAGACUCUCUGGAUUUAGCUCAAAGUUGUGGUCCGAUUAGGCACACUCUUGCCUUACUCGAAUCCUUGAGGACUCCUUGUUUAAAACAUAUAAUUUUUAUUAGAUUUCCUGCUUUACAAUUUUGAAUAUGCAUUUAAACAACCGUAAAAUAUCAACGACUUCCCUUCCUCUCUUUCCAUGGUUCAUUUUGUAUACCAUAAAUCCCGGCAUAUUUUACAUAAACUAAACCAUUCAGUAUUCCAUCAUUGCAUCCAUCAAAACUUAUUUACCCUGUUGAAUUUAUCUUAAUGCUACCAAUGUUGUCAAGCAUACACAAUCCCCCCCCCCCCCACAUAUUCAAUUAACGUUUUCCUUGAGGGCUCUUGAGGGCAGCCCCGAAGGUUGAAGGUUCACAUCUUCUUCUGGCUCCCAAAUCCAGCUCACUCCAUUGCAAGCAUGUCACAAACGCUACCAGGGAUCUGGGCGUCUGUGAAAAAUUUGAGGUGGGUGAAAAAACAACUCCUGGCACAGUCAGGGGCACGAGCUAGCCGGGGCGUGAAAAACGAGCUCAGGGCAGAGUUGGACAAGAACACCUAAGUCGGAGGCCCCGUGCGACGCGGCUGGGCACCCACCCCCGCCAUGCGCCAUCUCUGGAAAUUGUCGGCAGCUGCGAGACCCAGAGCACAUCUUGUACAUUCCCCCGGCUUCUUGGAGACCGCUUUGUAAGCCUCCUGUCCUCAGCCUCCGCUGUAGGAAGGCACGGGAUGAGCUGGAGGAGACGAGAGCGGCUGUGGCAGUUUUAUGUUCCCCUGCUGGGCGUCUAACGUGGCUGGCACUUAAUUAUGGUGGCACCUGCUCCUCUCGCUCGGUUUCCCCUCCCCGGAGCGAGACAUCGUGGGCUUGUUUCGCCAGGCCGGAGGCUUUGCCUGUAAACAGGACGGGCUGUGGGGUUUCCGCUCUGCCUUGUCGGUGUAACCUUAGACCCUUCUUCCCAGGCAGAGUUGACACUCCAAAAUAAUCCCUCUCGUCAUGUGCCUCGCCUGAGCUCAUCUCCAGAGAUGCUUCUGACCUUGUUCGCACCAGUGGAAAGGCGCCUUCGCUGGGGGCUUAGCCCCAGAACCUAUUGCAACGGGAGGGGCUAGAUCUGCUCUGUUUAACAUAAAAAAUAAGCUGCUUCUCUUUCCUGGUCGGCUUGUUACUGUUUGAGUACUGCGGUGAGACGCCCUCUUCUAAAAUCUAUCUAAGACUAAUAAACUUAUAAUAAUAAUUUUAUUAUUUGUAUCCCACCCAUCUGCUGCCCAUCUAGUCCAGCACCCAAUUUACUAUGGUUAAGAGAUGGGUGGAUCUGUCAAUUUAGAUUUCUUUCGGUUUCUCAUCCCCCACCCCCAAUCUUUAGGUUUCCGUAUUUGUUUGUGAUACUUCUGGUUCAAAAUUCUCAUGAGAAUUCACCAGCAUUUCACUUGAUAUGUCCCGUGGUGUACACUUUUUGCAUGCGAUUUUGCACGAUAUACACUUUUUUUUGCACAAAAUGUUUUGCCCUGCCAUAAUGCACAUUUGUAUGUUAUUUCCACCAAUGCAUGCAUUCUUGUGCACACUUUCCCCAUGUCUAUUCAUUUUUGUACACAUGAACUGGCUUGAGAAAUGCACAGCCAGAUUUGGAGAAAUGUGAGUUUCUUCGGAUCCCUAUAUUUUGUUUCAUGUACUGUUUGGGAAGGCACAAAGUAGAUUAAAAAGGUAAAGGACCCCUGACAGUUAAGUCCAGUCGUGGAGUUGCGGCGCUCAUCUCGCUUUACUGGCCGAGGGAGCCGGCGUUUGUCCACAGACAGUUUUUCCAGGUCACGUGGCCAGCAUGACUAAGCCACUUCUGGCAAAACCAGAGCAGCGCACGGAAACGCCGUUUACCUUCCCACCGGAGCGGUACCUAUUUAUCUACUUGCACUUUCACGUGCUUUCGAACUGCUAGGUUGGCAGGAGCAGGGACCGAGCAGCGGGAGCUCACCCCGUCGCGGGGAUUCGAACCGCUGACCUUCUGAUCGGCAAGCCCUAGGUUCAGUGGUUUAGGCCACAGCGCCACCCGCGUCCCUUCUACAAAGUGGAUUACUUUCCCUUUAAAUGAGAAUAGUGUCAGAUUACUCCAUCCUUUUCCGUGAUGGCAAGCUGGACAUGAGCUCAAAUGCGCCCUUCCGAAUUUGCUACCCUUGCAUGGCUGCUGUCACUUCUUGGCCCGCCAGACCUCCGGCCCCAACCAAACAAUGUCCCUAUGGAGAAAUACUGUUUGUUUGCUCCACAAGUUUCUCUAACCCAAUUCUAAUUCCAUGAUAGAUGUGAUACCUUUCAGAUGCCUCAGUAAGGGGAGGCUGUGCUUUAUUAAAGUCCUCUCUGUAUUGGCUCUCGGUAGUACCAUAUUCCAUGCCCACUACCGAUCAUAGACUCAUGGAAGGAACAUCAGCGGUCAUCUAGUCCAACCCCCUGAAAUGCAGAAAUCUUGCAUAUUCCUGCCUUGCAGGAAGGUGGACUGAAUGAUCCUCAGGGUCCCUUCCAACUCUGUGAUAUUGUGGUUCUCCUAUCAAAACAGCUCUCACAGUCAGAAAGUUCUUCCUAGCUGGAAUCUCCUUUCCUAUUAUUUGAAUCCGCUUGUUCAGGUCCUGCCCUUUGGAGCAGCAGAAAACCAGCUUCUCCACAACCCCAUUUGACAGCGCUCCAGAGAUCCUGGAAGAUGACUCUCACCUCUUGGUCUCCUCUUCUCCAGGCUAAACAUACCCAACUCCCUCAACCAUUCCUCAUAAGGCUUGGUUUACAUGUCAGGAACAUGACACAGUCUUUGGGACCUCAGCUACUUCCAACUGGGCUGAGCGGAGUUUCAGAUUCCUCGCCCUGUCUGCACACCCCGUGCUCUGCGGGACGACAGGAUGGCCGAAUGUAGCUGUGGGUGGGGGUUGAAUUGAGAGCUUAGAAGGGAGGGAGACCAGCCACCUUCCUGUGUGCACAGAAAUAGCAUUCAAUCUCUUCUGCAGCAGGAUCUUUCUGGUUCCUAAAUGUUGGGAAUAUUGAGGGUUAAAGAGACACAUGUUUCUGACACUGUGCGUUAAACAGUUGGCUCAACCUCUCUAGAGUUAAAGGGACCCGGGUGGCGCUGUGCGUUAAACCACAGAGCCUAGGACUUGCUGAUCAGAAGGUCAGCGGAUCGAAUCCCCGCAAUGGGGUGAGCUCCCGUUGCUCGGUCCCUGCUCCUGCCAACCUAGCAGUUCGAAAGCAUGUCCAAGUGCAAGUAGAUAAAUAGGUACCGCUCCGGCAGGAAGGUAAACAGCAUUUCUGUGUGCUGCUCUGGUUCUCCAGAAGCAGCUUAGUCAUGCUGGCCACAUGACCUGGAAGCUGUACGCCGGCUCCCUAGGCCAAUAAAGCAAGAUGAGUACCGCAACCCCAGAGUUGGCUACGACUGGACCUAAUGGUCAGGGGUCCCUUUACCUUUACCUUUACCUAGAGUUAAGUACGUAAGGAGGCAAGCAGCUGGGACAUGGCUGGCUGGUGUAUCAGAGUAGAUCUGGUGGGACCCACUUUUCAGGGACAGAGGGAGCAACGCCCCUGCCUCCUUCCUCAAAGGCAAGGCUGGAAUUGAAAAUGGGAUUAUAGCAUUGUGGGUGGGUGAUGGGGCACAUUCGCCACCCUGGCAAUUUGAAAAGGAGCCUUGAAAGAGACAUCAGUUAUCUUAAAUUUAGACUCCCAAUUUACAUUUUUGCAAAAACGAGCUGGCGUUGAGAAACCCAAGGGCAAUAGAAACGUAUUUCUCAGACCGAGAUCCAAUAAAUAAAUAAAUAAAUAAAUCAGCGUGAAUAGCCUGAAAGUAAAACUGGCCGGGAGCCAGUGGGAAAACCAAUUUGGUUAGUGUUUUUCCUCUCCUCCCCAAAUUCUUGAGGCUGAAAGGAGAAGAGAGAAGAAAAUAAGAAAUCAAAAGAGCUGAAUUCAGAAGGAGGGGAGAGACAUGCGGGAGCCCUGUGGGGGAAAGUUUUAUACUCCAUUUCAUUUUGUUUCUUUCAAUACAGCUGCAUUUCUUCCCAAACACCCAACUCGGAUUGCACAUAGCAUCCUACAAAUAAUUGAGUGGACACGAUCUGCCGGGGCGUCUUUUGCACAAGCCCUUGGAAAUUGCUGGGACUUGUGCGAGUCUUGCUUUUGGGCCCGUGUUGCUUCUAAAGAAGAAUAAAGUUUAGGACAACAGGGAGGUGUUAGGGAGCAAGACACUGAAUCCCUAGUUCCUCUAAACUUCCCCAUAAGUACAUGUUUGAAGUAGAACCACUGUUUGGGGGAUGCCUCAUCUUAAGACUAUUUUGACACGGAGCCUCGGGACGACUGGGCUGCCGUGUUUCGGGGGGUUAAAAAAAGCGAGUGGUGAAAGCAGACGAGAUUGCUAGCCUGUCCUGUCGUACUGCUUGCUUGUUUUGUUUUUUUGUCUGCUGCGUGGAUGCCUUGGAAAUGCAAACAUUUCCCUGACUGCAAAGGCAUUUCUCGGCUCGCUCGCCAUGAGGCCAGCGGCGCUGGGAUGCUUUGAGCCUUGCUGUUCAGUUCGUGGAAAACAGGAUCGCGUUUCGCCAUGCCUGUCUCUAGUAAACACAUUGCUCGCCUUUCUGGAAGCGGCUGUGACUCAAUAGAAAGCCAACUUCGUACGUUCCUGGGGGGGGGGAGGGGGGGCGAUUAUGCAGCCGUAGAGCAACAUGCGCAGCUUCCAGAAGGGCUCCAGGUCCUCAGUAUCUCCAGUUACAAGGCUCAGGGGAGGGUCCUUACCUGCCCAAGACCCCCAGAGAGCCACAUUAAACCAUGCGGAGGUAGAGGAGCCCUGACUGUAAAAGGCAGCGUCGAAUGUUCAUACUUGGCGGUUUGGAAAAGCAGCAAAGUAUGUUUGACCUCCUUUGCAGUGGCUCGAUUUGGCGUUGCUGGAAUUCUGCAAAGUCACUGUCUUCCUUGAGCUUACUAUGAAUUGCUGGUUGGCAACAAAAUUCAGGGAAGCAAUUUGCACACGUUUCUGCUGAGCAGCCACCAACUUGCCUGUGGGCACAUUGCGGGCCAUGCUCAGUUCGCCCAGUUCCAGUGGCGCGCUGGGGGAAAGGGGCUCGCUUUUGCUCCCCCCCCCAAAUCCUGAGCUAAACACCCCCAAGACUCUCCUGCGGCUGCAGAUGGAUGUCUUGCCUUUGGGGAAAUUUUGUACAAUGUAAUAAUAAUAAUAAUAAUAAUAAUAAUAAUAAUAAUAAUUUAUUAUUUAUACCCCGCCCAUCUGGCUGGGCUUCCCCAGCCACUCUGGGCGGCUUCCAAAAAAAUAUUAAAAUACUGUAAUACAUCAAACAUUGAAAGCUUCCCUAAACAGGGCUGCCUUCAGAUGUCUUCUAAAAGUCUGGUAGUUGUUUUUCUCUUUGACAUCUGGUGGGAGGGUGUUCCACAGGGCGGGUGCCACCACCGAGAAGGACCUCUGCCUGGUUCCCUGUAACUUGGCUUCUCGCAGUGAAGGAACUGCCAGAAGGCCCUCGGUGCUGGACCUCAGUGUCUGGGUAGAACGGUGGGGGUGGAGACGCUCCUUCAGUGUGGUGUAGUGGUUAAGAGCGGUAGUCUCGUAAUCUGGGGAACCGGGUUCGUGUCUCCGCUCCUCCACAUGCAGCUGCUGGGUGACCUUGGGCCAGUCACACUUCUUUGACGUCUCUCAGCCCCACUCACCUCACAGAGUGUUUGUUGUGGGGGAGGAAGGGAAAGGAGAAUGUUAGCCGCUUUGAGACUCGUUAAAAAGGGAGUGAAAGGCGGGAUGUCAAAUCCAAACUCUUCUUCUUCUUUUUCUACUGGACCGAGGCCGUUUAGGGCUUUAAAGGUCAGCACCAACACUUUGAAUUGUGCUCGGAAACGUACUGGGAGCCAAUGUAGGUCUUUCAAGACCGGUGUUAUAUGGUCUCGGCGGCCGCUCCCAGUCACCAGUCUGGCUGCCGCGUUCUGGAUUAGUUGUUGUUUCCGGGUCACCUUCAAAGGUAGCCCCACAUAGAGCGCAUUGCAGUAGUCCAAACGGGAGAUAACCAGAGCAUGCACCACUCUGGCGAAGCAUUCCACAGGCAGGAAGACAUCAUUUCUAAAAUGAGGCAUCCUAGGACUAAUGCCCUGAUCCUCUGGAAGUUAGGCAUGCUGACCUGAGGUUUUUCAGCUGCUGUUACUUAUGGGUUCAGGGCAGCAGGUUUGAGUGCUGGCAUGGAAAAGAGAAUGUGGAACGGAGCCCUGGUUCAAGCUUUAGCCCAGGGGUUGGCAAGGUUUACCUCGCUUGGAUCAGUUUACUCCAGCCGAGAUCCCUUCAUGGGCCGUAUCGUGCAUGCGCCCGCGAUUUCUGGCGUCUGUGCAGACACAAUUUCUGGCGUCUGAACAUGCGCAGACACGAUUUCCAGCACUGCGGAAGCAAGUGCACCAGUUUAGCACAGCACAUGGGGACCCGCCGAGCGGGUGGCUUGAUCCGGGGGUGGCUUGUGGGCCAGUUAAACGACCCCCAUGGGCCGUUUGUGGCCCAUGGGCCUUAGGUUGCCUACCCCUGCUGUAGCACUUCAGCCUUGCAGUCCCACUUUGGUUAUGUGAAAAGGUCACCUGAACAGGGCAGCUUUUAUGCACAUCUCUGUGUGUGCAGCUGCCAUUCAUUUCAGGGGGGCCUCAUGCAAAUGAUGGUCGUGAUGUAUUUACCUGGUAAAGUUUCCUCCAGGCCUUAUGCUCUUAACCAGUUUCUGGAAAGGGUUGAUUCAGGACUUCUGGGAUUUGGACCCCCGAGAAUCGACUCUAACAAUGCAGGUUCCUGGUCCUCAUUUGUUAAGAGUUUGAAACCAGGAGGUGGUGCCCGUGAAAGGUUCAGGCAGUGUUGCCAAAUGGUUACAGACCCUUUAAAAUAUCAGAGUUCAAAAUGAAUCCCAUAACUUUGGCGAUUGCUUUGCAAACAGUGGUUUAAUAAUUUGCACGGCACCUUUUGACCGAGGAAUUUGGAGCUGGAUUUGGUGGUUGUCUAUUGCGUUUUCCUUAGGAAUCACUAUCCUUUCAGGCUUAAUAUCUUAUUGCUGAGGUCUGCUGUAGUCAGAGCUUUUUAAAUUCCUUGCAUCUGUUCUCCCAACACAUGCUUCAGAUACUGUAUUCUGGGGUGGGGUGGGGAAACCACUCAGCUUUUGUUUGAGAAAUGCCUAGCCCCUUAUAUUGAUGUCUACCACUUAACAAAAGUUGCAGGUAACUGUGUUGGUCUAUUAGGAAAGCAAACAGAUAUUCCCACAAAACAACAAGAGGAUAAUGUCUUUAUUAUCUCACAAAGGGAAAGUUGCUCAGGUGAACUUCAUUAGGCAUUCAAAUUAUGCAUAAGAAGGUUGCUUGAGCUUGACAAUGUAUUGGACAAGUGUGAGAAUCAUAGAAUUGUGGAGUUGGAAGAGACCUGUGAGGGUCAUCUAGUCCAACCCCCUGCGAUGCAAGAAUCUCAACUAAAGCAUCUCUGGCAGAUGGCUACCUAACCUCUGCUUAUAAACCUCCAAGGAUGGAGAGUCCACCAUCUACCUCCUGAGGGAGUCCGUUCCACUGUUGUACAGUUUUUAGUGUCAGAAAGUUCUUCCUAGUGUUUAGAGUCCAUUGGUUCAGGUUCUCUGGAGCAGCAGAAGACUAGCUUGCUCCAUCUUGCAUGUGACAGCGCUUCAGUUAUCUGAAGGUGACAUGACAGCCCAUAUAUUAGCAGCACUGGGGAUGAGUUUUGAGGGUGUGUUGAUACCUUAACAUUAGUAAAGGUAAAGGGACCCCUGACGAUUAGGUCCAGUUGUGACCGACUCUGGGGUUGCGGCGCUCAUCUCGCUUUACUGGCCGAGGGAGCCGGCGUACAGCUUCCGGGUCAUGUGGCCAGCAUGACUAAGCCGCUUCUGGCGAACCAGAGCAGCACACGGAAACGCCGUUUACCUUCCCGCCAGAGUGGUACCUAUUUAUCUAUUUGCACUUUGACGUGCUUUCGAACUGCUAGGUUGGCAGGAGCAGGGACCGAGCAACGGGAGCUCACCCCGUCAAGAGGAUUCAAACCUCCGACCUUCUGAUCGGCAAGUCCUAGGCUCUGUGGUUUAACCCACAGCGCCACCCACAUCCCACCUUAACAUUGCCAAGUGCUUAACUGGGUUAACAAUAAUGUCUUUGUUUCAUUUCCGCAACACCCUGUCCCUGCAAGGUAGGCCAAACAGCCCGUCAGUGUUCGAACACAGGACUGUUUUGAGACUAAACCUCUUGCUUCUGUUUGCUUGCUAGGCCCAGUCUCCAGAGCUCUCCUCCUGAAAUCGCUUCCCAACAGACAACAUUCCUUUUUCGACUGUGGGAUCCAGAACUGAGCAGCAGACUCCAGGUAAAUCCUUGCCAGAACUGAAAUCUGCAGUGCUGAUAAACUAUUGCAUCUUCUGAUCUGCACAAGGAACAGCUAAUACGAUGUAUUGGUUCAAAGGCAUGAUAUACUGGGUUCAAAUCCUCACGCACCCUCAAAAAUCACCGCCUGAUCUUAAGCCAGUCCUGAUUUUGAUCUUGCAGCCUCUCCUACCUCGAAGGGCUGUUGUGAGGCUAAAACAGGCGAUCCCUCAGAUUCCUGGAGGAAAGGCAGGAUAGAACUGUCAAAGACGGUUGCAUGGCAUUAUUGAGUGUGGACCUCCAUGCCAAACAAAAUUCCUUCCUUUAAAAAAACGGCACAUCAGGGAGAAGGCUGAGAGCAAGAGAACGCAUUUCCCUGACACCUGACUUUUCCGUGUCCUUGCAUCACACGCUACUCUCUCGUUUGCUUUUCGGUCCAAGGUUGAAUGUUUUCGUUUCUGCUGUUCUGGUAGCUUUGUGGCCCUGGCAAAGGUGGUUCGGGGUCAGCAGAGGGGCUUUGCAAUGUGUGUGUACACAAAAACGCUCUCCGAAGUGAUGGAGCAUUGAUUUGUUCAAAGGCUUGCCUUUUUCCACGGCUCUUGUUGCCCUUCCUUUGCUGCCCGUCUCUCUCUCUCCUUUCGCUCUUUAGUAAAGUAAAUAAUGCAUGCAGGAUGCAAACGAGGGCUGAAAUUUUAGAAGGGCUGACCCAACACAUUACUGCAGAUCAAUCCCUUCAGUUACGCGAAGCACUUCUUUAGAGGAGGAAAGGAACUCUGGUUUCGAGAAAAGCGCUGGGGUUUAUUUUGGGAUUUGGUUUAGCUGCUUCUCCCUCCAUCUGGGGCAAAGUGGCGAAGAUUCCUCGUCAACAAACAACAAGCGCCGCUUGUGCCACUGGCCCCAUUCCCUCGCGCUGCCCAAAUUCAUACCUUGGAACCGUUAGGGUGCAAAGCCAGGGGCGCCCCCAACCUUUUUGCUCCUGGUGAGAAUGCAAAGAAGGCAGGGAAUAAUCUGCAGCCGGGUCCCGGAAUUGUGCAUGCCACUUCAUGUACUUCAUUGCAAACUUUGGUUCCUUACAUCACUGAGCAUGCCAGCAUCUUUGCAGCACCUUUCAGGAUGAGACUUUCCUUCCCUGGGUGCGUUUCCAGAAGCCUCCUGAGUUUGCCUGUCUAAUAUGUCCCGAACCUCACUAUCGCUGUACCAAAUUUGGUUUGCAGCAGGGAUGGCGCAUUGUGGAAGGCUGCCUGCCUGGGCUGGCAAAAUAUCAGCACCCCAGUCCCCCCCCCUUUCAUAAAAUUUAUAUAAAAGGUAAAGGUAAAGGGACCCCUGACCAUUAGGACCAGUCAUGACCGACUCUGGGGUUGCGGCACUCAUCUCGCUUUAUUGGCCAAGGGAGCCGGCGUACAGCUUCCGGGUCAUGUGGCCAGCAGGACUAAGCUGCUUCUGGCGAACCAGAGCAGCGCACGGAAACGCCGUUUGCCUUCCCGCUGGAGCGGUACCUAUUGAUCUACUUGCACUUUGACAUGCUUUCGAACUGCUAGGUUGGCAGGAGCAGGGACCGAGCAAUGGGAGCUCACCCCGUCGCGGGGAUUCGAACCACCGACCUUCUGAUCGGCAAGUCCUAGGCUCUGUGGUUUAACCCACAGCGCCACCCGCGUCCCCAUAAAAUUUAUACUCAAUUGUAAAAAAAAUUUGAAAAAAUAAUCCGAAACAAUCUCCAAAUGGGUCACAAAAAGAUGAAACAAGAAAAUAAAAGAAAAAUGGCAACAAUGGUUUAAAAUAUAUAAGAAGUUAAAAUACUCAAAGCAGGUUAAAACUCUCAGCAGCUUCCUAAGCAUUUGGGCAUUAUUGUUUAAACAAUAAUGAUUUUAGCAAGUGCCGAAAAGAAUGCAGCGAAGGGACCUUCCUGGUGUCAAUUGGCAGGGAGUUCCAAAGGUGCUGCCACACUGAAAGACUUGAGUUCUGAAGGUGUCUGCGUAUUGGGGGAGGGGAAUGCGUUGCCUCACUCUCUUUUCUUUAUCUUCGAAAUUCUCCUGUAUUGUCAUUUAAACCCGCUGCUCUCUUUUUCUGAUAUUAAUAUUUUAUUGGAAGAAUUUCCUGUAUAAAAAGAAAGAGUGAUUAAAAGGAAAAGGAAGGAAGAAAAACGCAGAUAAAAAUAGAAAUGAAGGGAAAAUGCUCAAUACAUAUGUGCUUAGUCCUAUUACCCUGGUAGAAAUAUAUUUAUCAAUAACCUAAUAUAUUCUUUGUAAAGUCAUUCCAAAUAUUGUUAUAUUUAUCCAAAGAAAGGUUGCUUCUGUAUGCGGUUCAUUCAUACGUUGCUAAUAUUGUCAUAUUGUCAGGCCAUUGAUGAAGGGGAAUAAUAAUAAUAAUAAUAAUUUAUUUAUUUAUACCCUGCCCAUCUGGCUGGGUUUCCCCAGCCACUCUGGGCGGCUCCCAACAGAAUAUUAAAAACACGAUAAAACAUCAAACAUUAAAAACUUCCCUAAACAGGGCUGCCUUCAGAUGUCUUCUAAAAGUCAGAUAGUUGUUUAUUUCCUUGACAUCUGAUGGGAGGGUAAUCCACAGGGUGGGGGCCACCACCGAGAAGGCCCUCUGCCUGGUUCUCUAGUCUUCUAGUUCACCAGUUUCAAUCUCUUAGCCAUCAUUACUGGACCCACAGUUCCGCCAGCAGCAACUGGCCUGCCUAUCAGCCUUCUCUCCAAGAUCAUGAGGACCAGAAACCUUACUUUUAUAAAAGGGCCGGUGGUCUGAAUGCCGUUCUGUGCUGAUCUGAGCUCUUCCUGUUCCGUCUAUAGCUCCCCAGACUCGGGAAGCUAAGAUGAUGGGGAGAAUUGUUUGUCGGAGGCAGACGCAGCUGUUAUCUAAGUCCACUUAGCCUCAAAAACAAGUCCUUGAAGAGUCUGCCUGCAGCAGUCUGAAUGUUUUCAGCUGUUUGAGCUGCUCCCCGGUCAGACAAAAGCAAUCUGUUGCCUGUUCUAUAAAGGGAGGUUUAAGAGCAGAGAGUCUCAAGCUUAGAGAAAGGGGCUUUAGAAACGGAGGGGAGAUGAUGGUUAUUUAUAAAAUCGAGAAGGAUGUGGAAAGGAUGAAAUCUGGGGCCAAUUCUGCUGACUCGCACAACACCCCUUUGCACCGAUCACCCGCUGACUGGCGGCAAGUCUCGGGUGAGCAGGUCCACACUCAAGACAUAAACCCGAGGAACGGAUUGCCGCAGGCUUGUUAUGGUAGCUGCCGGCAAAAGCGCUUUGGGGGAGAGAAGAAAAUAUCAGAAUGAAGAAAGGAUUAGGCAACUUCACAGAGGUUUGAUAGAAACUCCAUAGCCAGAGGCAGUUGAGCUUAAGUUACCAAACGUCAGGGACAAACAUGAGGAGAUGCAGGAAAAUUUCCUGCAGGCAUUUUCUCUAUUCUUACUUAAACUGUCUUUGGGAAACUAGGAAGGUGCCUUAUAGUGCGUAUGACCAUUGCUCCAUCUAGCUCCGGCAUCCCCAAACUUGGCCCUCCAGAUGUUUUGGGACUACAACUCCCAUCAUCCCUAGCUAACAGGACCAGUGGUCAGGGAUGAUGGGAAUUGUAGUCCCAAAUCAUUUGGAGGGCCGAGUUCGGGGUUGCCUGAUCUAGCUCAAUAUUAUGAUAUGAUACGAUACAAUACAAUAUAUUGUCAUUGUCCCAUACAGAACAAUGAAAUUGAAAAAUCUACGUAAGACAUUCCAAAACCCCUAAAAACUCUGAUACCCCAUUUUCAAAUACAAUAUACUCCCAUAGAGACUCCUUAAAACCAAAAUCGCAUUUGAUUGGAAACUGUUUCUCAGGCGGCUAGUCCUAGUCUUUAUAACCCUGUACCUUCUUCCAGAAGGCAGAAGCUGAAAGAGAUCAUUUCCGGGGUGCACACUAUCCUGCGCUAUCUCUGCAGCUUUCUUAUGGCACCUGGAAGCAUAAAUUUGAUCCAAGGUGGGAAGAGUGCACCCAAUUAUUCUCUCCGCAGUCUUUACAAACCUGGACAGUAUCUAGCCUGACUGACAGUGACUGGCCAGGUUUUCUGACAGGGAAUCCUUCCCAGCCCAACCCAGAGACCACUGAAUCGUAGAACUGUAGAGUUGGAAGGGAACCCCAAGGUCAUCCAGUCCAACCCCCUGCAAUGCAAUAAUUUCAGCUAAAGCAUCCCUGACAGACGGCCAGCGGAUCUCUGCUUAAAAACCUUCAGUGGAGGAGAGUCCACCACUUCCCUGCUUUCCUGGCUGGGGCUAAUGGUUGUUGUAGCCCACAACUGGAUCACUGCAAUGUGCCCUAUGCGUGGCUUCCCUUGGGCUCAGAUUUGUGACUGGGCCAAGUUCAAGCGCUUAUUCUUAGUCUAUUAAGCCCCUAACAACUUGGGGCCAGUUAACCUGCAAGAUCUCCUUUCCCCAUAUUUUCCCCACUCGAUAACUUCAGUUGGAACAACUGGCUGGAUAAUCCUUGCUCCGCUUUUGUAAGAACUCAGUCUUGCAGCACCUUAACUUUGGAACUCCCUGCCUAUUGAUAUCAGGGAGGCCCUUUCCCUGUAUUCUUUUCGGCGCCUGCUAAAGCAUUUUUCUGUAGGCAAGCCUACCAGGUGUUUGGAAAGCUGAUGCCCUUUUUAACCUGCUUUUAGUCAUUUUAGAGGGACGCGGGUGGCGCUGUGGGUUAAACCACAGAGCCCAGGACUUGCCGAUCAGAAGGUUAGCAGUUCGAAUCCCCGCGACAGGGUGAGCUCCCGUUGCUCGGUCCCUGCUCCUGCCAACCUAGCAGUUCAAAAGCACAUCAAAGUGCAAGUAGAUAAAUAGGUACCGCUCCGGCGGGAAGGUAAAUGGUGUUUCCGUGCACUGCUCUGGUUCGCCAGAAGCAGCUUAGUCAUGCUGGCCACAUGACCCGGAAGCUGUACGCCGGCUCCUUUGGCCAGUAAAGCGAGAUGAGCGCCGCAACCCCAGAGUAGGUCACGACUGGACCUAAUGGUCAGGGGUCCCUUUACCUUUACCUUUACUAGUCAUUUUAACCUUUCAGAUGUUUGGAAUCAUUGCCAUCAAUUCUUCCUCGAUUGUAGUUUUAUCGUUUCCUCUGUUUGGUGAACCGCUUUGGCUCCCCACUUUGCACUCAAGGGGCGUAUUAACCUUCUACGAAGCAAACUGAUGUCUGUAGGGCACCAGGUUGGGGAAGCUGGCUCCCUUUGCUCACGUGCCUCCUAUUCCUAGAGGGAGACGCUGGCUUUCCAGCAAAGACAAGCAGAGGUGGAAAUCUGAGCGCUCCUUGUUGCCGCAUGUGGCUGCUCCGUGACCCGAGGCCUCGCCACGCUCGGCUCCAUAUACGGCCCGGAGGAGCGAGGCGCUGGGAACGAGAGUGCAGUGCUGAAUACCAGACAUACAUUAAAUUCUUCCUGGCUGCACUUCCCCCUCUGCUUCCCCAUUAAUUCAGAACAUGAGCAGGGCGUCGCAGACAGAGAGAAUCCAAUGUUCUGAGUGUCACCUCCAGGGAACACUUAACUCCUGAGCAUGUGUGUGCUUAAAAAACAACAACAGUCUCCUGCAUAUUUGAAGGCCAUAUUGUCCCCAAAUGCCCAGGGGCUUCUUGGCGCACCGUAGGCAGGUAGGCUUUUUUGGAAAGGAUUGUGAACGGAGAAAUCCGAGGGCUCCCUUGGAUAAAAAACAAGGACACCAGCCAGGAAUACCAGAGCAAAACAGCAGCCAGUAGGCUUGGUCUUGAUUGAAGACUGUUGCGACAGGACUCCCACCUGCCACCAGGUGAAACAAAAUGGAAGCCCAGAACAAAAGAAGACCCCAACUUUUAUUAGUUACUAAUCUCCCAAACUACACCCCUAGAACUACAUCACAACUACAUCAUGACUACAUCGCUGACACAUCACAAAAAGGAGGGGUUGAGGGAGGAGUAGUGGAGGUAACCUGAGUAUCUUGUCACCUGGCUGGUUCCUCCUUUCCCCCUCCCCAUGAGUCAUUUCCAGAGGACAAAGGGGAGCUGGCAGUUUCCUGCCCCCAGAGGGAAGAGCUGAUCAUUGUCCUUUGUUCCAGUCCAUGUUGAAUCCACUCCCAUAUGCAAGUCCUUUGUGACCUGGAUGGUCUUCUGUCUGGGACCAUCAAGGUUGUCAUGCCAACUGGGUAGGGCUCAUGUGUAUGUGCUGGUACGGUUAAGAGAUUAUGGCCAUCCUGUAUCAAACCACCCCCCUCUGAUAGUCCUUCCUUCAUGGAGUAAAAUAAAAGUGGACCGGUGUAAAUCUGAUGUAUGGUUGAUUUACUAUGAAUUUAUAACAGAAACGUUGUGUAUGUCAUGUGUGUGUCGUGUUUGUACAAACUGAAUGAUUGGAGAGGGGGAGUUCCUGCAACAGGAUGAAUUUUGCUCUCUUUCGCUGUCUGGCUCUGCACCAUCCCUAGUCCUCUCUCCUCGCUCCCUCGGCCUCCUCUUAUGGGCAGCUGCCAGCUGAGGGUGAAGGGAGCCAGUCUGCAGGAGAUAUCCGCUCAGAAAGCCCCAAGCUGGCUAUCCAAACAGAGCCCUGCCAAAUCAGGCCGGUGGUCCAUCCAUUCCAGCAUCUUCUUCUCGCAGUGGGCAAGCAGAUGCCUCUUUUGGGAAACCUGCAAGCAGGACCCGAGUGCGACAGGGACUCUCCGCUCCCGUUGGUUUUCUAGCAAUGGGGAUUCAGAAGCGUCGCUGCUUCUGACUAUGGGUGGAGAGUGUGGUCAUGGUGGAUCUACUGCAAGGAGGACGGGGGCAGACAGGAAGAGUGUCCAUACUGGACAGGACCUAGCUAGGAAGGGGCAUGUAGAAUCAUACAAUGGCAGAGUUGGAAUAAAAAUUUAUAAUAAUAAUUUAUUAUUUAUACCCCACCCAUCUGGCUGGGUUUCCCCAGCCACUCUGGGCGGCUUCCACCGAAUAUUAAAAACAAUACAGCAUCAGACAUUAAAAACUUCCCUAAACAGUUGUCCACAGGACAGGCGCCACUACCAAGAAGGCCCUCUGCCUGGUUCCCUGUAACCUCACUUCUCGCAGGGAGGGAACCGCCAGAAGGCCCUCGGAGCUGGGCUUCAGUGCCCGGGCUGGAUGAUGGGGGUGGAGACGCUCCUUCAGGUAUACAGGACCCAGGGUAAUCUAUGCCAACCCUGUGCCAUGGAGGCGUCACAACAAAAGCAUCGCUGUCAGAUCUCGGUGCACUAACUCCGGCUUCCAUCUCCGGGGGAAGCGGGUUCAGGCGCUGCUCACCUCUGCUUGAGAACUUGGUCAAGGCCUUAAGAGGACGGGCGCAGCAUCUUCCCUCGGUGAGCGGAUGAGAGAGAGGGAGGGAGGGAUGGUGGCGAGCCCCUGCCCGUUCCAAAAUCAAUUGAGGAAGGAGCAAAGUGUCUCAUUACCGUCUCUCAUCCCUCCUGCAGCAACAAUAGGUGGUGAAAUUGUGAGAGGAAAUUAAUCACGGAGACCAAACCUCUGUAUAGCCUCUGUGUUUUCCCGGAACCGUGGAAGGUAAUUAGCAGGUCUGACUAUCCCCUGGGUUCAAUACGAGAUUAGCUGUGUGACGUAAAUGGAGGUGGCUUUCUUUUUUUGUUUUUUUGUCCUUCUGGGGGUAAAUUUGAAGGAACAAAUUGCUGCGAAAUUCAGCGGUGCCAAUUCUGAUUUAACCUUGCAGGGAGGACUAAAAAAACGCACUAUCCCAUAUAUCUGCGGCAAUUAAAAAUUUAAUUCAACAUGCCACUCGAAAUCUCAUUUUCUUAUGAAUCAUUCCUUUAAUUGAAUAUGGUGAGCUUGGGGAACCUUCCUAGCAAGAAAAGGUGUUUUAUUUUGGCCUGGGCCAAAAAGUUCUUGUAGCAGACAAGCCUCGUAGGCUCAGGCAAGAAUGCCAGAGCCAGUGAAAUCUCUGUUAUAACAUUGGUAGCCACUGUUAUAACAUUGUUUGCCUCCACGGCCAGAGGCAGCACUGCUUCUGAAUACCAUAGAAUCUCAGAACCGUUGAGUCAGAAGGGACCCCCAAUGGUCAUCUAGUCCAACCCCCUUUGGUGUGGGAAUCACAGCUAAAGAAUCCCUGGCAGAUGGCCACCCAACCUUUGCUUAAAAACCUGGGGGGAAAGAAACCUUUAAAAAUGGGCAUAAUUGUGUAGGCCGCCUGGUUUCCCCCGGCGUCUCCAAGCGUGAGGCUUUGGGGAAAGGCAGAAGGGGCGGAUGCCCCCAGAGGCAGAUAUAUCUCGGCCCCCCAUCUCAAUCUGAGAACCUGCGCUUGCUUUUGUGUAAAGGACCUGCGCUGCCUCCUUCAGCUGCUGCUGGGAAUGCCAGCCUUGGGGGUUGUGGCUGCUCUGGGUAGCUUUAAAAAACGCAUUAGAGGAGCUUGGUCUCUUUGAAGCCGUGAGAACCCUUAACAAACUACAACUCCCAGGAUGCUUUGAGGCAUGGGGGGGGGAGCCAUGGCUGUUUAUAGCAGCCUAGUGCUGCUUUAAAUGUGCAGCGUAGCUGGGACUUUGGUUCGGAUACCACCUCCCUGGUUCAGCUUCAUAUUACCCCCAGCAGAAACUGCUGCUUGCCUUCUAUCACUGUGCCAUUGAGAGCGUGCUCACUUAUGGCUUAUGUGUGUGGUACGGAAGCUGUACUACCCAGGACAGGAUGGGGUUGUGCAGGGUUGUUAAGGCAGCAGAGAGCAUUGUUGGCUGCCCACUCUCCACCUUAGAGCAGAUUUAUGCCACAAGGUGCCAUAGGAAGGCACUGGACAUAGUAAAAGAUCCAUCGCAUCCUGGUCACUGUCUCUUCGAGCUCUUGCCGUCGGGACGGAGAUACAGGACGAUGAAGACAAGAACGAGCCGUCUUAAGAACAGCUUCUUCUCCAGAGCGAUCUCGGCCCUGAAUGGGAAGCCCGGACUUUGAAAGUCAUCUAAUCUCCCUUGCUGUAUUAUACUGUAUUGAUUAAUUAGUGUUUUUAUGGAGCAGUCAAGUAAUUUCGUUGUCCCCGAAGGGGGCAAUGACAAUAAAGAUAUUAUUAUUAUUAUUAUUAUUAUUAUUAUUAUUCUUUGUCCUGCCUUCUGGCUGAUAAGAGUCGAUUCUUUGACAUUAAGCAGAUUUAUAGGGGGCUGGAGGGAAGUCGUGAGUGUGUUUUUUGGGGGGCCUCUUAGCAUUUUAGUGCUGGAAGGGACCUUGGAGGUCCCGCAGACCAAACCACUACUAAUCUGGGGGAGGGGGUACGGACAUCCAUCAUAAAGUAUGUCUGAAUCCAUCAUAAAGUAUGUCAAAGAAAGUUAAUAUUCACCUAGAGUUAAGUGCGAUGAUUUUUUUUUUUUUUACUUAAAAAUAAAAUUGAAAUUAAGGACACAUUGAUUUUCUAUAUAUUCCCCGUUAAGUGGCAUCCUUCAAAUGCCAUAUCCAUAAAUACGAAUAAGGUUUUCUGAUUCCAAUUUUCAGGUAAGAUUAGCUUAUCACCGAGCGCACCAUCUGCCAUGUGUUAUACUUCACAUUUACAUUCUCUCUGGGUUAUUAUCAUAAUUGAGCUGCUUCAGAAACAAUAUAUAUAUAUAUAUAUAUAUAUUCACUCAUCAAACAGACGCCUUUCCCUCCCUGGCAAUUUGUCACUUGAGGCUUUUUAACUUAAUGUCCCACGAGUCUUAUUUAUUAUCUUACUAAAAUUGGGAGGAUAAAUUAUUAAUUUGUUCUAGGCAGGGAGGGCAUCUCUGCGUGCGUCGGGUGCUUGCCGAUACGUGCCAAAAGAAAAAAGAAAAAUCAACUUGGAAAUACUUUAAGGACUUUUUACUUUUGUUCUGCCCUGCGAAUAAAACAGUCAGAUUGUUAAACAGAAAAGAGAAGGGGAUGGUAUGGCUUUGAAAAUGGGCUUGCUUCACUUUGCUAAGAUGAAAAAAUGAAAGAAAAGAAGGGCAAACUACUUCUUUUUUUUAAAGGCAGGAAGGAAGCCCCAAAGCUGGCUUGCGGGUUUCGAGUUUGCUCUGAAUGAAAUGACUGCUAGUUUCGUUUGAGGUCUCAUCCCCUGUGAGGGAGGCUUGGGAAAAAUCUGUAGGCUGGGCAGCCCUGGUUAAAAAAGUUCUGCCAACUAGAACUACAGUCGAAGUCUUUCCAAAGUGUCUGGUUGUUCUGGCGGGCAGAUUUUCUGAUAUAAAAUUGGAUGCACUUUGAAUACCUGAAAAGAGAGUAUGUGUAUUUUUGUUGUUGUUGUUGUUGUUUAGUCGUUUAGUCGUGUCCGCCUCUUCGUGACGCCCUGGACCAGAGCACGCCAGGCACUCCUGUCUUCCACUGCCUCCCGCAGUUUGGUCAAACUCAUGCUGGUAGCUUCGAGAACACUGUCCAACCAUCUCGUCCUCUGUUGUCCCCUUCUCCUUGCGCCCUCCAUCUUUCCCAGCAUCAGGGUCUUUUCCAGGAAGUCUUCUCUUCUCAUGAGGUGGCCAAAGUAUUGGAGCCUCAGCUUCAGGAUCUGUCCUUCCAGUGAGCACUCAGGGCUGAUUUCCUUCAGAAUGGAGAGGUUUGAUCUUCUUGCAGUCCAUGGGACUCUCAAGAGUCUCCUCCAGCACCAGAAUUCAAAAGCAUCAUUUCUUGGUGUGUUGCAAUUCAGCAAGGACUUCCUGCCCUGAGAGAAGAUCCAGCCUCCUGCAUAUUUAGCAGAUUGGGGAGUUUCACUCUCUUGGAAGAAAAAGGGUCAACCCCCAGAGUCCUGGAUUGGCAACCAGGAGAAUCCUAGAGGCAUUUUGCUGCAACUCUGUAUUGGGGUUUGUGGUGUAGCCGGACACAUACUGGCACCUCAGAGGGCAGAGCCCAACUCAUGUCCCCUCUCCCCUGCCAAUAAGCUGAACACUGUGAUAUUCUGCAGGGAGGAAAUAAUAAUAAUAGUAGUAGCAGCAGUAGUAGUAGUAGUAGUAAUAAUAAUAAUAAUUUUUAUUUAUACUCUGCCUACCCUAGCCUUGACUGGGCUCAGGGCGACUAACAACCGAUUUAAAAACAAAUUGAUUGAAAUACAACUUAAAAACAAGCUUAAAAUACAACAUUAAAACAUUAAAAUACAGCCUCAUUUCAAUGGAAACUCAAAACAAAAACUUUUUGGGGGAUGAAAACGUCAUCUUCACCAAGGCUAACUUAGGAAGGGGGUUGAAAUUAAAAUUGCCACUGUAAUAAUGCAACAUUACAAAGAUGUGGGGUGUAUUGCAGAGCUGGAAAAUGUUCAGAAGAGGGCAGCCAAAAUGAUCAAGAGGCUUUAGGGUUGCAGCGUUUGGGAUGUUUCAGCUCAGAGAAAAGGUGAGGAAGAGACAACACAUAGGAAUUUUAUAAAAUUCUGCAUCGCUUGUAGAAAAUGGGCAGGGGAAGGUUUUUCUCCCUCUCUCAUAACACUGGACCUUGUGAAAAUCCAACGAUGCUGAACUUUGGAAGAUUCAGGACAGAAAAAAGGAAGUCCUUCUUCAGGCAGUGUGUAGUUAAACUAUGGAACUCAUUGCCACAGGAGGACCACCCACCUAGAUGGUUUGAAAAGAAGAUUGGACAAAUUCGUAGGGGAGGAGAGGGCUAUCGAUGGCUAUUAAUGGCUAUGCUUUGCCUUCCAUAGUCAGAGACAGCAAUGCUUCGGAAUACCAGCUGCUGGAAGCCACAGGAGGGGAGAGUUGCUCUUGCGUUCGAAUCCUGCUUGCGGGUUUCCCUCUGGGGCAUCUGCUUGGCCACUGUGAGCUGCUGAACUAGAUGGCCUGAUCUAGCAGACUCUUCUUAUGUUUUAUGAGGGAGACAUAUUUGCGUUUGAGCAUUAUUAGGUUACGGCAGGGGUCAGCAAACUUUUUCAGCGGGGGGCCGGUCCACUGUCUCUCAGACCUUGUGGGGGGCCAGACUAUAUUUUUUGGGGGGGGAAAAGAAUGAAUUCCUAUGCCCCACAAAUAACCCAGAGAUGCAUUUUAAAUAAAAGCACACAUCCUGCUCAUGUAAAAUCAUGCUGAUUCCUGCACCGUCUGUGGGCUGGAUUUAGAAGGCGAUUGGGCCAGAUCCGGCCCCCGGGCCUUAGUUUGCCAACCCAUGGGUCACGGGUUCAAUCACAACACUGCAAAACUCGUCACCGGAGAAAGCAGCCAAUUACUAACCCAGAAACCGAAAGUUAAGACUGUGUGGCCAAAUUUCCCCCUUGCUAUGGUUAGGAAAUUCUUGCCAUCCACUUCAGAUCGUAAUCUAAGCACAAUUAGAAGCUUGCAGUCAAGGAAUGGUCUCAGCUCUUCAUUUCCUGUAUACUCUUGCUUUCUUCAUUCCAUCGACAGCUCUCCUUCAGCUACCUUCCCUCCGGGCCUUCUAACCCCUGAGGGUUCCUACUUCCGGGGCGACUUUUCAGGUCUCGGUCAAUCUUUGCCCCGGUGACUGCGUGGGAUUUUAAUCCCUGCCAAACUGACAAGUUUCACUUCCCUCUCAGAAGCUGGGCUACCAACAUUCCAGCAUCUUUCCUCUGUGAGCAAUGGAAGACUUUGUGAACGCAGCAGGUCAAACCACAGUUAAAGAAGCGUAACUUCGGUUUAUUGGGCGAUGACUGAAUUGACUAGGCACUGGAUUUGACUAGGCACUGGACUUUAGGAAAUGUAAACUGAAUAUUCAGCCACUUAUUAUUGAGGGGAGGUGCGUGGGACAGGUCUCGGUGUUUCAAUUUCUGGGAAUGGAGUUGAGAGAUGACCUAACCUGGGGAGAAAACAGCAAAGACCUGAUGAAGAGAGCACAACAGAGGUUAUAUUUUCUGAGAAUACUCUGGAAAAACAAUCUCUCAAAGGACCUGUUGAUGGUAUUUUACCAUUGUACUGUUGAGAGUGUAUUAACUUACGGUCUGUGUGUGUGGUUUGGGAGCUGCACAGUCAGGGGGAAAACAAUGCUGUCCAGGGUUGUAAAGACUGCAGAGGGAAUAAUUGGGUGCACUCUUUCCACCUUGGAUCAAAUCUAUGCUUCCAGGUAUCACAAGAAAGCUGCAGAGAUAGCGCAGGAUAGUGCGCACCCCGGAAAUAAUCUCUUUCAGCUUCUGCCUUCUGGAAGAAGGUCCAGGGUUAUAAAGACUAGGACUAGCCGCCUGAGAAACAGUUUCUAUCCAAAUGUGAUUUUGGUUUUAAACGCAGUGUAAGGAGUCUCUAUGGAAGUAUAUUGUACUUAAUUAUGGGGUAUCAGAGUUUUUAGGGGGCUAACCAGGCUGGGAUAUCUGGGAUAGCAGGCUUGUUGGUUUUUGAAUGUCUGAUGUAGAUUUUCUCAGUUUCGUUGUUCUGUAUGGGACAAUGACAAUAAAGAUUAUUGUAUCGGAUAGCAAAUCAGAUUUGGAGGUGGGCUUGCAAAUCAUGGUUUGAUGUGAUGUCUGAAUAUAGAGACCCGAAUUGCUGGCCAGGAGGGAAACAGAAGCACAUUUAAACCAUGGGUUGUCUCCACAAUGCGAAAACAUGGUUUGGGUACUUCACUGGGGCUAGUGUAAACCGUGCUUUGGCAUGAUGGUGCUGUUGAACACCAUGUUGUGGGUGGAGAACAUGUGACCUUCUAGAGGUAGCUUGACUCCAACUCCCAUCAGACCAGACCAGCACAGCCAGUGAUCUGGGGUGCUGGGAGUUGGAGUCAAGCAACGUUUUGAGACCACCAUUGCUAUCUUGAUACAUACAGAAGUGGGAGAAGCCAUCUCAGUUCCUACGAGGUCUUCCUUUCAGCAAGGUUGGAGAGACAAUUUCCAGGAUCCUUCAGGUCAACGUAAUGCCCCCGUUUCGUAUUUCUUCGACCACAACUCCUGCAGUGCUGGGGCUGAUGGGAAUUGUAGUCCCAAAAAUUGGGAGGGCACUGGGUUGGCGAAGGCUGUUUUUAGGCAUAGGACGCAUCCAGUUUUAGGAAGGAGGGAAGACAAGAUAGCCUAGUUUGAGAAGUUUGUGACAUCUGUUGGCCAAUAAUGGAUCCAUUAUCUAACCUACGGGUCAGGCCAGAGUUCAGUGUUCGCAACAAUAUAGGAUACCCAAGGGCUUUGUGGUGAAUAGGUCGGAGAGCCCAUCGAAUUCAGGGAAGACGAUGCUAAGCCUAUAUUGCACAAAUCUUUAGGAUGGUCUGCGAAUGCUAACUCCUUGAGUUAGCACGUUAAGUUUUUACAGCGUCCAGGGCCUGCCAGCUCUCUCAGUUACCCUUUCAGGUACCCAAACCUCCUGUACGAUGAAAGAGCCCUGGCUUUCAGGCUUCACUAGAGAUUUGUGGCAUGGCUUGCUUAGAAACAAUAGUUGCAUACUCACACACCACUCUGGUGUGUUUAGUUAGACUUUCAUAUCCACUAAGAGGAGAUGGGGAAGUCCCGCGCUGGCCUUUCCAGCAUAGGGGAUCUUUUAGGGCGAGUUUUAUGCACGAAUGAGGUUUUGUCUCGGUCUCGUUGUGGUCCCUGUAAGCCUGUGAUGUUGCAGAGUGUCAUGCGAUUCACCGAGUGUGGUUAAGAACACACUAGAAUCGUAGAAUCAGAAGGGACCUCAGGGAUCAUCUACUCCAACCUCCUUUGAUACAGGAAUCGCAGCUAAGACGAACUAGAUGGAUCAAUUGUCUGACUCGGUACAAGUUGGCCUCUGAUGUUUCUGUGUAAUAGCGGGGCAGUCUCUUGGUUUCUUGAGGAGUGUGUUAAGUUGUGGGUGAACAUAUCAGACGACACAGUGAUUCUUCAAACAGCUCUUGUUUAUUCACAGGCCAGAACAGAACUGAACUGAAGGGUUCAGCCAGCCUGCUUAUAUAGAGCUCCACUACAAUGCAACUGUAACCACUUUCUGUAACUAUCCAAUCACUGAGCGUCACUUUCAAUCCCUUAUUUGCAUAUGUGGACCUGCGUGAAAACUAUCUACAGUAUCCCCCCACUGGCCCAGGGUGAGAACUUCAGUACAUAACAGAGUGGACAGCAGUCGACAGUGCCUUCCCUUCCAUCGGGAUGUUUGCAAACAUUCCGUGAGGUCACAGCAGUCUUGCCAGUGGCUUGCGGCACACAGCACAUGGCCAGGAGUUAGAAUUGAGCUUAUUUUGUAUAUGAGAGUCAGUGAGAUGUAUAUUGCACCCGUUUCAGGUGGUGCUGCUGAUGGGAACCCCUUGUAAAGGGAGAUUAAUUACAAGGGAAUUAACGGACCCCUCCCAGCUCCUUCCUACAUCUCGAGUUUAGCUGCAGGCCUGCUCUGGAUAAACCACUCUUUUUUAUUUUAUUUUUUGCAAAGCCAUUAUCUAGUCCCAAGAAGCGAGGAAGGAGAAGGAAGUAAGGUAGUCAGAGAGCAGAUGCUGGGAUGACUCAGCUGGCAAUCUAUGAUCCUGGCCUAUUUCUGUCCCAUUUCUAACACGCGCCCGUUCCUUUCUCUUAACGUUAGAUCAUUGCUGUGCAAUAAUGUCGUCCUCAGCUGCGCAGAGCAAGGAACACUUUUCUUUCCAAAGCUUUUUCUUCCCUCAUUACCAGGCUGCUGGGGGCCAGUGACCCUUCCACGUGGCCUCGCAUUGUCGCAGGUCACACCGAGUCUCGCUUCAAAGCCGCUUGAUCUCUCUACGGCUCUCGGUUGUGAGACGCUUUGAAUCUAAGGCCCCUGUUUCCUUCAGCUGGGAGGUCAGGAUAGAUGUGCAUGGCGGAUUAGCCAGCACAAUAGCUCAGGCGGUGGCGGAGGGGCCAUAGGGCAGGAGUUGCACAGCGAGAGCAAAUUGCAGUGGUACCUUGGUUCUCAAACUUAAUCCAUUCCGGAAGUCCGUUCCUAAACCAAAGCAUUUCCAAGACCAAGGCGCACUUUCCCAUAGAAAGUAUGGGGGGGGGGAGAGAGAGAAAAUCUGCUCCAGACUUUAAAAAACAACCCUAAAACAGCAAUUUUGGGAUGCGGGUGGCACUGUGGGUUAAACCACAGAGCCUAGGACUUGCCAAUCAGAAGGUCGGCGGUUCAAAUUCCCGCAAUGACGGGGUGAGCUCCCGUUGCUCAGUCCCUGCUCCUGCCAACCUAGCAGUUCGAAAGCACCUCAAAGUGCAAGUAGAUAAAUAGGUAAACGGCAGGAAGGUAAACAGUGUUUCCGUGCGCUGCUCUGGUUCGCCAGAAGCGGCUUAGUCAUGCUGGCCAUGUGACCCGGAAGCUGUACCCCGGCUCCCUCGGCCAAUAAAGCGAGAUGAGCGCCGCAACCCCAGAGUGGGUUAAACUCUGUGGUUUAACCCACAGUGCCACCCGCGUCCCAAGGUUUCGGUUAGGCAUUGGUUUUAGAAAACUCACUUUUUUUGUAUUUUAAUAAAGUUGUGGCCAAAAUUAUGCCAAAAACCUUUAACAAAAUUACGGCGUGAAGUGUGAAUUUACUAGGGGUGGCCUGGGGACCUCGACACACAACUCCAGUCUUGCAGCAACGGCUGAUGCCCCCACCUGGGUGCUCCUUUGGUGAUGCUCCUUUGGGACUAGGGAGCCACUGUCUACCUUCCUUCCUCAGGUGGAGUUCUGAGCCCCCAAACUGUGCUCAGACCCAGGUGUGGCAGGGAUGAUGAAUAAGAUUUUCUGCUGCGUAGAUGGCCAUUGGUUGACAAAGUGAGCAAGCAUUCUCUCCUGUUAACUUGUGUGUGUGUGUGUGUGUGUGUGUGUGUGUGUGUGUGUGUGUUACUUCUGUAUGCUAUCCCUUGCAAGUUUUUAUUUUUGCUUCAUUAUUUUUGGGUUCGGCUUCUGAUUCCCCCCCAAAUAUCCCCCCCCCACUCCCAUCUUUUUAUAGAAGAUUGAGUGUUGUUUGGGGAGACCUUGGUUAACAGCUUUCCUGCUCACUAAAUGUCAUCUCGUUUGUUCUAAAGUGAAAAUGGAGAGUUAGAAAUGGAAAGUGUGUAUUUUGUGGGAGGCUGCUUGUGGGGAAGUUGAGCGGCAUCCCAAAGUCUGCUAGCAAAUUUCUUAACUUAUAGGGGAUUUCGGCUACUGCAGCUCAGCUUUCUUGCACACGUGAUUUACCGUAUUUUUCGCUCUAUAAGACGCACCAGACCAUAAGACGCACCUAGUUUUUGGAGAAGGAAAACAAGAAAAAAAAUAUUCUGAAUCUCAGAAGCCAGAACAGCAAGAGGGAUGAUCCCUCUUGCUGUUCUGGCUUCUGGAAUAGCUGCGCGGCCUGCAUUCGCUCCAUAAGACGCACACACAUUUCCCCUUACUUUUUAGGAGGGAAAAAGUGAGUCUUAUAGAGCAAAAAAUAUGGUAUUUGAAAAGAUUUGUAUGCUGCUUUCUUAAAGCCCAUCCAAAGUGGCUUACGGACAUAAAAUAGCAAGAGAUGGCAGCACAAUAACACAGAACUGAACACUGAAAAUCAAACAACUCCUCCAAACACUGUCUACAAUAAUAAUGAUUAAUAAUAGCCGGGUUGGGGGGGGGGGCAUAAUUCAACAGAGCCCAAAUUUAACCUGUCUACUUUUGCAUGGCUUGCACCUGGUUUAAUUUGCAUAUAUUUGCAAUUAAAUUGAUUUCUAAAUUUUCUAGCCCUGUUGACCCAAGAGUUUUGGAUCAGCAGUGAAAUUAAAGAGGGUUUCACACAUUUUUUUUUUUUGGGGGGGGGGUGCGUAUAGCUGAGAGUGUGUUGUUCGAAGGCAACAAAGCUGUUCCCCAUUAGGUGCACCAUUGAAGGUUGUGGGUUCAGUGAAAGAUCUUUGGUAAAUCAAGUUAAAAUGCAAUGACGGUCCUUUCAGAACUCAGACGCAUGCAUGCGUGGGCUCAUACAAAUGUUUAAGGCAGUGGUCCUAGUGCGCAGUCUAUCACUCUCUGGACCAGGAUACAUAAAAGCAGGGGGGUUUUUUUCUAGAAAAGGAAAGUGCCAGAACUUUUUUCUAGAAGGAGCUGGUAUGCUACUGCUGUUGUUUAAAACGCUUUAUAAUAUUUUUAACUGCGUUUAUACAUGCCUAAUGUUUUAACUCUGUUUAUUGCUGUAGAUGUUACUACUUUGCAAAUCGUUUUGGGAUGCCUAGUGGGAAGCUGCUCGUAAAUGAAAUUAUUAUUAUUAUAUAUCUUUAUUGCGGUCCAACAAAACAGUUUCAAAACAAGAUACAGUUAAGACAACCAAACAACAGGUGAAAGAGACUAAAUGAAAUUAGUAAUAAGGAUAAUAAUAACCAAUGUGCGCUUCUUUAAAAGGAAUAUGCGUGCCCAGGAUCCUUUUCAAACAAGGCCAGAUGGAGAGAGAGAGAACCAGAAAAUCAGUCCUGCUCUUAUAUUUUCCCUCCUUUCCUUUGGCUCACAACCCUGCUGGACCACGGCCUUAAAACGGACUUCCUUUGAUAGUUUCCUUUUUGCAAAAUAUAUAAAAAAGCAGGGAAACGAAAAACCGAGGCGGGUUAGGAGAGGAAAAGGUUAAAGAUCAGGUGUGGGUUUUGAUUUGUGGCAGGUCCCUGUUAAUGACUGAUACGGCCAGGGAUUAGGUGCAACAUUAAAAGCAGCAGAGCUGGCUUGUCAGGAGAGGGAGGCUGCGAUCCUGCUCACAAUAUAUCCUGCUCACAAUAUAUGACCCGCACACUGGCGGGCGGAUGCAAUAAUUAAUUUGCUUCGUGGAGAGCCCUGUCAUUCCAAAGUGAUUUCUUGCGCCUGUUGGAUUACCGUUGGACAGGACAAUUAGAAUUUCCUCCACAAGUCAUGUUCGUCAAGGUCGGAAGUCCUAACAUCUUACUUGCUUGGGAAUUCUUGCCAGAGGGUAAUGUUUAACUAAUUCCGGCCCCUCCCCGCCUGAACCCAUACGUUCCAGUUUUACAUGACAAAGCUAAAGGCAGAAGCCUUUGCACACACAAAAACCUAUUCUCAAGAUUUGCGCACCUCUCCCCAAUUGAGCUGCAUGUUGCAGCGUUUUUAUUAUUCUUAUUUUGAUCACCGUUUGCCCCGUGGGUGGCCUUACGGAAUGCAGACAAAUUCAUGGAGGAGGGGGCUGUCAGUGGUUACUAGCCACAAGGUUGCAGCAGCAGCAAAAAAAAAAAGAGGGGAAAAAAGCUAAUUCUAGGCUGCAUUAAUAAUGUUCUGAUCAAGGAAAGGAAUUGUUGUUUAGUCGUCUCCGCCUCUUCGUGACCCCCUGGACAAGAGCACACCAGGCACUCCUGUCUUCCACUGCCUCCCGCAGUUUGGUCAGACUCAUGCUGGUAGCUUCGAGAACACUGUCCCACCAUCUCGUCCUCUGUCGUCCCCUUCUCCUUGCGCCCUCCAUCUUUCCCAACAUCAGGGUCUUUUCCAGGAGUCUUCUCUUCUCAUGAGGUGGCCAAAGUAUUGGAGCCUCAGCUUCAGGAUCUGUCCUUCCAGUGAGCACUCAGGGCUGAUUUCCUUCAGAAUGGAUCGGUUUGAUCUUCUUGCAGUCCAUGGGACUCUCAAAAGUCUCCUCCAGCACCAGAAUUCAAAAGCAUCCAUUCUUCAGCGAUCAGCCUUCUUUAUGGUCCAGCUCUCACUUCCAUACAUCACUACUGGGAAAACCAGAGCUUUUACUAUACGGACCUUUGUUGGCAAGGUGAUGAGGUCCCUUUACUUUUACCUUUAAGCAAUGUUCUUGGGAAAUCGAGGAAGUUUUGUCGCCUCACUGUGGGGCCGCACGAGGACGCCUGCAAGAUUUCAGAUCAGUGGCAAUUUCAGGCAGCUUUGUGGGUUCUCUGAGCUGUUGCGAGAGAACUCGGGACGGAGAUUGUGACCUCAAGCCUCAGUGAAGGUAGUUUGUGGGCAAUUGAGGUAGGAGGGCGAUUCCUGGGAUGGAAACUGAGAAAGCAAAAUAGGAACCCCUGGCUUCUGCUGAACGGCUGAGUGACUCUGGGUUCAAGGACAGUGGCCUCUCUUGAACCGGGCUGUGAUUUGUUUCUGGCAGAGGCCUUUUUUUCAUGCUAAGUCUCCAGGGCUCAAUCCGGCUAAAAGGCCGUGUAAAAGGCAAAUUGCAUACUGGAGAUCAUUAUGAAAGGAACUGAAAAUAAAACAGCUGACAGUGAUUGGGGAAACCCAGCCAGAUGUGCGGGGUAUAAAUAAGUUUAUUAUUAUUAUUAUUAUCCAUUGACAAGCCCAUCUGCCUUUCACUUUCCUCUGCAGCACAUGCAGAAACCAUCUUCUUGACCACUGGACCCACCGUUGGUCCAGUCUGCUCCAUCCGCCAGAACCUGUGGGUUUCAGACCCAUUGGCUCCCUUCACCUCGUUUAGUCAGCCAGUUGAAAUCGUUCCCCAGGGUGUGGCCAUGGUCUGCUGUUUUUUAUUUUUAUUUUACAUAUUUUUUAUUAAAUUUUCUGUUUUACAAUUUAACAUAUUCGUUUAAACAACCUUAAAAUAUCAAUCACUUCCCUUUCUUCUCUUUCCAUGGUUCAAUUUGCAUAACAUAAAUCCCUGCAUAUUUUAUAUAAGCUAAACCAUUCAGUAUUCCAUUAUUACAUAAUAAAUAAUAAUAUUUUUAAAAAUUUAUAUCCCACCCUCCCCAGCCAAAGUCAGGCUCAGAGCAGCUAACAACAUUAAAAUAAUACAUGCAUUUUAAUAUAUUUUAAUCUUUUGUUGGAAGCCGCCCAGAGUGGCUGGGGAAACCCAGGCAGAUGGGCGGGGUAUAAAUAAUAAUAAAUAAAUAAAUAAUAAAAAAAUAUAUAAAUAUAAUAAUAAUAAUAAUAAUAAUAAUAACAUCCAUCAAAACUUGUGUACACUGCUGCAUUAAUCUUAAUGCUGCCCACAUUUUCAAAUGCAUACAAUUCCCCCCCAUAUAUUCAACAAACAUUUCCCCAUCUUCUUUAAACGUAUGUUCUUCCUGUUCUCUUAUUCUAUGAGUUAGGUCUGCAAUCUGCUCAUAUUCCAUCAGUUUGAGUCGCCAUUCUUCUUUGCUUUGGACCUCGCUUGUUUUCCAUUUUGGGGCUAACAAAACACGGGCCGCAGUAGCGGCGUGCAUAAAUAACCUUUAAAAAUAAAUAAAUUAUUGAGGAAAUUUAACAAGUCAGAUUAUAAAUCAAUAUAACCAAUUACCGGUACAUUUCCCCCCCUUGUCCCCAUCCCUCUCCCACCCUCCAAGUACUUCCCUCAGCUCCCCUCUCUGAUUUGCUUAUACAUGUUAUUCUCUGCAUAUUGUAAAAUUGUACAUAUCAUUGCCUUAUCUAUCAUACGUUCUACUAAUAAAUUUUAGGAGGUUUGUUCAAAGCCUGCCAAAUCAUUUUGUUGUCUUUUUAGAUAGUUUGUAAAAAAAGUUCCCAUUCUUCCUUGAAGUCACGGUUGUCCUUCUCACAUAAUUUAUAUGUCAACUUGGCCAACUCCGCAUAGCUCAUCUGUUUUUCUUGCCGUUGUUCUUUCGUUAGGAUUUCCUCAUUCUUCCAUCCUUGUGCUAACAAGACUCUUGCCACUGUUGUAGCGUACGUAAAUAAGUUCAUAAAUAACCUUUUUUUGGACACCCGGGAAUUUCAGUCUGAAUUAUCCCCAACAAAAAGGACUCUGUUUUUUUGUUGUUGUUGUUGAAAAGUGUUUUUAAACAUUUUCCCUCCCAAUUUAUUAUAUGUAAAAGAGUAAACGAGUAUUGGGAAAUAAUUUAUAACAGCUGCUGACAGUUUCUAGGAGCCACAGGUGAGAGCUGAGUGCAGGCUGGGGACGAAAGGUGGACAAACUCCUCCAGAAGGGGCUCAGUUUGCCCACCAUCAGAGGUACCAACCCUCCCCUAACACCCCAUAAAUUGUGCAGGUCACUUGGGUGCUGCUAAUGCAGUGGUUUGACUUCACCCCUGUUAGCAUACUCCAUUGCCUCUCGAGACAGAUGGAUACAAAUGGAAUGCUGUUACACAAACCUAUGGCUUGGCUACGUUUGGAAUACUGUGUGCUGUUCUGGCUGCUCCAUCUCAAAAAGAGUUGGAGACGGUUCAGCAAAGUGCACCCCAAAUGAUGAAGGGGAUGGAACAUCUCCCUGGUGAUGCAAGGGUGCAACAUUUGGGGACAUUUUAGUUUUGAGAAAAGAUGAGUAAGGAGUGACAUGAUGUUGUUGUUGUUUAGUCAUUUAGUCGUGUCCGCCUCUUCGUGACGCCCUGGACCAGAGCACGCCAGGCACUCCUGUCUUCCACUGCCUCCCGCAGUUUGUCAAACUCAUGCUGGUAACUUUGAGAACACUUUCCAACCAUCUCGUCCUCUGUCGUCCCCUUCUCCUUGUGCCCUCCAUCUUUCCCAACAUCAGGGUCUUUUCCAGGGAGUCUUCGCUUCUCAUGAGGUGGCCAAAGUCUUGGAGCCUCAGCUUCAGGAUCUGUCCUUCCAGUGAGCACUCAGGGCUGAUUUCCUUCAGAAUGGAGAGGUUUGAUCUUCUUGCAGUCCAUGGGACUCUCCAGAGUCUCCUCCAGCACCAGAAUUCAAAAGCAUCCAUUCUUCGGCGAUCAGCCUUCUUUAUGGUCCAGCUCUCACUUCCGUACAUCACAUGAUAGAAGUUCAUAAAAUAAUAGGUGGUUUGGAAAGAGAAAAGUUUGCUAAGUUCACCAAGAGACCAGAAGCCUUUUUAUUAGGUAUCAUAACAACAUAAAUUAAGACGAGGGUUUGACCGCUAUUCAUGUAUGCCACGACUGCAGCCAGGAUUCUAAUUGCGGGAAAUUGGAAAAGCGAAACCAUCCCCUCAAAAAUCGAAUGGCAAGCCAAAUUGAUAGAAUACCUACGGUUAGCAAGGAUGACCGGAAUAGCGAGAGGAAACUCGAUACAAGAUGUUAAUAAAGAAUGGAUAGUAAUUAAAGAAUACCUCCUGUAUGUAUAAUCAUACCUCAUGUUAUGUUUUCUUCAGGUUACGUUCUUUCAGGUUACGCCCUGUGGCCACCCGGAAGUACCGGAAAGGGUUACUUCUGGGUUUUGCCGCUCACACAUGCGCAGAUGCACAAAAUGACAUCACGCGCAUGCGCAGAAGCGGCAAAUCGCAACCCACAUGUGCGCAGACGCGCCGAUGCAGGUUGCGCUCUUUUCAUGUUGCGAAUAGGCCUCCAGAAUGGACCACUGUAUUUUAAGGUUUCUGUAUAAUAAAGGAUUAUAAAAAAUAAAAAAAAAGGAAAGAGAGAAGUUUGCAGGAGGAUAAAAGGCUCGAGAAGAGAGAGUAAAAGCAAAGGACAUUAGGAAAGUCUCACGCUUAUCAAACUUCUCCAAACUGGGUGAGGCUUUGGGGUCUGUAAGUUUUGUUCUGGUCUGACGUGGGUCAGCUCCCGAACCUGGUAUUAGGCACAUUACUUGUGCCCGCUCCUUAAAAAUAAUAUGCUAAUCUGUAGAAAUUGUUGAGAGGAGUUUCGCCUAUGCCAGUUUUUCUCCCCACUCGGUUAUUUAAUGUGGCACCAGCCUGCUCUGGUUUACAGCCCACGCGGCAGAUUGGCAUUGAAACUUGCCGCGGACUUUUGCCGCAAAUGGAGAUGCGGUUGAAGGAGGCGCAGAACCUAGAGGGUUUUUGCAGUGUGUUCGCAUCCUUCUUUUCCAUUCCCGCUCCACAUCCUUUCAGAUCCUUUGGCCUGAUCUGAAUCCUCGAAACGUGCCCGGGGUUUUUGCUCCUCGGAGGCCACCAUUGCUCAACAGGGGAGAAUAAACUACGUGCCGCACGCGUCAUGGGUUCGGAGUGGCUGCAUCCGCCUCAAUCUUUCCCCUAAAGUUUUGCAACAUUGCUCAGCUCUCUCCCCAUGAUUUAAAAAAAGGCAAAACAGGAAAAGAAAAGAAAAAGCAAGCUGAUUUCAUUUCGAGAGUGAUGGGGGAGGGAAUUGAGAAAGCGAGAGCCUUUACAGUAAGUCUCGGGUUUUCAAUGACAGAAACUCGACUCUUAGAAGUCUCUGGGUGUUGCAGAAACCCACUUUCACAUCACGAAAGACAAAAAAACUCCCCUGAAGUUGGAAAUAUCUGCAGGACGUCUCAGAAACCACAGAAAGUAAAAGGGUGCUCUUAUUUCCCCCCGCCACUCGUUUGGGUGGGCUUGGUCCUUUCUUGAUAGAAUGAUCUCCAAAUAUUCCUGGAUGUUCAGACUUGCUGAGCUGCCUAAGGCUGCUGCCGGAAGGUGUAGACUUGUUGAUGUGCACAGCUCAACUGUGGUGUACCUAGAUUGUACACUUGUUGUACACUGUAUGUGGGUGGCACUGUGGUCUAAACCACUGAGCCUCUUGGGCUUGCCAAUUGGAAGGUCGGCGGUUCAAAUCCCCAUGACGGAGUGAGCUCCCGUUGCUCUGCCCCAGCUCCUGCCAACCUAGCAGUUCGAAAGCACACCAGUGCGAGUAGAUAAAUAGGUACCACUAUGGUGGGAAGGUAAAUGUGUUUCCAUGCUCUCGGGCUUCCGUCACGGCGUCCCUUUGCACCAGAAGCAGUUUAGUCCUGCUGGCAAACAUGACCCGAAAAGCUGUCUGCGGACAAAUGUUGGCUCCCUCGGCCUGAAAGCGAGAUGAGCGCCACAACCCCAUAGUCGCCUUUAACUGGACUUAACUGUCCAGGGGUCCUUUACCUUUACCUUUUACGAGUGUACAGCUCAAUUAUUUGUGUACACAGAUACAGUGGUACCUCGGGUUAAGAACUUAAUUCGUUUUGGAGGUUUGUUCUUAACCUGAAACUGUUCUUAAGCUGAAGCACCACCUUCGCUAAUGGGGCCUCCUACUGCCGCCACGCCGCCAGAGCACGAUUUCUGUUCUCAUCCUGAAGCAAAGUUCUUAACCUGAAGCACUAUUUCUGGGUUAGCGGAGUCUGUAACCUGAAGUGUCUGUAACGCGAAGCGUCUGUAACCCGAGGUACCACUGUACACCCAUUGAAUGUAACAUGGCAGCCCACCUGAGUAGGGAUGCAAGAAGACAUAGUUUACUGUCCAGCCCUUUGUUGAAUUGCCAGAGAUGCAUUUUAAAUAAAAGCACACAUUCUACCCAUGUAAAAACACCAGGCAGGCCCCACAAAUAAACCAGAGAUGCAUGUUAAAUAAAAGGAUACAUUCUACUCAUGUAAAAACAUGCUGAUCCCUGGGCCUUAGGUUGCCUACCCAUGGGUUAGAGUGUCAAUACAGGAGGACCAGGGAGACACGAGUUCGAAAACCCCGCUCCCUGCCUUUCAGCCUAGCCUACCUCUCAGGGUUGUUGUGGGGUUAAAUCAGCAGGAGAUGCUGGACUCUCUGUCUCUGGAGGCUUUUAAGCAGAGGUUGGAUGGCUGUCUGCCAGGGAUUCUUCCGCUGUGGUUCCUGCAUUGCAGGAGGCUAGACUGUAUGGCCCUGGGGGGUCCCUUCCAACUCUCUGAUUCCAUAAUGUAGUAAACACAUUGGAAGAAUAAUUUCUCUCUGUCUCUUCUCUUUCUCCAAACCCCAGAAGACAAGCCCUUUGGAGGUGGGGGGGGGGGUCCCCAGGCAAAAGCAUCACACACAGUUCUUAUUGUUUUCUUCCAUCCUGAGAGAGCAACUCUCCACCCCCCACCCCCCGGAGAGGGAAGAUACGGGGUGUGCAACCUUUCAGAAAAGAGUUUUGGAGCAGUUUGGAGCUGUUCUGCGUGUCUGAAGUCACUCUGGGAGAUCGAGGGAUUUGCAGGAAAGGUCACUCGGAAGAAGAGGGAAAACGGGCUUGUUUGGAGGGGGGCGGGGAGAGCAAGGGACAUUCUCUCUCUCAAGCUGUGGAUUUCCCCUUGCUAUAAUAAAACCUGCAGCAUCUUCUCCAAUGGCUCUGCGGAGAGUCAUAAGUUCUGCCACUCAUGCUCUGUUAAUCCCAGCUUGCCUUCUCUUAUUUGAUUAAGACGCUGGAAAGAAAGAAGACGAUGCAAGCGAUUUCCCCCGCCCCCUUGAGCUGUCAUGCGAGGGAAGUUUCGGCAUAAAUGCCUCUCGUGGAGGUGGCCCCGAAAAGGCCGCUUCCAGAAGGGGGAGGUCAGGCCAACGGGGAUUUUAUUUCAAGAAGCUUUCUUCUUUCUGCUUGCGAAACGGCCGCACCGAAAACGCAGAACGUUGCAUUUGCUGGUCCAGAACCCGUCCUCUCGGAAAUGCCAGGAGCCCGCUGGGCUAUUGCAUUCUCCGCUGGCAGUUGGCAGGAGACUUGAGUGGUGUUUCCUGGAUUUGAGCUGCAGAGAAGCAGAUGGAAGGGCAGUCACAUCUUUCUAUCUGGCAGGAGAUUUCGGCAACAGAACAUGCCACUGCCUAGGAACAGGGCAGAGGCACCGGGCUCUUUUUGGGGGGUGUCUGGCAUGUUCCAGCUGGUGCCCCCUGUUUUGGCUCCUCCCUUUGCAUGGCCAAGUGGCGAUUUGAACCCAGGUCUCUCCCUGGUCCUAGCAGUCGAACACUCUUAACUACUGAACCACACUGGAGAACCUUGAUUUGACUUACAAGGGUAGUGGGUGGCGAUUGCAACUGCGCUCUGGGGGAGAGGAAAGAGCCCCCAAAUCUCCCCAGUUUGCUUCAUUAUUCCCCCCCCCCCAAGAGAACUGAGGCGCGCCCCAAGGAUUUUGAUCUCCCCCAGGGAUCUGCCAGGGGAUCCAGUCAAUCACUGGGUCUUCUUCAGCAGCGCAGGCCUGUCCCAAGGCACAGUUGCAAAAAAGUGGGAAACGAAAUUGUUGUUGUUGUUUAGUCGUUUAGUCGUGUCCGACUCUUCAUGACCCCCUGGACCAGAGCACGCCAAGCACUCCUGUCUUCCGCUGCCUCCCGCAGUUUGGUCAGACUCAUGUUUGUAGCUUCUAUGACACUGUCCAACCAUCUCGUCCUCUGUCGUCCUCUUCUCCUUGGGCCCUCCAUCUUUCCCAACAUCAGGGUCUUUUCCAGGGAGUCUUCUCCUCUCAUGAGGUGGCCAGAGUCUUGGAGCCUUAGCUGCACGAUCUGUCCUUCCAGUGAGCACUCAGGGCUGAUUUCCUUCAGAAUGGAGAAGUUUGAUCUUCUUGCAGUCCAUGGGACUCUCAAGAGUCUCCUCCAGCACCAGAAUUCAAAAGCAUCAAUUCUUCGGCGAUCAGCCAAAGAAACGGAAUAAUGGAGUUUAUUGCAAUGGGUUCAGAAGCUCCAAGUGUCCUGAUUUUCCUGGGACAGUCCCAUAAUUAUGAAAGGCUUCUGAUGUGAUCCCAAAAUGUCCCUAUUUUCCCUGCCAGCCUUGCUGCUUGGGAAGGAGGGCUUCCCUGGGUGGGAAGAAAAGGCAGAGCAGAACACAAGAAAUCUUGAUCUUUUAAAAUAAUAAUAAUAAUAGAAAACACCUUGUGCAUCUGCGUCUAACCUUGUCUUCUUCCAAAAAAUUAUUUGUUGGUGUGUGCUUUUCUUUCUGUAAAUCCACCAAACAAUAAAAUAAAAUUGGGUUUAUGGGUUUUUCUCAGGACGGUGGAGGCUGUGUGAUGUAUGCCAUUGGUUUGGUGGGGCUGGCAGUCACCCUUCUGAUACAAUCCUGUGACUCUUCUCCUGUGCCACUUAGACUUGUUGUAAGCAAACGGUGUGCAAACUGUCAGAAUAAAUAAAGUAACCCCACGAAGAAAGAAAGAAAGAGAAACUUCUGGAGAUCUGUAAUUAACACAGCCAGCCCGUGACUGGAGCAGGUUUGCGGCGAAUGAGCAUCUUUGCUCAGCUUUGAUGGUUGUGAUUCAGAAAAAAAAAGUUAUUAAACAGACAGGAGGUAGGAAGACUAUAUAUAAAUACGCAAAGCUGUGUUUCAAGUCAGCCUGCGAGGAAGGAGUGAAAAUUGCAUCUUUAUUUCUCUCUUUUCUGAGUCAUCUUCAAAGGACAGAUCAUAAUGAUGCAGAGGUUUGGCCCAGAGAAGGCUAACGUUUUGGAGACUGUAGGAGAGGGAUGCCAGCCUUUGCAGCCCCAAAUUUGGGCCUCUGUGUGGGCUCUGUUGUAUGUCUCUGUUGUUUAACCAUUGGCAAUUUUAUUGACUGACAAAUGGAUCUGUAAGAUUUCUUACCAGCCUUCCACCGCAAGCUCCCAGGGUGGGUUACAGCAAUAGAAUAUGCAAUUAUAUAUGGAAAAAUGAAAGCUCCGCGGCGAUAAAAGAAGGGGAAUCAUUUGAAAUGGGGCAGAACCGUAUCGGUUUUGCAAAAGAGAUGGGUCCCACGAAAGAGAAACUUGAUAAGUGUCAAGGGCAGGAAAGAGGUCCCUCUUUGGAAAAGGGUGAAAGUUGUAUAAUGAAAAUCAAAGAAUAAUAGAAGUUUGAAGGGACCCCAGGGGUCAUCUAGUCCAACCCCCUGCAAGGCAGGAAUCUUUGCCCAAUGUGGGGGUUGAACAUGUGAUGACCUGGGACUCGGACUCAGACUCACAAUCAGAGUUAGUCUCAGUCUGCACCGGAUCCUUUGCCUCAGGCAUCAUCUGAGCCAAGUCUGGGGCCUGAUCCUGAAGAGCCCUAGACUGCGCAGGUUCCCUUGCAACAAGCAGGUAAAGUGACCCCUAAUGAUCAGUGGUCCCUUUACCUUUUUAACCUAGCAGAAAACGUGGCUAAAUCUUUCAGAUAUUGCUUUGAAGGAAAAAAUAAAGACUUCUACUCUGGCCACCAGCAUUCCAAGAUUUCAAAGGAAGGUCUUUCUCCAUCACCUACCAUGUCAGGUAUGAGGAUCAUGGAAUUGCAGAGUGGGAAGGGACCCCGAGGGUCAUCUAGUCCAACCCCCUGCAAGGCAGGGAUCUCAGCUGAAGCAUCCAUGACAGAUGGCCAUCCAACCUCUGCUUAAAAACCUCCAAUGACAGAGGGACCACCUUCUUCCAAGGAGUUGAUUCCAUUGUUAAAGUGAUUCCUACUGUUUAGCCAGAAUUUCCUUUCUUGAAAUUUGGAAAGAAAAGAAACUUGCUCCAUGUUCCAUGUGACAGCCUUUCAGAGAUUUGAAGAUGGCAUGAUACUCCUUAUAGCAACAAUCAGUGCCGGAUUUACGUAUAAGCUAAACAAGCUGUAGCUUAGGGGCCCACUCUCUUGGCCCCUCCCCAAAUCACUUUUAACAUACCAAUACUUCUUCUUAAUUGUAUUUCAGUUCAACAAUUACUUUGAUAAAAUACAUAUUUUGUUAUGUGCAAAUGGCUUUAGAUACCUACCUAUGAGGCCCAUAAAUUUCCAUAUUCAACACAAAAAACAACGGCAAUUUGUUGUUGACAAAGGACAGCUUUCAGGCCGAGGGAGCUGGCGUUUGUCUACAGACAGCUUUCCAGGUCAUGUGGCCUAUGCAGCCUAGGACCCACAUACCUACGGGACCGCCUCUCCUGGUAUGCCCCACGGAGGACCUUAAGGUCCACAAAUGACAACAUUUUGGAGGUCCCAGGUCGCGAGGUGGUUAGAUUGGUCUCAACUAGGGCCAGGGCCUUUUCAGUACUGGCCCCGACUUGGUGGAAUGCUCUGUCUCAAGAGACUAGGGCCCUGUGGGAGUUGACAUCUUUCUGCAGGGCCUGCAAGACAGAGGUGUUCCGCCUGGCCUUUGGUUUGGACUCAGUCUGACCCUUAUGUCUUCCCUCCCCUUACGGUUUUGAUCUAUGGGCUACUUUUAAAAUGAGGCUGCAUUUUAAAUUUCAUUUUAACCUGUAUUUUAAAUUCGAUUUCCCCCCCUAUUAUGAUUUUACUGUAAUUUUACUGGUGUUAGCCGCCCUGAGCAUGGCUCUGGCCGGGGAAGGCGGGGUAUAAAUAAAAAAUAAAUAAAAUUUAUUAUAUUAUUAUUAUUUAUUACUAAACCACUUCUGGCACAAUGGAACACGGUGACGGAAACCAGAGCAGCUCAUAGAAACGCCGUUUACCUUCCCGCCUGAGUGGUACCUAUUUAUCUACUUGCACUUUGAUGUGCUUUCGAACUGCUAGGUGGGCAGGAGCUGGGACCGAGCAAUGGGAGCUCACCCUGUCGUGGGGAUUCGAACCGCUGACCUUCUGAUCGGCAAGCCCAAGAGGCUCAGUAGUUUAGACCACAGCGCCACCAGCAUUUCAAUGACCACUGUGAGAACAGGAUGCUGGACUAUAUGGGCCACUGGCUUCAUCCACAAAAGGCUCUCCAUAUAUUCUUAAGGUACCGUAUUUUUCACUCUAUAGGACACAUUUUUCCCCUCCAAAAAUUGAGGGGAAAUGUGUGUGCAUCCUAUGGAGCGAAUGCAGGCUCCUUGGCUUCAGCGAUAGCAACGCGAAGCCUCUGCGCUCCGGAGCCUUCGCAUUGAUUCCGCUGAAGCCUGGAGAGCAAGAGGGGUCGGUGCGCACCAACCCCUCUUGCUCUCCAGGCUUCAGGGAUAGCCCCCUGAAGCCUUCGGAGCGCAGCACAAGUUCCCGCUGCAUUCUGGAGGCUUCAGGUUCCUUUCGCUGAAGCCAGGAGAGUCUUGCUCUCCUGGCUUCAGCAAAAGGAACCCGAAGCCUGAGGAACGCAGCGGGAACUUGCGCUGCGCUCAGAAGGCUUCAGGGAUAGCCGCGCACAGCCCCUCCAGAAGGGAGAGGCUGCACGCGGCUAUGGCUUCUUUAGCCCCGCGCAGGGCUAAAGAGGAAUCCAAAACAGCGAGCGGGAUUCAUCCCGCUCGCUGCCUUGCCUUGUGCCAUAGCCGCGCGCAACCCCUCCAGCAGGGAGAGGUUGCGCGCAGCCUGUACGCUGCUCUUUGGGGCUGGGGGGGAAAUAAGAUUUUUUUUCUUGAUUUCUCCCUCUAAAAACUAGGUGCGCCCUAUGGUCCGGUGCACCCUAUGGAGCGAAAAAUACGGUCUUUUAUUUAUUUAUUUAAUGGUUAUGAUUAUCAUGAACUAUAGCAGCUGCUUUACACAAGAGGUGUUGGACUCUUCUUCCUUGCAGGAUUUUUUAAAGCAGAGGUGGGACGGUCAUGUAUGAUCUAGCUGAGAUUCCUGCAUCGCAGGGCAGAAGUCUUUUCUUCUUCUUUCAAAGCAAUAUCUGAAAGGGACCCCUGGUGUCCCUUCCCACACUAAGAGGCCUAUUCUUCUUCGCUCUCUCUGCGGAGAGGGGUCUGAAGGCUGGGAUCAGAGAACACCUGGCAUCUUCCUAACACCACAGCUCCGUCUCUCUCCCUCUCGACGCAGCAAAGUCAGUUUCCAAGGCACAAAAUUCUGCCUGAGCAAAAAUGUGCGACUUACCCCUUGUUACCAUUCUAAAUAUACCCCGGUUGCCAAGGCAACAAAGGGGAGACUGACGGGUCUCGCACACGUCCAGCAUUUCAAGACUGACUCAGAAGAAAACAUCGCCCGAGAUGUUUUAUCGCCAUGGUUACCACCGGCUUAAGCUACAGGUGUUUUCAAGCUGCCAAGCCGGAGCCCACCAACUGAUUGAGGGUCGCAGGUGCUGCUGGCUGCUAAGUUGUGGGGUGCAGGGAGAGGGUGGAAAAGCUCUUGCAAGCCCCCAAAAGAAAGGGGAAAGGGUAAAGGACCCCUGACAGUUAAGUCCAGUCGCGGACGACUCUGGAGUUGCGGCGCUCAUCUCACAUUACUGGCCAAGGGAGCCAAUGUUUUUCCGCAGACAGUUUUUCCGGGUCAUGUGGCCAGCAUGACUAAGCCGCUUCUGGUGAACCAGAGCAGCGCACGGAAACGCCGUUUACCUUCCCGCCGGAGCGGUACCUAUUUAUUUACUUGCACUUUGACGUGCUUUCGAACUGCUAGGUUGGCAGGAGCAGGGACUGAGCAACAGGAGCUCACCCCGUCACAGGGAUUCAAACCGCCGACCUUCCGAUCGACAAGCCCUAGGCUCUGUGGUUUAUACCACAGCGCCACCCGCGUCCCCUUUCUGCUAGGUUACUGAGAUGCUAAGGAAAAGAAAACAAAAGAGCAUCUUGGCAAACGCUUCAUUUUUGGGUGUGCUUGUGCCGCUUGUGUUUGGCAAGUGGGAUGUGGGAAGAGAGGACAAAUAUUCGUGUAGCACCGAGGAUGUGACCUUAAUCUGGCAAUAUUUGAAGGCACUCCUUCAACCCACAAAUACACUCAAGGAAGGCUGGCUAACUUUGGACUUCCUGGGGCAAGACUCUGCCUGCUGAGGUGAGAGGUGAAAUGAGCAGUCCCUGAGGGUCCAUGCAAGCAACUGGGUACAUUGGUCACUUGGUCAGUCUCGGUCACAUUUAAGUGCAGUUGCCCUAAUCACAACCUGGUGCCACCUUGAGAGCAGCUUUGGGGAACCUUUGGCCUUCCAGAUGCAAUACAGUGGUACCUUGCUUCUCAAACUUAAUCCAUUCCGGAAGUCCAUUCCAAAACCAAAGCGUUCCAAAACCAAGGCACACUUUCCCUUAAGAAGUAAUUCAAAAUGGAUUAAUCUGUUCCAGACUUUUAAAAACAACCCCUAAAACAGAAAUUUAAUUUUACUAUCUCUAUUGUUGUUCUGUUAAUGGUUCUCUUGGCUUUGCAACUUUUAUCUAUUUCCGCAGUCACACAAUCAAUCAGUAGCUAAAAUGGGUUCUACACAGUCACAAAAACAAAUGAACUGAAAAAGCCACACAAACAAAUACACAAUUCUUUUAAGCGGAAACAAAAGCACCCAAAAAAAGCUCAAAAUAUCUAAUCGGAAGUGGGGGACUCAAAUCAGAAACGGAAGACUCAAACAGGAAGAGGAACACUCUAAUCGGAAGUGGAGGACUAAAAAUGGAGCAUGUUUGGCUUCCGAAAAAGUGUUCGCAAACUGGAACAGUCACUUCCGGGUUUGCAGUGUUCGGGUCCCAAGUUGUUCGUGAACUAAGCUGUCUGAAAAGCAAGGUACCAUUGUAAGACAAAAAUACAAACAUACAACAAAAAUAAGAGUAUACCUUUGAAAGAAAGAAAGAAAGAGCAGUAUAUCUGAGAGAGGCUUGAUGUCAGACUAGUUACAGGUAGGUAGCCAUGUUGGUCUGCCGUAGUCAAAACAAAAUAAAAAAUUCCUUCCAGUAGCACCUAAGAGACCAACUAAGUUUGUUCUUGGUAUGAGCUUUCGUGUGCAUCCACGCUUCUUCAGAUACACUGAAACAGAAGUCACCAGACCCUCCCCACCCUCUCACUAUAUAUAAGGGUCUGGUGACUUCUGUUUCAGUGUAUCUGAAGAAGUGUGGAUGCACACGAAAGCUCAUACCAAGAACAAACUUAGUUGGCCUCUAAGAUGCUACUGGAAGGAAUUUUUUUAUUUUAUUUUGACAUCAGACUGGUAAAGCACUUAGGAGCAUGAUGAAAAACAACUUUCACAUUGCAUUGCGAAGAGGGAGUCCCCUGCGUCUGUAUAUUUUGCACAAAAGAGAAAAUCUCACCGAACAGCCCAGGAUUUUUCAGGGCCCUUUGUGCCUUUGACAACACGCAGUUUACGAGUUACUGUUUCUGCUCAUGCUAAGCUUCCCAUAUUUUUAUCCCAAAGCAAAAGUCGCACGUCUUGUAAGGCUUUCCAUUUUUAAUCCAUUCCAUUGUUAAUGUUUAUUUGUCCCUUGUUCUUCACCCCGGGGUCUCAAGGUGGGUUGGAACUUUCAAACAACAUUGAAAACAGUUCAAUACAACUUGCAAUCCUAAAAAAUAAGGUGGGCCCUGGAAACAUACACCACAAGUGCCAAAAGCCACAGUAAAAAGGUGCGUCUUCAGCAUCAAUGAAGGUACCAGGCACACCUCUGUGCGGAGGGAGUCCCAUAGCUUAGGGGCCACCACAGAGAAGGCCCUCUCUCCCUGCACUGGCACCACCCUGAGCCUCUGAGGGCACAAGCACUGCCAAGGGGGUGCCAGGCUCACCACCCGAGAGCACCUGCGGGGAAGGAGGCGGCCUCCCAGGUACAGUAUUUGGGGCUUGAGUCGUUCAGGACUUUAAUCACCAACAUGAACAUUGCGCCUGGAAACAAUCUGGAAACUGGUGCACCCAUUUUAAAACAGGAGUUAUGAGCCCCAGACAGGAAUCUGCAUUUUGGAUCAGCUGAAGUUUUUGAGUCAUUUGCAAGGUCAGCCUCGCCAUAACACAACUUGGAAGUUACCGCGCCAAACUACAACUCCCAGCACCUCUGACCAUUGGCCAUGCUUGCUUGAACUGAUGGGAGUUGUAGUUCAGCCAUACCUGGAGGACCUAGGAGAGGUGGCCAAUAUGUUCGGGGGUCUCUUUUCUUUAAAAAUGUGGACUCGCUUGAAUAUUGCUUCCCGGUUAUUGUUAUUCUGCUACAAGGUAUUUCUUCAUUUGGUAGAUUUAGGUGCUAUCUUCCCUGCUGGCAUGCUGGAGGCGACUCGUGAAACAUGUCACUGCACAAAACAAGCUUUCCAACCAGUUGCCUUCCAGAUGUUCCGAUGGCAAAUGCAGUCCCAGACAUCUGGAAGGCUACGGGUUGGGAGACGCUGCUGUCAAGAAAAGCGAUUCUGUGCUAGCGUCGUAACAAACAUGGGGGCCUUUGUAGGGAAAGCGAUCCUUAGUGGAAACUUGGUGGACCUCUUUUUCUCUCUCCGUUCUGCUGCCUCCUGUUGGCUCAGAAUCUUUCGGUUGUAGAAGCAAUGAUGGGAAAAUGGAGGCUUGGGGUUUGCCCCACUCUCUGCUGACAUCAGUUUCUUUGACAGCAGAAGAACUGGAAAAACGUAGUCCUCCAAGUAUGCUACUGCAAUGCACUCUGCAUGGGGCUACCUUUGAGGGUGACUCAGAAACUACAGCUAAUCUGGAAUGUGGCUGAAAGACUGGUGACUGGGAGCGGCUGCUGGGAUCAUAAAACACCGCUCCUAAAGGAUCUAAACUGACUCCCAGUACAUUUCCGAGCACAAUUCAAAGUGUUGGUGCUGACCUUUAGAGCCUUAAACAGCUUCAGCCCUGUAUACCUGAAGGAACGUCUCCACCUCCAUCGUCCAGCCCAGACUCUGAGGCCCAGCUCCGAGGGCCUUCUGGUGGUUCCCUCAGUGCACAAAGUAAAGUUACAGGGAACCAGGCACAGGGCCUUCUCGGUAGUGGCACCCGCCUUGUGGAAUGCCUAGGAGAUUAGUACAGGGGAGUUUUUAAUGGUUGAUGUUUUCAGCAACAUCACCAUCAUCUUGUCAUGCAUGUAAAAGCCCUGUGGGUCGGUACUCUCUCCCCAUCAUUUGCAUCUGGGGAUGUGGUCAGGCAGAUAGCAAGCCUAAAGCCGCUUAGUGAGUUCAUGGGACAUCCUGAAUCGCAGCUCUGCAGAACAAUCGCAAAUGUUCUGCAACGUCACAGCUCAGUUUUUAGCUUCCACCUUUUCUUGGUUAGCAUAGAGUUUUGUGUGUGUCAGGGAGCUCAGGCCCCAAAGCUGAAUGUCACCCUCCAGACCCCUCUCUCUGCACCUUGGGGUGCUUCCAUCCCACGCCACACCUCUCAACAGCCCUGGGUCAAGUUUUCCUCGAGUGCUUUUCCCUGGGUAGAAUAUAUCUUUGAACUGCAAUUGCUUCAUUGGACUGGAUGACCUUUGGACCCUUUCCAUCUCUGCAAUUCUAUGCUUCUGUGAACUGUGAUACUCUGUCGGGAGCAAACAUGCAGUAAAUCACACAGAGUAAGUGAAGUUAACUCUUUAUUUGAAGAAAAAAAAAAAACAGCAUCUGCACAGCAAUUUAUUCCUGGCAGUCCAUGAAAAUCAGUUGCCAAGACUGAAAGCUGCCUAAGUUCCCCAAGCAAUCUGAGACUGUGCCUGCAUGAAGCGAACUUCUCUGCUCUUUUCAUGUCUCUUCUGGUUCUGGGAGACCAGGGGGAGGGGAGUUUAUUGCAGCAGGAGGAGGAGACACCCAAGAUACUUUACCAGCCGGACUCAUCUCUGCCUCUUGGCCUCCCUCCUUCCACUCUCCUGCUUCAGCUUCUGCCUCUGAUUCUGGACUUCUCUCUGCCACAGACUCUCCCAGCUCACUAAGCCCUGUUUCCUCUUCAGCUUCCAAUACCUCCUCUUCCCAGUUUCCUCCCUCUUCUCCCUCUGACCACCCAUCGUUGUCCACCACCAGUCCCUGGGCUCUCUUUCUACUCUCUCUCUCUCUCUCUCUCUCUCUCUCUCUCUCUCACACACACACACACACACACACACAGUGGUACCUUGGAUUAAGAACUUAAUUCGUUCUGGAGGUCUGUUCUUAACCUGAAACUGUUCUUAACCUGAAGUACCACUUUAGUUAAUGGGGCCUCCUGCUGCCGCUGCGUGAUUUCUGUUCUCAUCCUGAAGCAACGUUCUUAACCCAAGGUACUAUUUCUGGGUUGGCGGAGUCUGUAACCUGAAGCAUCUGUAACCUGAAGCGUCUGUAACUGUGUGUGUGUAUUUAAAUUUUCUAAAUUACAUUUCAAAAUAUUCAUUUAAACAACCUUAAAUCAAUGACAUCCCGUCUUCUGCUGUAUUGUUUUUAACAUUCAAUUGGGAGCCACACAGAGUGGCUAGGGAAACUCAGCCAGAUGGGCGGGGUAUAAAUAAAUUAUUAUUAUUAUUAUUAUUAUUAUUAUUAUUAUUAUUAUUAUUAUUAUUUCUCCUUUGGUGGUUCAUUUUGCAUAUCCCUGCAUACUUUACAUGAACUAAACCAUUCAAUAAUCCAUUGUUACAUCCAUCCAAACUUUUUUUGAAUUUAUCUUAAUGCUACCAGCGUUUUCAAAUACAGUGGUACCUCCGGUUGCGGACGGGAUCCGUUCCGGAGCUCCGGUUGGAUCCCGAGGUUUCCACAAGCAGAGGUGCCUGUUCUGCGCAUGUGCAUGGUGUGGUAGAGCACUUCUGUGCAUGUGCGUGUGGCAAAACCCGGAAAAAUACUUCCAGGUUUGCCGCGUACAUAUCCCAAAGGAUACGUAACCGGAGGUGAACGCAAGUAGAGGUACCACUGUAUACACAACUUCCCCCCAUAUAGUCAACAAACAUUUUCCAACCUUCUUUAAAUGUAUGUUCGUCUUGUUCUCUUAUUCUAAGUCUGCAAGCUGCACAUAUUCCGUGAGCUUAAGUUGAUAUUCUUUGGUUGGGACCUUGCUCAUUUUCCAUUUUGGGGUUAACAAGACAUGGGCUGUGGUAAUGGUGCACAUAAAUAGUCUUUUUUGACACCUGGGAAUUUCCUUCUGACAGUCCCCGGACUCUGAGCCUUCUUCCCUUGGUGAUUCUCCAGCUGGUUCCUCUGUAUCCAACCUGUCCAUCGCAGGUUGUCCAUGCCUCUUGCUUGCCUGGUCGGAAGACGAGGUAUUUGUGCAUGAGGCUGCAACAGAUCCACCUCCUUUGCCCCCGGCUUCACCCGCCACAGGCACGCGGUCCCCAGCAGAUUCUCCUUGAAGUUAUGUGGUCCUCAGUCCCUCUCACUGCAAGAGGGAAUGCAGCCCGUAACCUGCAGCGAUGUCGCAGCAAGUUCACAUUCGUUUUGGCUGCACCGAGGGAACGGCCAGCAGUAGGAUGUUGAUAAGUUGUGCCGAUUCCAUCAGACUCACAAGUGUUCAAUUCGGCUUCAAGAAACAGAGCAUUGCUUGGUUUCUUGGGGGACGAGAAGUGGGGGCAGAGAGGGAACCUCCGCAGCCGAUGUGAGCUAGCUUGCUUUCAGGGCAAGGUACGUGAGAUACAGCACAGCGCUGUAGGAAUUCAGCUGAUAAAUAAUUUGUGCCUGCGUCGGAAACCCAGCAGCUCCUUGUCUUGGCGUGACGAGGAUCAUCGCAGACGGAGCAAAAGGAUGCCUGGCAGAUGUGCAGCUCCAUCAAACACAUGCUUACUUGAAAGUAGGUCCCACUGUUUGCUGGCUUAGGUUUGCAGGCUUAGAAUCAUAGAAUUGUGGAGUUCUAGUCAACCCCCUGCAAUGCAGGAAUCUCAACUAAAGGUCUCUUUAAAAUACACAGUUCUAUGAUUCUACAGGGAUGCGGGAUUCUGAAGGGACGCAGGUGGCGCUGUGGGUUAAACCACAGAGCCUAGGACUUGCCGAUCAGAAGGUCGGCGGUUCGAAUCUCCGCGACGGGGUGAGCUCCCGUUGUUCGUUCCCAGCUCCUGCCAACCUAGCAGUUUGAAAGCAUGUCAAAGUGCAAGUAGAUAAAUAGGUACCGCUCCAGGGGGAAGGUAAACGGCAUUUCCGUGCGCUGCUCUGGUUCGCCAGAAGCGGCUUAGUCAUGCUGGCCACAUGACCCGGAAGCUGUAUGCCGGCUCCCUCAGCCAAUAAAGCGAGAUGAGUGCCACAACCCCAGAGUCGUCCGUGACUGGACCUAAUAGUCAGGGGCCCCUUUACCUUUAGCUUAUGAUUCUACAGGAGGGACAUGGGUGGCAUUGUGGUCUAAACCACUGAGCCUCUUGGGCUUGCUGAUCAGAAGGUCGGCGGUUCAAAUCCCCGUGAUAGGGUGAGCUCCCGUUGCUUGGUCCCUGCUCCUGCCAACCUUGCAGUUUGAAAGCACGUCAAGUGCAAGUAGAUAAAUAGAUACCGCUCUGGCGGGGAGGUAAACGUGCGCUGCUCUGGUUUCGCCAGAAGCAGCUUAGUCAUGCUGGCCACAUGACCUGGAAAAACCUUCUGCGGACAAACGCUGGCUCCCUUGGCCAGUAAAGUGAGAUGAGCGCCGCAACCCCAGAGUCAUCCGCGACUGGACCUAAUGGUCAGGGGUCCUUUACCUUUACUUUUUUAUGAUUCUACAACCCAAAGAGUCCUGUGUUGCACUAGUCUCCCUGUUAAUACGCACAGUUUGGGCCACUGCAAUGUUUGGGUUGCAGCUGUUUCAACGAGCCUUUCUUCUUCCAGUGUUCCUGAUCUUUCUCCCCGCCAACUCCUCAUUUAUCUCCAGCCUGCAAAUUGCAAAGGGUGCCAGGUGGGGCUUGGCCAUCUUGUUUACCACCAGCAACUGUGGGCAUUAAUAAAGGGGCGAGAUGGAGAGGCAGGCAGGGGAUUAAUAAGAGUGCGUCAGAAUGCGGUUCAAGGCCUGCUUCUCCUAGUUGCCGGGAUACAGGAGUUUAAUGGCUCUGUCGCUCCGGCUAAUUUUGCUCUCUCCAAAGUCCGCUCCAGAGCUGGGAGGAAUGAAGGCUACAAAGACAGCAAUGGACACUCGCCAUGCCAGAUGCUUGUUUUGCUUUGGUUUUGUAACAAUCAGUAUACAGGUGAUGUUAGCUUUUCCCAACCUGGCAUCCUCCAGAGGUUUUUAUGGCACCAUAGUGUUGGAAGGGAUCCCAAUGGCCAUCUAGUCUGACCCCCAUGCAGGGCAGAAAUAAAUCAUUCUGCCUGGCCGGCCCUGGCCAUCCAGAAAUAAUCUCUGGAGAGACCACAUUGCGGAUGGCUGACCCGAUGCUCUCUUGUUUUAUUUAAAGCCCGCCUCUUCGGAAAUGUUCUGGGCACGCUUGCAAAUCAAAACAGAGCACACAGCUUGACAUAAUUCAGGGCAUCAUAAACAAAGAUAAAAACAGCCAAGGCAGUGUGGCAGCAAUGAAAUGGGCUGCUUGGAAUCUGGAACAGUGAUCAAGUAAGAAUUUGCUGGAUUAAAAAACGGUUGUGCAAAUGAAACUGGCUUUGUCUAGCCCUAGGAACUCAAGGGGAUCAGUGCUGGGUUCAUGGACUCUGGGGAUGGCAGGGAGCAUUCAAUAGAUAUGGUGCCACCACGAGAAAGGCCUGUUUUCAAGCUUCUAUUUGCUAAGCUCAGUAGACUAGGGGUGUUCACAGGUGACGUUCAAUGAGUGUUCAGUAUGUCUACCCAUGUACAAUCAUACCUCAUGUUACGUCCGCUUCAUGUUCUUUCAGGUUACGUCCCGCGGUGACCUGGAAGUACCGGAAAGGGUUAGUUCCAGGUUUUGCCACUCGCGCAUGCACAGAAGCGCAAAAUAACAUCACAUGCAUGCGCAGAAGCAGUGAAUCGCAACCCGCGCAUGCGUAGACAUGCCGCUGCGGGUUGCACUCUUUUCAUGUUGUGAACGGGCCUCUGGAACGCAUCCUGUUCGUAACCAGAGGUACCACUGUGCACAGUAGUGGAGUCAUAUGCAUCAACAAGCGUGCAUGAUUUUCCUGCAAAGACUUGUCCAAGACAGCAUGUACCUGUGAUCAGUGUAAUAUGUGAACAUGCUUACUGGCAGAUUUAUGUGGGAGGAAGCCAAUACGGUUUUAAGUUGUUUAAACAGGUUUUUUUAAAAGUUGUUUUUUCAUUUUUGCAACCUGCCCAAGGUCCUUAAGGUGAGGGUCAGGUAAUGAAUAAAUAAUAAUUUAUUAUAUAACAUCAGGCAUAGCUGAUAUAAAGGACUCCCCGUGCCAGUACUGUGGUGACCAGGAGUCAGUUAUGACCCUGCAAAGGCCUUCUUUAGCUGUGUGAUUCCGGCAUUGCAGCGGGUUGGUCUAGAUGAACUCUAUAGUUCUCUGAUCUUUCGUCGCUUGCGGUCCUCUCUGCCCCUUUCCCCCUUCUGGAGUUUAGGCUCCUUGCGUUGGGGGAAGGAUUGCAGGAGCAACUCGCAUGAACCGCUCUGUUCCUCCGCGUUUGAUUCCCGCCCUCCCUCCUUUCCCCCCCCCGACCGCCAUCACCAAAAAUACAUCCUGCUCGGCGGCUCACGACUAACAAAAUAUUUUUGUUUCCUUUUCCCGAAAGCAUAUGGGGAGCUCCGGGGAAGCAUAUGGGCCUUUUCAGGAAAACAUAUUGGUGAAUGGACAAAUUAGAGCAGUUGCCAAUCUGCUUUGGGUGUCUGGCGAGACCACCAACCACGGCGACUCCGCUUAGAUCUCCCGCAAGACUUCCCAAGGUGGAAGCCAGGCAAGCAGGAGGGAUGGCGAGAGCUCCAUGCGCUGAUGCAGAAACAGAGGCAUGCAGGGAUCGGCGCUUACGCUUUAAAAGAACGGUGCAAAGCCUGAUUUCCCUCUCUGGGUCUGCACACUGAUCAACUGCCACGGUGGAUCGGGCCCCCAGCAGGAAGUCAGCUUAGUCUUAGAAAUAUGGGGGAGUGUGUGGGGGAGCUCACUUAACUUUGUGUGUAAAUGUGUGGACAUACCUAAUCUGCAGUUUCUGAAACUAUACAAGCGCAGUUUGAAAUUCACACUUCUUUGAAUUUUGUAAUGCGGUUCCGCAGCCAAGUCGUGUGUUUGAAAAUGCAUAGGCCAGUGCAUUAAAUUGCAUAUAAUAGGGGGAAUAGCUUACCAAACAAACAAACAAACAAACAAAAACAAAAACCCUGUUGUAUUAGGGAAAAUUGCUAGCAAUGAUGUCUUUAUUAGGCAAAAUGUCAUAAAAAUGUGUAGAUCAAAAUGCCCAUAUUCUCCAGCUGGGUUUUGAUGAGCCUGGGAUAGCAUGAGACUUUUAAUCUCAGGAUUGUGUGUUCAAGCCCCACGUUAGGCCAAAUAUUCUGGCAUUGCAGGGAGUUGGGCUAGGUGACCCUAAUUGUCCCUUCCAACUCUGCAAUUCUAUGAUUCUAAGCAAAAUCUGUGAAAUAAAAUAAACAAGUAUGACUGCGAUCUACUUUCAGAAUUAAAAACUGGCAGCGGUCUACCCCCAUUUUUUAGGGGUUCAGUGCAUGGCAAUCGCAGCAUUAAAAUCCCCAGUACUCUUCCCAAACGACAGUUCCCAGGAUUCUUUCAGGGGCAAACAGUGCAUAUGCAACCUUCCACCUGCUCUGACUAUAAAAAUGGCCGCACAUUUAAAGUCCUUGCUUGGUUGCUAAUUCCCAGGGCAGCUGGGGGAUUCGCUGGAGGCUCAUGCGCCCACACGCCGUUCCCUUAAAGAGGCGCUUUGCCUCGUAGGAUCUCCUCCCCACCACGCUCAGCUUUGCGAAUCUUCCCUACUUAUGGAUGGAGCAAAACUAGCAAAUCCUAAACGUUACAGUCCUCUGGGGGGCGGGGGAGACUUGGCUCUGUUCUUUGUCACAAUAUUGAACACGAGUUGCUAUUUACAGUAAUGAAUCAAAAUGUCAGCUAUAAAAAUACGGAGUGUCAGAGCGCUCCUGCUUCGCUCAAAAAAGUUUGAUUUGACAGUUUGUUAAUCAUACGAUGAUUAAACGUGUUUCGCGGCGUUGACUGCCCAGGUCUUCCUUCCUUCUUUCCUUCUCACCACCAACCCUUCCCCUUCCCUCCCUCCUUCUCUCUGCUGUUAAGCCAUGGUUGGCCAUCCCCGGGGGCUGAUGGGAUUUGUAGUCCAUCAGAAUCUGGAAGGCGCCAGGCUGGGGCGGAAGGCUGCUGCUGCAGCGAUAGCUGUGUGACAGAAGAGCCUUGUUCUCAACUUUACUUGGCUUCAUUUGGCUCUCGCUUGGACCUCUGGCCCUGUUUUCCUGCCCACCUCGCUUUCCCACCGACUCAUUGCAGAGAUUGUGCAGACUGGGGAGCGGCUGUGGGCAGGUGUGCAAUUAGCAAGGCAUGAAAUUCAAAGUCCCCCCGGCGCAAGCAGGGAGAAUCGCUGGCUGCCAAGCUCCUUAUAUUGGAUAAUUAAGGCGCAUGCAAGAGAGCCUCUUCACCUCCUCUUUCCAGCAGUCCUGGCCCAGGUGGUAUUUAACUAAUAGAAAUGCCUUUUUCUCCCGCAACCUCAACCCCAACAGGAUCUGGGUUUUGAAUUCCGCCUGUGCCUCAGUAAAUCCGCAUUUUGGACAGUGAUGAACCCUUCGGUUGACAAUUCUGGCAAUGUUUUGAGGCCUGGGAGGGAAUCGAUGGGCAGGGAGGAUGAGUUCUCUGCCUCAGAGAACUCAUUGUACCUUGUCAUCAGCGUAACAAAGGAUUCGGGCCCAUAAAGGUAAAGGGACCCCUGACCAUUAGGUCCAGUCGUGGCCGACUCUGGGGUUGUGGCGCUCAUCUCGCUUUAUUGGCUGAGGGAGCCGGCGUACAGCUUCCGGGUCAUGUGGCCAGCAUGACUAAGCUGCUUCUGGCAAACCAGAGCAGCGCAAGGAAACGCCGUUUACCUUCCCGUCGGAGCGGUACCUAUUUAUCUACUUGCACUUUGAUGUGCUUUCGAACUGCUAGGUUGGCAGGAGCAGGGAUCGAGCAACGGGAGCUCACCCCGGUGCGGGGAUUCGAACCACCGACCUUCUGAUCAGCAAGCCCUAGGCUCUGUGGUUUAACCCACAGCGCCACCCGCGUCCCUUAUUCAGGACCAUAGAAAGCCCCUAAAACAAUACAGCAGGAUCCUGAAAGGCAGAGCGUAAAUCCAGCCCGUCCCCUGACCUUAUCUUCAGAGGCCCUUCUGGGUGUGCCACGUCCCAUGCAGAGCCAUCUGGUGGCAAAGAUGAGGCCUGAUGAGGAACAGUUGAGGGAAGUGGGUAGAUUUAGCAGCCUGGAGAAGAGAAGGCCGAGAGGUGAAACGAGAGCCGUCUUCAGAUAGCUUCAGGGCUGCCACAUGGAAGGUGGAACAAGCUUGUCUCCUGCUGCUCCAGGGGGCAGCCAGUGGAUUCCAAUUGCAAGAAAAGCGGCGAACCGCAUGUGCAUUGUAGGAAACCUGCAAGCAGGAUUUGAGCACAAGAGAGCAUUUUCUCCCUUCCUGUGGUUUCUGGCAACUGGUAUUGAGAGGCAUAGCUGCCUCCAGCUGUGAAGACUGAGCACAGCCAUCCUGGCUAGUAGCCACUGGUAGUAGUAGUAGUAAUAAUAAUAAUAAUUUGUUAUUUAUACCCCGCCCAUCUGGUUGAGUUUCCCCAGCCACUCUGAGUGGCUCCCAACAGAAUUAAAAGCACAAUAAAACACCAGACAUUAAAAACUUCCCUAAGCUGGGCUGCCUUCAGAUGUCUUUUAAAAGUCAGAUAGUUGUUUAUUUUCUUGACAUCUCGUGGGAGCGUGUUCCACAGGGCGGGUGCCACCACUGAGAAGGCCCUCUGCCUGGUUCCCUGUAACCUCGGCUUUUCACAGGGAGGGAACCAACAGUAGGCCCUUGGAUGUGGACCUCAGUGUCUGGGCUGAAUGAUGGGAGUGGAGACGCUCCUUCAGGUCUACUGGACCGAGGUCAUUUAGGGCUUUAAAGGUCAGCACCAACACUUUGAAUUGUGCUCGGAAAUGUACUGGGACCCAAUGUAGGUCUUCCAUAUUCUCUUCCUCCAUGAAUUUGUCUAAUCUGCUUUCAGAGCCAUCCAAAUUGGUGACCAUCACUGCCUCCUGAGGUCAACAGGUCGCAGUUCUCCUGCAGCCUGAAAGCAAUCCUGGAUAAAGAUUGCUUCCAGAAUUCAUUUGUUGCAGAUUUACCUCCCUCUUGCGAUCAGAUUAAUAUUGAAUGGUUAUCAUUUCUGUCAAAAUCAAACUCCCCAAAUCUUGCACUAACUGACAUCCCCACCGUAAAUGGUAUUAUGUACCAAGUUUAUUGCAAAUCCUCCAAACAAUUUUGUGGUGCCGAAGAAAACAUUUUUGACAUUUGCAAAGAAGACCUAUAUACCAUCUGUGUUAAUAAUCCUAAGGAGUCUUCCCCAAGAAAACGUAUUCGUGAUGUUCCAUUAUGUUAUUUUUAUCUUUUGUUUGUAAGCCGCUUUGGGAUUUAUUUGAAUAAACAGCAGCAUUAAAAUAAAAUAAAACAAUUCUCAGUCCUUGUGAAAUACACCCAGGACAGCUAACAAGGAGGGGGGAGACGCAAUGAUCCUGCCCCUCGAACGAGUCUUUGCUUCUAAGUCAGGUGGGGCCACAAGGAAUUUGCCCAAAAUCUGAAGUCCAAAGGAUGGGGACUUGAAUGCCAAAGCUCUUUCUCGCCUUUUUGGUGAGAAUUUGAAAUUUAAAGGCAGCUGAUAUAAACUUUUUCAAAUAGGAAAAUAUGUUAUUGCAAAAAGGGGGAGAGAAUUACAAACAAAAUGCAACAUUUCAUCUAUAUAUGUAAACAUAAUUUUGUAUUAUAAAGUGUUCUGUUCCUGUGCAAGAAGUCAAUUAUGGUCGGAAGAGGGUUGUAUGGAAUUAAUAGCUUAGGCAGACUUGGUUACAAUUACGUUUUUAAGCAAGGCAUCCAACUGUAUGAGUUAAAAUUAUGCACAAGGUUGGACAAUGUCUCCGAGUUUUAUAUUAUAGUAAUUAGCAAACAGACUCGUUUCCCCCAUAAAUUUGAAAGGCUGUUUGCGCAUUUUAAGGCCACAACUUGGGACUUUCGCCUGUCCCACAGCAUCUAUUGUAUUGUCCUUUCCUGGGUAGUCUGCAAAUUGUCUCUCCUCCACCCUAGACAGAUUCUUUCUUCAGCCUUCUGCAACAAAUUCCUCUCCUUGAUACCAAGCAGGUGAAGGCAGCAAAAUCAUUUUUCUCCUGGUUUACUUAAUUAUGUCCAUGGCUACUCUGUGGUGGUUAACAUCAGCUGAAUUGUGGCGCUGUGGGUUAAAGGAGUGCCUUCAAAUAUUGCCAGAUUAAGGUCACAUCCUCGGUGCUACACGAAUAUUUGUCCUCUCUUCCCACAUCCCACUUGCCAAACACAAGCGGCACAAGCACACCCAAAAAUGAAGCGUUGGCCAAGAUGCUCUUUUGUUUUCUUUUCCUUGGCAUCUCAGUAACCUAGCAGAAAGGGGACGCGGGUGGCACUGUGGUAUAAACCACAGAGCCUAGAGCUUGUCGAUCGGAAGAUCGGCGGUUUGAAUCCCCGCAACGGGGUGAGCUCCUGUUGCUCAGUCCCUGCUCCUGCCAACCUAGCAGUUUGAAAGCAGGUCAAAGUGCAAGUUGAUAAAUAGGUACCGCUCCGGUGGGAAGGUAAACGGCGUUUCCGUGCGCUGCUCUGGUUCGCCAGAAGCGGCUUAGUCAUGCUGGCCUCAUGACCCGGAAGCUGUACGCCGGCUCCUUCGGCCAGUAAAGCGAGAUGAGCGCCGCAACCCCAGAGUCGGUCACGACUGGACCUAAGGGUCAGGGGUCCCUUUACCUUUUUACUGUUUAAGGAUCACCUUUUGGUUUACCUGCAGGUACACAACUCUUCACAUUUCCACAUGAGUUCGUGAUUUUAAACAAGACAAACUCAUGGAAACCCAUCAGUGUUUUCGUCCUACUUUCUUCCGAUAGGCACAAUUUCCUAUGCAAUUACCAUAUUUUUUGCUCUAUAAGACUCACUUUUUCCCUCCUAAAAAGUAAGGGGAAAUGUGUGUGCGUCUUAUGGAGCAAAUGCAGGCUGCACAGCUAUCCCAGAAGCCAGAACAGCAAGAGGGAUUGCUGCUUUCACUGCGCAGCAAUCCCUCUUGCUGCUCUGGCUUCUGAGAUUCAGAAUAUUUUUUUCCCUUGUUUUCCUCCUCCCAAAACUAGGUGCGUCUUGUGGUCUGGUGUGUCUUAUAGAGCGAAAAAUACGGUAUGUACUUUUGCAGGCUGUUUGAUAGACUGCAAUGCAUUUUUUUUUUUUGCCUGUUAUUUUCACUAAUCUAUGGAUUUAUCUGCACACUUUACCCAACCCAGUGCAUGCAUUUUUUGCUGGAGACCUGCAUUGUGAAAUUCAGAGAAUGGCAAAUUUCAAGGGAUUUUGUUUCGUUUCUCAUAUCGUUUCAGGAAGUGUGCGGCCGAUAGGUUCAGCUUUGGCCCCGAUCCAAUGCAGAACCAGGCGUGCUCAAGCCAUUUGAUUCUGACAGGCUGGAGUGUGUCUUGCUCUCUUCUGGAUGACACCCAGGGGCUAGUAAACAUGGAUCCCCAGAGCAUAUUUUUGUUAACAGGCUCCUUCAUCAUGGAGCAUUUUCUCCCCUUUCAAUUUUUUCAUUUUUGCAAAGCAGUUUCACAUCAUGAUGAACGGCCUUGGGUGGCCAGUGGUUAUACACCAGGCCACCGGGAUGGACUUCUGUCAUCAUAGCCACUCUCCUUUCUUGGAAGCUGCAAAACAACAAAACAACUCUCUUUUUUUGCAGUUUGCAUGUGAGGCAGAAGGAAAAUAAAAAACCCCGAACCUGACCACAAUCAAUUUCAGAUUCAAGGAGUUUAAAGUUAAUUUUCUUUGUUGAGGUUGCAGCCUCUGAGACCGGAGUUUUCUGGGCGGCAAGAGAGUUGCUAAGAGAUUUCUGGCUGGGGAAAGCAGUUUCUAGGAUGCAGGAUUACAGGAGGCUCCCUUGCACUGAGUCAGACCAUUGGUCUGUCUUGCCUAAUGUUGUCUACACUGACUGGCAGCUGCUCUGCAAGAGUUCAGACAAGGGAUUUUCCCUGACCUACCUGGAAAUGCCAGAAAUUCAACCCAGGGCUUGUUGCUCUACGGCUACUUAGUUUGUGUGUUUGUGAUGAACACCAGAAUAGCCCUGCUGGAUCUAGCAUCCUCCCAGUGGCCAAACCAAAUGCCUCUGGUAAAACCCACAAGCAUGACCCAUGUGCAAAUGGUAUACAGAGGUGCGCUGCCUCUGAUAGUGGAAAGAUAACAUAGCCUUCAUGUCUAGUGGCUGUCGAAAGCCUCAUCCCCCAUGAAUUUUGUCUUUUCAAGGCUUCCAAGUUGCUGGCCGCUGCUACGUCUUGUGGCAGGGAGUUCCACAGCUUAACUAUGUGCUGUGUGACCCCCUGGACCAGAGCACUCCAGGCACUCCUGUCUUCCACUGCCUCCCACAGUUUGGUCAGACUCAUGUUUGUAGCUUUGAGAACACUGUCCCACCAUCUCGUCCUCUGUCGUCCCCUUCUCCUUGUGCCCUCCAUCUUUCCCAACAUCAGGGUCUUUUCCAGGGAGUCUUCUAUUCUCAUGAGGUGGCCAAAGUCUUGGAGCCUCAGCUUCACAAUCUGUCCUUCCAGUGAAAACUCAGGGCUGAUUUCCUUAAGAAUGGAUACGUUUGAUCUUCUUGCAUGGGACUCUCAAGAGUCUCCUCCAGCACCAGAAUUCAAAAGCAUCCAUUCUUCGGCGAUCAGCCUUCUUUACGGUCCAGCUCUCACUUCCAUACAUCACUACUGGGAAAACCAGAGCUUUAACUAUACGGACCUUUGUCGGCAAGGUGAUGUCUCUGCUUUUUAAGAUGCUGUCUAGGUUUGUCAUUGCUUUUCUCCCAAGAAGCAGGCGUCUUUUAAUUUCGUGGCUGCUGUCACCAUCUGCAGUGAUCAUGGAGCCCAAGAUAGUCUCCUAUUUGUGUUUUCUAAAAAGCCCCAGAUGUUGUAACUUUUCCUCCUAGGAAAGCUGCUCCAUCCCUUGAUGGCUUGGGCUGCCUUUUCAAAUCCUUUGCAAUGCUCUUUUUGAGGCAAGGCUGUGGACGUAGACCAGAGGGCCACUAAUAUUUAUUUAUUGAAUUGCUUUCCCUCCCUUUUCCUCCCAGAAGCUCAAAUUGUCAUAAAUGGUUCUCCACCACUUCCUCAUUCAAUCCCAGCAGCAACCCUGUGAGGUAGGUUAGGCUGAGAGGCAGUGACUGGCCCCCAAGCUCACACCCAGGGAGAGAGCUUCAUGGCCCAGUGGGGGGAUUUGAACCCAGGUCUCCCUGGUCCUAGUCAAACCCCCCCAAACAUGGCGACUCUCCAUUCUAUUCCAGUCUUAACACACACACCCUCCUCUGCUGCAGAGGGACAGCCCAGCUCACAACUGAUCAUAGCUGUCAACAUUUUCCUUUUUUUAAGGGAAAUUCCGAAUAGGAUUCCUCGCCAGAAAAGGGGAAAGUUGACAGCUAUUCAACUGAUCCUGUCUCCAGAUCGGCCGUCCCAAAGCUCCAAGCCCCUCUUGUCCCGACUUGCGCCUUAGCGUGCCACGAGUUUUGCCCAGCCGUGCCAAAACCUCCAGAACCAUAGGGAGGAAAACUAUUUUCAAAUUCAUUUUGCCGCUGCUAAAUGGCUAAACACAUUGCCCUGUGUUGCCAUUUGCAGAUGCGAAGGCAGCUCUGGCGGAGAGUGGCUGCUUUCUCUUCUAUUUUACCCAUAUUAGGAGAGGCGAUUUUGCUGCUCUGGUUCAUUUUCUUCCCAAACAAUUUACGGCGGUUUAGUAGCAAUCGAGGCUCCCCGCUGCGAGGGCUUGUUUUGCUUCCCUAAACUGGGACAAUUUGAGCUCUGAGCUUGGCAAGGCGUCCUCCUUCCUCCGGUUUUCAAUCUCUGUUUCAACAUCUUUUGCAACCCUUUUGUGUUCCUUUGAGCUGGCAAAGGCUGCAAGCAAUGAAGAGAAAUGCCUUCUCUCCCUGGCCCCCCCAAAACCCCACUCACCCUGUAUCCAUGCCUUUUCUCAUUGCAGUGCAGAGGGGCCGCAGGACAAUGUUGUUGCAACAGAGGCAUGCGAUGGAGAUAUGGGAAAAAUUGGGUCUGCGCCUUCCCUGGGGUGCUGCAACCAGCUUGCGGCAUGGAGAGUUUGGGAAGAACGUUAACUAGCUGCAGAACUGCCGAGGUGAUAAAAGGCUGUGCCAGGGCCAAAGCAGAUAUAACUUUUUAAAGCAGUAAGGCCAGGUUUGAGUCAAUUCAGGGUGGGUGGGUACAUAGAUCAGGGGGUCAGGAUCCAAGCAGAAUGCAUUAGCUGCAACAGUGCAGACUAGCUGCCCCUGAUCCCUAUCACUGUUUUGCAUUUCAAUUAAAGGGUGUUUUGUUUUAAAACUCAUAAGGCAGAUAAAUGCAGUGCUUCUUGCUCAGGUCCCUGCUUGCGGGUUUUCAUCUGGUUGGUCGUUGUGAGAUAUGGAUGCUGGACUCGAUUGGACCAGGGGGCCUGAUCCUGCAAGGCUCUUCUUGCAUUUGUAAUCCUUGACUCUCGGUGCUAAAGGUUGCAGAUCAGCAGAUUGACAUCCUGAGUUGGGGGGCGGCGUGUAUUCCCUUCCACCCAAUUCCUAUCCGCCCCACCUCCGAGAUGCUUCGAGGCUUCCAGUACAGAUUUUGUCAGAUGAAACUGUUCCCGUCCGCCUUCUUCCCCAAACUGGGUUUCAGAUCCAAGUCUCGAUUGCUUGCAUUUCCAUAUUAAGCCAGAGUUCAGCCUUGCUGCAACGGGCCACUUCCCCAGUUGGGAGCCCCUCCAAACCGCAGCGAGAUUUUCCCUCCUCCACAGACGGGGUUUUGCUUUCCAGUCCGUUCUCUCUGCUUCCUAAAACGCAAGUUUCAUUUCUGUGUCCUUCGGCACUUCUAGAAAGUAAAGAGAGAGGGGUGUGGAGGGGAGGAACUAGCCCAGGAAUCUAUGACCCCACCAAACUAGCUGCCAUUGCUUGUGGGCAGUGAGGAGACUCAAACCCCUUCCAGCAGCUGAGCUUCAGCAGGCCUGUGUGUGUGUUUUUGUGUUUUUCUGAGUGCCAAAUCCAGGCAGAAGCACAGACUUGCUCAAAAUUUAAGUCUGCGGUGGGUCUUUGUGGAAUAUGGGCAUUUCAUGGAAUCCUAGAGUUGGAAGGGACCCUGGGGUCAUCUAGUCCAACCCCCAGCCCUGCAGGAAUCACAACUAAAGCAUUUGUGACACAUGGCUGGUAUGUCCCCCUUCUGGCCAAAGGGGGGAAGUUCAGGGGGAACCAGCCACUCCAGCCAAAUAAGGCUUCUAAUCUUGAUAGGCUGGAGUUGGUCAGGUGAUGCUUCUUGACCCCUCUCAAGGUUCCUGGGUCUGAACAUGGUCGCUCAUUGGAACAAAUAGGGCUGGAUGCACCUCAUACACUGUGGUGUAAGUUGGAAGGUAUCCUAAGCAUCAUGUAGUCCAGGCAUCCCCAACCUUUGGCCCUCCAGAUGUUUUGGACUACAGUUCCCAUCAUCCCUGACCACCGGUCCUGUUAGCUGGGGAUCAUGGGAGUUGUAGGCCAAAACAUCUGGAGGGCCAAAGGUUGGGGGUGCCUGAUCUAGUCCACCCCCUGCAAUGCAGAAAUCACAACUAAAGCAUCCAUGACAGAUGGCCGUCCAACCUCUGCUUAAAAAGCUCCAAGGAAGGAGAGUCUACCACCUUCUGAGGGAGUCCGUUCCUCUGUUGAACAGCUCUUACUGUCAGAAAGUUAUUCCUGAUGUUUAGUCAGAAUCCCUUUUCUUGUAACCUGAAGCCAUUGCCUCGAGUCCUACCUUCCAGAGCAGGAGAAAACAAGCAUGCUCCAUCUUCCAUGGGGCAGCCCUUAAGAUGUUUAAAGAUGGCUCUCAUAUCUUGAAAUAUACUUGGAGUCGAGAGUGGAUUUCAUGCUCUUUGUUCAGCUCAUAGUGGUGAGGAGGAAUGGAAGUUCCCCUGAAAUGUCUGCUUUAUAUACAUUAUUUACACAAUGGCCCCCACAUGAUUGGCUAAUUCCGAGAUUUAGCUGUAGGCCAAUCAGGUUGCGGAUUCACUUCCACCUGGAGCUGGAUUGGGUGGCUCCUGUGGACCAAUCAGACUGCUGCAUUCUGGACCCUGUUGUUCUAGGACCAUCAGACUGCUGCAUUCUGAAUCCUACUGUUCUAGGACCAAUCAGACUGCUGCCUUUUGGAUCCUAUUCAACUCAGUACAUAACAUAUCUCCUCUCAGCCUCCUCUUUCCCAGGCUAAACCUACCCAGCUCCUUCAACCAUUCCUCAUCAGACUUGGUUUCUAGGCCCUUGAUCAUCUUGGUCACCCUCCUCUGCCCACUUUCCAGCUUGUCAACAUCCUUCUUAAAUUGUGGUGCCCAGAAUUGGACGCAAUAUUCCAAGUGUGGUCUGACCAAGGCAGAAUAGUACUAUGACAGAAUUCGAACUCCUACUUGAUUAUUAUUAUUAUUAUUAUUAUUAUUAUUACCCAGCCCAUCUGGCUGGGUUUCCCCUGCCACUCUGGGCAGCUUACAGCAUAUAUUGAAAUAUAAUAAAACAUCAAACUUGAAAGGUGGGUGACCUUGGGGUAGUUCCUGCCUCUCUGCCUCUCCUACCUCACGGGGGUUUUGUGGGGAUUAAUGACAAGCAGGAAUACCAUGUGUGCCAUCUUGAACUCUCUGGAUCAAAGGUGGGAUAUAUGAAUGCAAUAAAUAAGUGAGAAAAUCCCACCCACCCCGGGAAAAAAAGAAUCAUGAGAAGUGUAAUUUACUUCCUACACAGGUACAAUUCCCAGCACCCUCAGCAAACUACACUUCCCAGGAGUCUUUGGGUCUGUGUGUUUGGUGAGUAGAGUGGUACCUUGUUUCUCAAACACCUUGGUUCCCAAAUGCCGAAAACCCAGAAAUGAGUGUUCCGGUUUCUGAACGUUUUCCAGAAGCCGAACGUCGGCUAUUGUUUCCGGGGCGCCUGCACCAAUCAGAAGCUGUGCCUUGGUUUUUGAACAUUACGAAUGGACUUCUGGAAUGGGUUAAGUUUGGUGCUUUUGUUUCUGCUAUUUAUUUUGCGUUUUUCUUUUUUGAGGUUUUUUCAGUUAAUUUGUUUUUGUGACUGUGCGAAACCCAGUUCAGCUACUGAUUGAUUGAUUUGUGACUGCGGAAAUGGAUAAAAGCCCCCCAUCCAAACAAUGACUAUCAUCAGUGCAGGGAAGGGGGGGGGGAAUCAAAUUUUCAUUUUUAUCAUCUCCAAUACGGUCUUAUUUAUUUUAUAGUGCUGUACAUUGAUUAUUGCUUUCAUUUUAUGGAUCAAUGGUCCUGCUAGUGAAAUUCAUGUUAAAUUGCUGUUUUAGGGGUUGUUUUUAAAAGUCUGGAAUGGAUUAAUUCAUUUUGCAUUACAUCCUAUGAGAAAGCAUGCCUUGGUUUUGGAACGCUUUGGUUUUGGAACGGACUUCCGGAAGGGAUUAAGUCUGAGAACCACGGUACCACUGUAUACAGCCUAAGAGAGAUGGAUGCAGACCAGCUUUUGCCUUCAGCUGUUUCUCAUGUGCCCAUUUUAAUGAGCGAUCUCUCCUCCAGCGAUUACUCAACCUUUGACGGCUGGCGGGCUGGAAGUGUGAGCUGACUGUGCUGCGUUAUCAGUAUUGCACUUGAGCCGACGCUGAGCGGGGCGAAAGGUUUCUAUAUGUGGCGCGUGGUCUGAGACAACUCAUCUUCACAUGCAUCUGAUCCCCGGAGCCUGGCUCAGUCACAUGCUGGGCAUGAGUAGUGCCAGCCACGAGGAAGGACUGCUCAAAAUGCACCCGGUAGCUUCAACCCUAGAGGAGGGUCACCCGUCCUCCAGCUGUUCGGCAUCAAUCUGAAAGUUGCCUACGCUCUGAACAGUGCUUUGGCAUCCCAUAAUUUUUUAAAGGGAUGUGCAUGUGUACAUCUCCCUCUAUGAACCUGCCUGGGUGCUAAGAUCAUUGAGUGAGCAGCUUCUCACAGUCUCUCCAACAUCGGAGGCACGGAUGGUGGCGAUGUGAGAGACAGGGCCUUUUCUUUGGGGGCUCCCAGGUUGUGGGAUUCCCUUCCAAGAGAGGUUAGGUUGGCUCCCUCCUUGUUAUCCUUCUGCCGACAGGCUGAGAUCUUCCUCUGGAAACUAAGGCGCUGACAGUGCUGACCGCCGGGCUGCCGCCAAAGCACAUUAUAUUUUACUUGCUGGUUCUAAAAACCUUGCACUUGUUGCUUUCAUCAUUCUAUAUUUUGCAUUGAUGUUUUUACAUGCAGGCAUCGUUUUAUAUGUACGCUACCAUGCAGCAAUUCAAGCCAUGCUCAAGGCUGCUUACGACCUGGGAAAAAUCCCUAAGUGCAAUGUAACAAAAGUAGCCAAACACAAUAAAUGAAACAUUUAAAAAAUGCAGAACUGAAACAGUUUUUACAUUUAUCACAGUACCUAAAAUGAAGAUGGAAAAUAGUGGAGAAGGCGGGCAGCAGGUCUUCCAGGACUCCCAACUGAGAUGUUAUGCCACCUUUGCAUAGUUAAAACUGUGUUCAAGGUGGCUUACAACAUGAAAACAAAUACAGUGGUACCUUGGUUGUCGAACUUAAUCCGUUCCGGGAGUGGGUUCGACUCCCAGAACGGUUCAAAAACCAAGGCAUGGCUUCUGAUUGGCUACAGGAACUUCCUGCACUCAAAUGGAAGCUGUGGAAGCUGUGUUGGACGUUUGGCUUCCAAAAAACGUUCGCAAACCAGAACACUUACUUCCGAGUUUGCGGCAUUCAGGAGCCAAAACAUCCGAGUACCAAGGCAUUUGACAACCAAGGUAUGACUGUACGUAUAUAAUAAUAACAACAACAACAACAACAACAACAACAACAACAACAAUUUAUUAUUGAUACCCCGCCCAUCUGGCUGGGCUUCCCCAGCCACUCUGGGCAGCUUCCAACAAAAUAUUAAAAUACACUAAUGCAUCAAACAUUAAAAGCUUCCCUAAACAGGGCUGCCUUCAGGUGUCUUCUAAAAGCCUGCUAGUUGUUGUUCUCUUUGACAUCUGGUGGGAGGGAGUUUCACAGGGCAGGUGCCACUACCGAGAAGGCCCUCUGCCUGGUUUCUUGUAACUUGGCUUCUUGCAGUGAGGGAACCGCCAGAAGGCCCUUGGAGUUGGACCUCAGUGUCUGGGCAGAACGAUGGGGGUGGAGACACUCCUUCAGGUAUACUGGGCCAAGGCCUUUUAGGGUGUGCCACCUUGAAUCACAAUUUGGAGGAAAGGAAGGAUAUGAAUACCUGAAAUAGAAAAACAAAGAGCCAUCCACGGAAGGCCCAGAUUGUUGAGUGAGCUACAACAAUGUGAUGCUGAGGAGUAAUUGGGUGAUGGCUUAGUUGUAAAUUCAUUAUGUUUGCUGACCCUAAAUAGCAUGGGGAACUAAGGGGGCAUCUCUUGAAAAGCUUGUCUUGCCUAUAUCAAUCCCCAAGGAGCCACAAGGCACCUCAUUCCUUGCAAAGUUUGUGUCUCAUUCCUUGCAAAGCGAAUCUUGGCUGCGUUCGCCGUUGAGGAACGAACAUGUGUCCACUUACGAGACUGUAGUUGUUGAAUAAGCAGAAGCGGUUGUAUUUAGAGUGAAACCACCGGGAACAAAGGGUCCCUCUUGAGUCUCUCUUGUUGGGGAGGCGGCCUGGCCGUUGCUGGCAAAUGCUUCUCUUUUUCAUGUGGCGCCUUUUAAGGGAGGCUUCCUGAAGGGUUUUGGUUUUUUUUGCCAUUACUCGAAGAUUUGCUCGCUCGCAGAAGAAAAGAGCAAGCCAUCUGUUUGAGCAGGAGAUGGAAUAACGAGACAGAUCUGUAGCUAAAUAAGUUCACAUCUGCUGGGAGGAACCAUCAAAAGACAACUGAAGGUUCUAAUGAGAGCCACAUGCGGAUGAAACCCGAGAAAUAUUGAGGGAGAUCGGCUGCCAAGAAUUGUGUGUGUGUUUGUGUGUCUCUGUGUGUGAUCUGGGCCAGCUUGCUUUCGUUCUUCUUCUUCUUCUUCUUCUUCUUCUUCUUCUUCUUCUUCAGCUUUUCCCUUUCGAGUCACGCAGAAGCAGAGAGAGGGCGAGAUCUAGGUGACAAGAUGCCAUCGCUGCUCUCGAAUCGCGGCCUUAUAUCAGCAGUUCGAGGUCGUAGCAGAGAAGUUUGCUGAUGUGGGGCAGCAGACAAAAGCAAAUGGGGGAGCCCUUCCCCAUGAGACUGUAAGAAGAGGUUGCUAGAUCAGGCCAUUGGCCCAUCUAGUCCAGCAUCCUGUUCUCACAGGGGCCAACCGGAUGCCCCAAAGAGCAAAAUUAUCCCCCAUCAUGACCGAAAAUGUCCUGCUGUUAUUUUGCAACAUUGCUCCUUCCUUGGGAGCACAGAACUUGCAAUUUCAGUUCCGAAAAUGUAUAUAUUCACAAUUUUUUUAAAAAGUAGAGAGGGGAAACUUUUUUCUCCCUCAUUGCACUAAAGCUCAUGGGCAUCCAAAGUAGCUAAAUGUUGGAACAUUCGCUUUCUAAUGUACAGCACCCUGAUAUCUUUUGAUAAAGGGUGGUACAGUGGUACCUCUGGUUGAGAACGGGAUCCGUCCCAACAUGAAAAGAGCGCAACCCGCCGUGGCGCAUCUGUGCACACGCGGGUUGCGAUUCGCCGCUUCUGCGCAUGUGCGUGAUGUCAUCUUGCGCUUCUGCUCAUGCGCGAGCGGCGAAACCCGGAAGUAACCCUUUCCAGUACUGACGUGACCUGAAAGAAUGUAACAUGAAGCGGACGUAACAUGAGGUAUGACUGUAUAGAAAUGGAAAUAAUACUAAUGGUAAUAACAGGAAGGAUUCACGCAGCAUGUAGUUAAACCAGGGAACUGGCUUCUGCAGGAGGCAAUGGUUGUCCCCAACUUGGAUGAAAGAGAAUUAGAUAAGUUUGUGGAAGAGGAGAAUCCACAGUCAGAAGUAGCAGUGCUUCUGAAUAUCAGUUGCUGGAAACUGCAAAAGGUGGCUCUGGUGCUUGAUUCCUGCUUGCAGGUUUCCCAGAAAAGGCUUCUGGCUGGCCACUGUGAGAACAGGAUCAUAGCUGCCAACUUUUCCCUUUUCUUGUGAGGAAUCCUAUUCGGAAUAAGGGAAUUUCCCUUAAAGGAUCAGUUGACACGGAACCAAGAGAAUUAAAGCAAACUUAGAUAGCUCAAUUGGGUGGAGCGUGGUGCUGAUAACAGCAAGGUUGUAUGUUAGACAGCUGCAUAUUCCUGCAUUGCAUGGAGCUGAACUCUGUGAUUCAGCAGACCCAGUUAGGAACCUGCAGUUUAUCAGAUACUACUGCAAUUUGGGACUGCAGAAUGGGACACGGGUGGCGCUGUGGUCUAAACCACUGAGCCUCUUGGGCUUGCCGAGCUCCCGUUGCUCGGUCCCAGCUCCUGCCAACCUAGCAGUUUGAAAGCACGCCAAAAAGUGCAAGUAGAUGAAUAGGUACCACUCUGGCGGGAAGGUAAACAGCAUUUCUGUGCGCUGCUCUGGUUUCGUAUUCCCUUGCAUCAGAAGUGGCUUAGUCCUGCUGGCCACAUGACCUGGAAAAACUGUCUGUGGACAAACGCCGGCUCCCUCGGCCUGUAAAGCGAGAUGAGCACUGCAACCCCAGAGUUGUUCGCGACUGGACUUAACUGUCAGGGGUCCUUUACCUUUUUACUGCAAUAGAACAGAGCUCAACUUAACAUGGUUGUUUUGAGUCUAACUGCCGCUUAAGAAGAAGGCCUACCCAGAGGAAAAUCGGAACAAAGCUUAGAGAGGAGCUCAGAUGCAGCGCACAGAGAGUCAUAAAACAUCAAAACAUCUCCAGGCAUCCUUCUACAUGCACCAAGAAAGGUUACAGGUCGUGAGCAGCAAAACAAGUAACUUACUGCUAACUUCACCCCCUAAUUAUCUUGGGGUGCCAGACCAUUUGGGUCUCAAAUGUGCUGUUUUAUCAGUUUCCUUAGCUACCAGGCCAUCAACAGGGUUGUUUAUUGUCAAGUCCCUAUCUUUUCCUUGGAACCUCUCAAGGAGAUGCCGGAUUUCACCCUGGUGCUAACUCAAAACAGACCUAGCAAAACAUCCCGAGUGACUAUUUCUGCCGCUUUCAGGGUCAGAUAGGGAAGGAAUGCAGCGUACGAGUCCUAAAAUGCAGGCACACAAAAACAAGCCUAAGACAUUCUAGCCAGAGGUUCGAUACACUUAAUACUGGAACAUUUUUGAAAUCAACAAAAUUCAUACCCUGGGUCUCAAAUUCUUACAUCACAUGGAAUCCGCAAGCCAACGGUCUUCUUGCUUUUCUCUUUCCCCAGUACUGAGUGAUGUCUCACCCGUCAUGGCUGCCCCCCAAGAACCCCAGCGAGCCCGUGGGCCAUGUGACCGCGAGGAUGGAGACCACCCAUUCUUUCGGGACCCCCAGCAUCUCCAUAUCCACUCAGCAGACCCCAAAGAAGUUUGCGCCAGUCGUGGCCCCCAAACCGAAGUACAAUCCCUACCGAGCGGCUGAAGGGGAAG
This 124208-nucleotide long non-coding RNA is filed under the name Podarcis lilfordi (Lilford's wall lizard). The record is from RNAcentral. Lineage: Eukaryota; Metazoa; Chordata; Lepidosauria; Squamata; Lacertidae.